This 88536-nucleotide long non-coding RNA is filed under the name Gossypium barbadense (sea-island cotton). Its description in RNAcentral is "long non-coding RNA (GBAR_LNC020357)". Lineage: Eukaryota; Viridiplantae; Streptophyta; Magnoliopsida; Malvales; Malvaceae. The record is from RNAcentral.
AAGGAGUGGUCCGAUAAGGAGAAAAUGAAGACGUGGAAUGUGAUCAGCUUACGUUGUCCUCAUAUUAUAGCUAACCUUCCUAAGGAGAUGGAGUGUUCAGGACUUUCCUUUUUCCAUAUGGCCUAUGAUGGCGCGGUUAAAAUUCCUCUCAAUUUCUUCAAACAAACCGAAGGCCUCAAAGCCUUAGAUUUGGUCGGAAUGCAGUUUCAAUCCCUCCGUAAAUCAAUUAUUCACCUUGCAGACCUUCGCAUGUUGUGUCUGAAAAAAUGUGCAGUUGAUGACAUAACCAUCCUUGGAGAGCUCAAGAGUUUACAAGUACUCAACCUUUCUCAGUCAGGUAUCAAAGAACUACCUAAGGAGAUGGCACAAUUGACUCAAUUAAGGUUGUUAGAUUUGAGUUGGUGUAGAGAACUCAAAAUCAUCCCACCGAAUGUCUUAUCAGGUUUGUCUAAAUUAGAAGAAUUAUAUAUGGAUGAAAGCUUUGUUGAAUGGGAAAAGGGAGGAGUAGUUGAAAAUGAGAGGAAAAAUGCAAGCCUUGAUGAAUUAGAACAAUUUGCCUUGUCUAACUACUUUAUAUGUUCAUAUUCUUGAUCUCCAAAUGAUACCAAAACACUGGUUUGUUGAAACAUUGGACAGAUUCAGGAUUUUCGUGGGUAAUUAUGGAAUAUUUGAUUGUUGCCUUAAUUAUGAAUCUCCGAAAGCAUUGAAGCUCAAGUUAUAUACAAACAUUGAUUUGGACAAUGGGAUGAAAAAGUUGUUGAUAAAGACAGAAGAUUUGUGCCUAGAGGGACUUAAAGGCGUCAAGAAUGUACUUGUGAAGUUAAAUAAUAGGAAAGAUCUUCUAAAUUUAAAGAGACUUCAUGUCAAAAAUGGUAGGCAUGUCCAAUAUAUUAAAACGAACAAAAUUGGAUUUUCUGAAUUAUGCUUCAUCACACUUGAAAAUCUACCGCAACUCGUUAGCUUUUGCUCUCCAGACGAAAGGUGUUCCACUAUGCCCUUCCUACUUUUCAAUAAACAGGUAUUUGUUUGGCUUUACUUAUAUUUCCUUAUACAACUUUUAUUUAUAUGCCCAUUAAUACUUCUAAUAAUAGAAAUAAAUAAUAUUGUCUAAUGGUUUUUCCGAGCUCAAAAAUAAAUUUCAAAUCCAAAACAAAUGAAAAUUUAAUUUUUAAUCCAAACCGAUUGAAAGUACAAAGUCAAUUCAAUAAUCUAAAUUUAAACCUAACAUUUUUUUUUAAUUCUGAAAAUGAAAUUUGAGCCCACAAAUCGAGCUAAAAUUAUCUUUAAAAUCGAAAAUCAUAUUUUCAAAUUAUGUUACAUACUAUCUUUCCCUAUCGAAAAAGAAUUGUGUGUAAAUAUGUGCAAUUUAUUUUCCCUCACUUGGAAAGCUUGUAAUUGUGUUCCAUUAACACCAAAAUAAUAUGGCACAACCAGACAUGUCAUUGGGUUACGAAUUUGAGGAGCUUGAUCAUCAAAGGAUGCGGCAAGUUGGAGCAUCUGUUAUCACUUUCUCUCGCUAGAAGUCUGGUGCAGCUCCAAUGCUUUGAGAUAAAGGAUUGCAACUGCUUAAGGGACAUAAUACUUACAGAGGAAAUUGAAGAAGAAAGGAAAGAUGUGAUUUGUUUCCCUCGAUUAAACUCCCUGCAUAUAGUGGGUCUUCCAAACCUCAUCUUCUUCAACUCAGGAAACCACAAUAUUGAGUUCCCAUUGUUGAAAGUGCUAAAGAUUGAGCGUUGCCCCAAUUUUAUAGAAUUCAUUAGUCAGAGUAGUAAUCAGUCUGGCAUGCACGCUCUCUUCAGUGAGAAGGUGAUUUAUUUCAGUAGUCUUACACUCUUGCAUAAAUCUGUUGAUUUGUCCUUGUUAUUUUGUCUGGCAUUAUAUGAGCUAACUUUUGUACUGGCACGAAUUUUAAAUAGGUUGCAUUUCCUAGGUUGGAAAAGAUGACAAUCAAAAAGUUGAGAAAUGUGAAAAUGAUGUUUCAUAAUAACUUUGCACCAGGUUCUUUUCAAAAUCUACGAGUAAUAAGAGUUGAGGGAUGUGGGAGUCUGAAAAAUCUAUUUCCAGUGUCAAUAGCCAAAGAUCUUCCACAACUUGAAGAUUUAUGCAUCACUAAUUGUGGAGUGGAGGAGAUUGUAUCGAAAGGGGAAGGAGUGGAGGAGCAGCCUGUGAGGUUUGAGUUUCCGCAAGUGUCUUCCCUUGAGGUUACAUCCCUAAAAGAGCUCAAAUGUUUCUAUGAAGGGCAACAUACAAUAGUCUGGCCCCUGUUGAAAAAAUUGAAAACAGAUUGUUCUGCUUUGCUAAAGAUAGUGGCUUCGGAACAUCUUAGAUUAAUCCAAGGAAAUGAGCAGCCAGUUUUGUUGGUUGAAGAGGUAUGUAUAUCAUUACAACUAUAUUUCUUUUUAUGAUUUAAGCCACCGUCACAUCCAUCUCUUGUUGAUAUAUAUAUUAUUUGAAACGGUGGUUGCUUAUCCAUUUUAAUUCGGAUUUUUUAUGCACUUCUUUCAGCUUAUUUUUAUCAUUUUUUUAUUUCUAAGGUAUUGUGCUUUCUUAAAACAAAAUAUUCAUCUAUUUUGGAUUGGUUUGAUUUAAUAUUGAUUUUGUUGAGAUUUAAUCAUCGAUAUCAAACACCAAAAUUGUAGAUCUUAUGUUCUUUUUAAGCAUAUAGAUCAACAUUGUGCCUAACUUGUUUAUGUUUAAAUGGUUUCAAGGUCAUUCCCAAUUUAGAGGAACUUGAGUUAUUAAAUUGGGUAAACUACACCCAUGAUCACUUUUGUUUACCUUAGGUUACGUUUUAGUCACUUUUGUUUGAAAUGUUACGUUUUAGUCAUUUACGUUAUCAUGUUGUAACAUUUUAGUCACUGAGCCAUUAAUCGUCGUUAAUGGUGUAACGGUAAGCUGACGUGGCACGUUAAAUCAUCAUUUCAAACAAAAUUUUAGGUUAAAUUAUACAAUUGAUCCCCAUAUUUUUUUCGUUUUAAGUAAUUUAAUUUUUUUUCUUUUAUGUUCUUUAAACUUUCCUCUUUUUUUCCAUUCUCUUUUGUUUCUCCCUCUGUUUUCAUACAUUUCUCAUUUCUUUUAACAUAUUAGGAAGUCGAAUUGGCAAUGAAAAAGAAGUAGGAAGUCGACUGUCAUUAUUUGCCUAUAACCAAAACCCAUAAACCCAUACAAUGCUUCUUUCUUUACUACCAAUUCGACUUCCUGGUAUGUUAAAAGAAAUAAAAAAGGUAGAAAAACAGAAGAAGAAGAAGAAGAGAAUGGAAAAGAAAAAAGAAAAAAAGAAAGAGAAAGUUAAAAGAACAUAAAAGAAUUAAAUUGCUCAAAAUGAAUAAUUAUGGGGACCAAUUGUAUAAUUUAACUUAAAGUUUUUGUUUGAAAUGAUGAUUUAACGUGCCACGUCAGCUUACCAUUACACCAUUAAUGACAAUUAACGGCUCAGUGACUAAAAUGUUACAACACGAUAACAUAAGUGACUAAAACGUAACAUUUCAAACAUAAAUGACUGAAAUGUAACUUAAGAUAAACAAAAGUGACCAUGGGUGUAGUUUACCCUAUUAAAUUUUGGUGAUAUGGACCAGUUUCCACCAGCCUUGUUUCAAGAUAUUAAAGUUUUUGUUGUGUGUGGUGGCUCUCGAUCUUCUAUAUUUCCUUUCGUCCGAAGAUUUUACAAUUUGGAUAGUUUUUGGCUUUUUGGUUUUGAUUUCAAAUACGUAGUCCCUUGUAAAGGAGACGUUGGGACUCUCACACCAAUUAGAAAUCUGAUGCUGGAUCGUGCAAUGAAUCUUUAUCAUAUAUGGAGGAAAGAUUUGGAGUUUGACCAUAUUCUUUCUAAUCUCCAAAAACUCGAAGUUUGGGAAUGUGAUGAUUUGAUAAAUAUUACAGUCUCCUCCUCAUCUUUGCAAAAUCUCACAACUUUGGAUGUGUCAUUUUGUCAAAUGAUGACAAACUUAGUUACACCCUUAGUGGUUAAGAAUCUUGUGCAAUUAACGAGAAUGAGUGUGGCGGGGUGCAGUAAAAUGACAGAAAUAGUGGGAAAUGGGGGAGACUGCCAUCAGACAAUAGUUGUGAGUAAAUUGAAAUGUUUAGAACUAAGCUAUUUAGAGAGCCUCACAAGCUUUUGUUCAAGGAAUUACACCUUCAACUUCCCUUGUUUGGAAGAAUUAGUUGUGGAACGCUGUCCUAGAUUAAAGACCUUUACUGAAGGAGUUUUAAGCACCCCACAGUUACAAAGAGUAAUACAGUCGCGUUACCCUGAGAAAUGGAGUUGGGCAAGUGACUUAAAUACCACCAUACAACAGCUCUACACGGAAAAGGUACUAAAUUAAUAAGUUCAUAAAACUAGUUAGCUUCUUCCUGUCCUAAUAAAAUUAAUUUUAUUAAUACUUCAUUAAUCAUUGAAGAGUGUUUAUCGUUAUUUUGUUAUUGUUUGCAUUUUCUAUUUGUGAUUGCUAUCUAGUGGAAUAAUAUUAUAAAUUUUUUUUUAGGAUGGAUUCUAUGACGGAUACAAUUUGGACAUCUCUGACACAAUUCCCAAGUCAAUAGAAAUAUGGAUUAGAAACCCUCAAGAAAUUUUGGGCUUCAAAAACCUUGUUUCGUUGCAUUUUUAUAAAUGUAGUAGCUUGAAGUACGUAUUUACUUCGUCUAUGCUUUUGAGCCUCAAUCAACUACAAUGGAUAAAAGUAAAAGAAUGCAGUUCAAUGGAACAAGUGAUUAGGGAGGAAGCAAUGACAGAUAAAUUCACAUUUCUUGCACUCUUCUCCAUAAGAAUUGAGUUGUGUUCCAACUUGACAAAUUUCUAUUUGGGAAGUCAAGCUCUUGAAUUUCCAGAGUUGUAUGAAAUCGCAAUAUUUGAGUGUCCAAAAAUGACUACAUUUUCUUCCUCGGUUUCAAGAGGAGGUGGUGAUGCAAGUGAAAACGUGGUUGGCGAGGGGGGCGUCUAUGAUAACCCUGCAAUUUUUUUCAGCAAUAAGGUAAGUUUAGUAUUCAAUAUUUAUCUGCACAACUUAUUUCACAUUUUCCUUUUAUUUGAUUAAUUUAUAUGAGUGUGUCUGGUCUAUAUAUAUAUAUAUAUAUUAGUGUUAAUGUCACGUGAUACGUGUUGAAAAAAAUUAAUAUAAUAAAAUCCAUAAAAAUAUUAAUAAAUAAGAUAAUGUUUUUUAAUUUGAAGUUUAAAGUAUAAAUAAAUAUAUAAAAUAAGAAUAAAGGAAAAACUUGAAAGUGAAAUACUAAUAAACAAUAAGAAUUUAAGAGAAGUUUUAAAGUUAAUACUAAUGGACAAUAAAUAAUAAAAUAAUAAUAGAAAAUAAAAUAAAAAACUAAUCUUCAUCUAUUUUAAUUUGAAGAAUAUUUGAUGUAUUGGUGGUACACAAGUUUCAUGUAUCAUCGGUGAAUAAAAACAUACAAUUAUCAUUAAAUACCACAAAAAUAUAGUAAAGGGUUAUAAAUAAAUACUAAUAAAUUUAUGUAAACAUAAUUAAAUAAAAAUUAAUUAUAAUUAAAUGUUAAAACCCUAAAUCCUAAACUUGAAAUUCUAAGCCCUUAAACAUAAGAUCUUAAAUCCGAAAGUUAUUAAUAUUUAUUUAUAAUAGCUACGACUAGUGUUAAAUAAAUUUUUCAUCUUUUUUAACUUUUGAACUUGCAUUUUUGUCAAAUCACCUUAAAAUGAAUGAAAAAGUUUAUGUUUGUUAACUUCGCUUAUGUGGCAAUCCAUGUGUAUGCAAAAUUAGCAAUUAAUUAAUUUUAAAAUAUUUUAUAUAUUUUUAAAUAUUUUUAUAAAAUUUUCAAAAUAAAAUAAAAAUUAAUUGUUGACAUGUCAUCUACGGGCAAUCCAAUGUAUAUAACAUCAGCAAAGUUAACAAAUGUCAAUUUUUUUUCUCUGCUUUGAAUGAUUUGACAAAUAACACAAGUUCAAAGGAUAAAAGAAAUAAAAAUUAAAAUAGAGAGCUAAAAUGAAAUUUUUUUAGAAAGUUGGAGGGUUAAAUAAAUUAUCUAUGCCUAACUCUUAAAAAAGGUAACUCAUUAAAUAACUUAAGUAAUUAAUGUAAAUCGUUAAUGGAAACUACAUAAAUAUGUGAGUCCAACUUAAUUAGAAACAAGCAUAUUCCCCUGUCGAAUUGCAUCAAUAAUAAUCAUUCAACAAUCAUUAUAGUAUAUAUGAAAGCUCUAAGUUGUAUAGAAAAAGGCUUCUUUCUUUAAAAAGAAAAAAAAACAAGUUUUGCUUUAGGUUAGAUUUAUGCUGCUGAACAUUUUAUCUAAAUAAAAAAGGUCCACGUCUGCUAGCUAUAUUUAUCAGUUUAUAAAUCUUCAUACUCAUCUACUCUUUUUGAUUGUGUUUGUAAGUAAAGAAGGAAGAGUUAUGGUGUUAUCUUAUAAUGAAAUUUAUGUCAACAGGUUGUCAUUCCUUGUUUGCAGCAUCUGGAAUUGUCCUUCGUUAACAUUCAUGAGAUAUGGCACCACCCAUCCUCCCCAUCCAUCAGAUUCCUAAAUUCCUUGCAAGUGAAGAGGUGUCACAAUUUGAAAUACCUGUUCCCAUCUUUCUUGGUAAAAGAUCUUGUGCAACUCCGACGCCUUGAAAUUUUGGACUGUAAUAUGAUGGAACAAGUAAUAUUCACGGAUGGAUUGGUUGAAGAACAUCAAGGGAGGAAUCAGAUGUUUUUCUCUGAACUAGAAUUGCUGUGGCUAAAAGACCUUCCCAAACUCACAAGUUUCUGCUUUGAGAAUUACUUUGAAUUCCAAUGUUUGACAGAUUUAGAACUAACAAAUUGUCCAUUGCUAAAAACAUUGAUCACUAAAUGUGUAUCCGAAGGUGAACCUGAAAUUGGCCAACAUGUACAAGCGAGUAACUUGGAGGUUCAUAACUCAUCUCUCCUCAAUGAAAAGGUCAUUUCUUUACGGGUUCUCCUUUUAAUUUAUGUUGCUUCGAUUGAUCUUAUUCAUUUGAAGUUCUUUCUUUUCCAUGCAUAUUUCAGUUAUUAACCUAAUGAAAUUGUAAUACCCAAUUUUAGCCCGGGCUCACAUAUGGAAACAUAAUUUUUGAGGAUAUGCAAUCUUAUAUAUGAUAUGCAAUCCUAGACAUUAUAUGCAAUCUUAGAUAUGAUGUAUAAUCUUUGAUAUGACAUGCAAUCUUAGAAGAUAUGAUUUUGUAAUCUUAGAGAUACCCUUUAAUUUCAGCCAUUGAUGUAAUUGAUCUGUACCGUUGGAUUUGGGGAGACUCAACUAUAAAUAGAGGCCUCUCCCUUCAUUGUAAAAGUGGGGGGAAGAGAAAAAAAGGGAAGAGAAAAAAAGAGGAAGAGGAAUAAAAAAGAGAAUGAUUGGCAGUUUUUAAAGGUGGCUUACUAUUUUUUUUCUUUCGAUUAUUUUUUUACUUAUUUACGAUUUUAAAAAGGAGAAGAAGGUGAUACCACUGUGAAUUUUAUUUAUUUAUUUUAUUUAGCCCCUCCGCCUUUUAAUGUUUUUGUAAUUAAGUUUUUUUUCUUAAUUUAUCCUUUUAUUUAUUUUUAUUUCAAUUGGGUCUAAGUUGAACGGCGUCGUUUUAGAGGAGAAGGGAAAAUUUCCCUUCCAGCCCCUCUAUGUAAUUCGCGUGUUCAAAUUAAUCCUUUUACUUUUAUUUAUUUGCGAAUUUACCCCAGUUUUUUUAUUGCAAUUCAAUUUAGUUUUUCUUUUCUUUCUUUUCAUUUAUUUUAUUAAUUAAUAACGUAAUCAUCUUUUUUAUUUUUAUUUUUUUAAAAUCUAUACAUGUAUAUUUUUAUGCACAUUUUUUUAAACUUAUAUUUUUCUCAGAUUUAUAUAUAUAUGUACGUAUAUAUAUUUUUUAAUGUACUCAUUAUUUAACUGUUUUUUAUCUAUAUAUAUUCCUUUUAUAUGUACGUGUAUAUAUUUAUUUUUAACGAAUAUUUUUCCUAUAUUUUUUUAAAUGAAUAUUUUCAUCUUUAUAUGUAUAUAUUUAUGAUUUUUUAAAAUGAUUAAAUACUCACUUUUCCUUUUAAAACACACCCUUUUUUAUUAUUUUAUAUAUGUACGUAUAAUUAUAUUUUUCUUUAUUUUCAUAAGUAUAUUAUGUAUUAUAUAUAUGUAUAAAUUCUAUAACCCAAAAUUUUAUUUGUAUAUUAUAUUUAUAUUUUUAAUCUUCAUAACUUUCAUGUGUAUAUUAUAUGUCUUCUAAUCUUUAUUUAUUUUGUUUGCUAUCCCAUCCAUUGUAUAAUUGUCUUUACAUUUAAUAUUUUGCAUGUCAUGGAUUACCUUUUUUUAUUUCGUUUAUUCAUUUGCUUAUAUUAUUUUUAUGUCGAUGAUGUAUUUAUUAUUAUUAUUAUUAUAGCAUUUGUAUGUAUAAAAUCACGUUACAUCAUUUUUUACUCAAAUUUAAAGAUAGAAAAUUUUUUAAAAUUGAGAUAAUGUUCGUAUUUGAGAUUUUCAAGGGAAUUGAGCCCUAACGUAUUGGGUUCUGAUUUUCUUCGUUAAAUCCGACAAUCGAGCAUUUCUCUUCAAUCAAGAAAAUAAUAAAAACUCAUUAUUGGGAAUUCAACACGUUGUGUCCUAACGUAUUGGAUGUGACGCAUUGAUUUCUCGAAAUGAAGAUUUUUUUUUAAAAUCAUGAAGGAAAUAUUCCGAGUUUGAGAUUCUAAAGGAAUUGUGCCCUAACGUAUUGGGUGUGAUUUCUUAAAUCUUGGAUAAGUGGAUGUUCUUUUAAAGUAAAGGAAAUAUUCCGAGUUUGGGAUUCUAAAGGGAUCGUGCCCUAACGUAUUGGGUGUGAUUUCUUAAAUCUUGGAUGAGUGGAUGUUCUUUUAAAGUUUUAUUGUAUAAGUAUUCUGACCUAAUUCAUUUUGGAGGAAAUUAGAAUGUUGUGCCCUAACGUAUUGGGUGUGGCAUUUUUGCUUCUCUGAAUUGAAAAGGGUCUUAAUAUGUAACGUUUUAAGUUUUUAAAGAUUAUAUUUUUAAAAUUUUCGACCUUAAGGCAUUAAUUAAUUAACUAGGUACCAAUUUUUGGGCGUAAUGAGGGUGCUAAUCCUUCCUCAUGCGUAACCGACUCCCGGACCCGUUCUUCUAAAAUUCGUAGACCAAAGUCGUUUUUAGGUGACCCAAUCACACCUUAAUAAAAGAUUGGUGGCGACUCCCAAUUUCAUUUUUUUUUAAGUCGACAACCUAAAAUUUUUGUUUUUCAAAAAUGGUUUCGACAGAAAUGAUUUAGCAGGUUGUUUUCCCUAGUUUGGAGAAGUUGCGGAUUCAGAAUUGUGAUUCGUUAGAACAAAUUAUUGAGCUGCAAGGAGUCAUUGCUGAUGAGUCACAGUCAACAUCAGCUACUCAGUCUAUUAUGGCUGAAACAGAGACGACCAAGUUUGUAUUUCCCAAACUAAUAAACCUCGGAUUGGAUAAGGUGCCGAGAUUGAAAAGUUUCUACUCUAGGAUGCAUACCACCCAGUGGCCUUCAUUGAAACAAAUGGACAUUAUUGAAUGUCCCAAAGUACAGAUAUUAACUCCACAAUGUCCUGAGUGUCAGGUUGGAAUCUCAAACCAACAACCCUUGUUUUGCGUCAACGAGGUGAGCUCACUAAUAGUUUCAUACUCCAUGUUCAUUACUUGAGAUUACCUAUAAAAUGCCUUUUGAAAUAACUAAUAUUCUCACCUUCCUUUUAAAUUUAUGAGAAAUAAAAUGGAAAUGAUAUCCAUUCUGUAGUCUAGUUCUUACCAAUUCAAAACUCUUUGAUCAAUGUUUAAUAUAUUCGUUGCCAUCCAGGACACUUUCCCUAUAUUAGAAGAACUGACACUAAAGACGAAUGAUAUGGUGAAGGGGAUAUGUGAUGGACAGCUCUCAUUGCAGUGUUUCCAAAACCUUAAACUUCUUAACCUCCAAUUGUUUCCUGAGGCAUCCACUACUCUUCCAUAUUCAUUCAUUCGGUCACUACCAAUGCUUCAUAAGCUUGUUAUAGACAAUGCUUCCAUUUGUCAAAUAGUACAAUCUGAAGGACUCAGCUACGACGAAAGGAAUACAUCAGUGUUCUAUCAGCUAAAGGAAUUAAGUUUGUGUCAACUUCCAGAGUUGACGUUAAAGACUUUUGAACCAUCUUUGCUGUCUUUCAAAAAUCUAACAACACUGGAAGUUUCAAGCUGCCAUGGGUUCAUCAAUUUAAUCGCAUGCUCAACAGCUAAGUGCCUGACGCUACUGGAAAGAUUGAGCAUAGAUGAUUGUGGGAUGAUUGAGGAAAUCAUAGCGUGUGAGGCUGAAGAAAUGCAAGGCGGCAUUGUAUUUCCCAAACUGCAGUAUUUGCAACUAAGCUGUCUGCCAUGUCUAGCAAGCUUUUCCUUGGCCCAUCACUUGUUGGAAUUCCCAGUCUUGCUAAUGGUGAAGGUGACAAAGUGCUCCAAAAUGAGGAAUUUCUGCCAAGGAGAUUUAAGCACACCAAGGCUGGAACAAAUGCACUUAACAAGAGAUGAGGAAGGUGAACUGCAGUGGGAAGGCGACCUUAACACUACCAUAAAACAUAUGUUCGAUGAAAUGGUACAAAUCAUUUAAAGGAUUUAAAUUCAUGUGUUUUUACAUACAUACAUAGUUAACUGAAUAAUUCUUGGUUUGUUAUGAUCAUGCACAGAAUGUGCAAAAUUUGGAGGUGACGGAGGUUACUGAUCAGUUGCCCAAGCUGGAAUAAGGAAAUAUGUUUGGGUGCUUAUGCGAAAAGCUCAGUUUCGUUUCAAAUAAAAACAAAUGGUAAUUGACUUCUAUUUCAUUAUGGCUUAACUAAUGCUUUAUAAAGUGACCAUAGAGACGCCCUUUCUAUUGUAGGUUGAGUUGCUCUACUGAAGCACAUGGCUGCAUCUGUUGGUAGAACGUGAAAGGUUAUUUCAGUUUUUGUAAAACUACAAUUUGAACUGUUCCAUUUCACAACAUAACCUCAAUAUUGAAUUUCAAGUGCAUCAUGCAUGACAUUGGGAACUACAAACAUGCAAACUUUUACUAGUAAGGUUGACCCCUGUUUUAAUAUUCGAAUUCUUCUUAAAGGUGGAUGGAUUUGCCAACUUUUGAUGGUUACCAUAUCAAUAUCAGCUUGGGGUUUAGACGAUGUGAUUAAGAUUGCUAUACAUACUGUGUUUGUGCUUGUGUCAUCUUUCUUGUUCUCUCUAUAAAGAUUAUUACGUACUUAUUUCUAUGCAAUCUCACAAUUUUCUGAUGAAAAAAGUUAAAGCUAAUAACUCCAUUCCCAAGUUUCCCAUAUUCAUCCUCACAAAAACAUAAAUGAUAAAAACCCCAUUUCUCUUUUAGUCAAUAGGAGAAACAAUCUAAAGUUAGAAUAAAACAAACCAAUGCCAUGUUUAUAUUGAAUUAAAUCGCAUGCAUACAUGUAUCAAUUGUUCUGUAGUGAACAGCAGUCACGUUAUAUUCAACUAUGGCAUCUCCAUCUUAUUAAACCAAGCUACAAUGUGAUUAUUCAAGUGCUAUCCAUGUGAUUAUUCUUAUAUUUAAAUAUAAUAAGUUCAUUUAAUAAUUUUUAUAAUAAAUAUAAUAAUUCAAUCAAUAUCAAUUAAGCGAAUUUUUAAUCAAUCAAUUGAAUUUAAUCUGAUUAUAAAAAGUCAAUAAUCCAAACUUAUUCAAUUCGGAUUCAAAUGAACUUGAAAGGGAUUUAUUGGAAAAUUCAAUCUUCAAACUCAAGUGAUUUGAAUUUUGUUAGGGAUUGACCCGGUUAAGCAACGAACAAGUAAAAAUAAGGAAAGAAAUUAAGAAAUUGAACACACAAAUUUAACAUGUUAAAACCCCUCCAAAGAGGAUAAAAAAUCACGAGUAAAGAUAAUUUUACUAUGAUGGCAAAAGAAUGAAGAGUAUAGAAGAUGAAGAUAAAAACUAAAUCCCAAAAACCAAAUUCAUAGGUCAAAUAAUAAUAAAAUAAUCUAGAUUAAUCAGAGUUUGAUUAAAAUAAAUAAAUACAAUCUAACUAUUGAUAACAAGUGCUAUCCAUGUGAUUAUUCUUAUAUUUAAAUAUAAUAAGUUCAUUUAAUAAUUUUUAUAAUAAAUAUAAUAAUUCAAUCAAUAUCAAUUAAGCGAAUUUUUAAUCAAUCAAUUGAAUUUAAUCUAAUUAUAAAAAGUCAACAAUCCAAACUUAUUCAAUUCGGAUUCAAAUGAACUUAAAAGGAAUUUAUUGGAAAAUUCAAUCUUCAAACUCAAGUGAUUUGAACUUUGUUAGGGAUUGACCCGGUUAAGCAAUGAACAAUUAAAAAUAGCAAAAGAAAUUAAGAAAUUGAACACACAAAUUUAACAUGUUAAAACUUCUCCAAAGAGGAUAAAAAAUUACAGGUAAAAAUAAUUUUACUAUGAUGGCAAAAGAAUGAAGAGUACAAAAGAUCAAUAUAAAAACUAAAUCCCAAAAAUCAUAUUGAUAGGUCAAAUAAUAAUAAAAUAAUCUAGAUUAAUAAGAAUUUGAUUAAAACAAAUAAACACAGUUUAACUAGAAUAUUAUUUCUCAAAUUUGACUGAAAUAGGAGUUAUACUCAACAAACUCAAACAUAAAAUUAUUACUUGGAUGUGAAUGAUUUGAAUUGAAAUGGUGUGAGGCCCCAUUAUGCUGUCAGCGAAAUCUAAAGAUUGGGGCCCCAAACCAUUCAAAUUCCAGGACUGUUGGAUGCAAGCUAAAGAGUUAGAUCGACUUAUUCAUGAUCGAUGGAAGGAAAUGGAGGUUCACGGCCAGGCAAAUCAGGCCUUGAGAAUGAAACUAAGUCCUUUAAAGUGUUCUCUGAAAAUGGAACAAAAAUUUCUUUUGGUAGUUUGGAUCAUAGAAUCCACUUGAUAGAAAAUGAAGUGGAGGAUGUUGAUAAAAGGGGCGAUAUUUCGGUCAUGACCGAGGAGGAUGUCAACCGUGGAAAAGAGACUACGGGUGAAUUAUGGAAACUUAAUCGUUCUCGAGAAAUCUUAUGGAGACAAAAAUCUAGAGUAAAGUGGAUUGGGGAAGGCGACCGUAAUGCAAGUUUCUUCCAGUGCAAAGCCAAAUUUAGAGCUAGGAGUAAUUGCAUUGAAGGUCUGUUUGCGAGCGGAUUUCUUGUCCGAACUUAGUCAAAAAUGCAAUUUGGGAAUACUUCCGAAAACAGUUCUGUGGCGUUCAUUGGGACAAACCUACUUUAAGGGGUUCGGAUUUUACGAUAUCUUUGCUUCUUCCCAAUGGUCUCAAAGCAUGUUUUGGUGUUUGAGUCUGAUUCAAUGGUUGCGUUGACAGGCCUGCCUCCUAUGUGGCUUGGCUGUUGUUUAUUGCACCUUUGUACUUCAAAAUAAUUUCAACUCUUUCAAUCCGAAUUAAAUUGAUUCGAACUUUAAAUAAUGAGUGAUAAACUUAAAAUUAUCUUAUUAGAAAAUUUAAACUUCAAAAUAAAUUGAGUGACUUAAACUUAAAUUUAACUUUAAUAUGAAACUGAUUUGAAUCCAAAUGAUUUUAAAAUUUCUAAUUUCGAAUUAAUCUAUCUAGAUCAAAAACCAACUCUAGUUAUAGCUUGACCCAUCACAAAAAUAUAAAAGAUAAUUUGAGAACAUAUGAGGCAACUUGUAGGUAUGGUGUAUAUGUAAUUGGAUAAUUACCCUCUCCCUAAAAAAUUAUGUCGCAGCGUACUCAAUUAUAUAUCUAGGGGUUUUUUUUCCCUUUUUGAUGUGGGAUUAAUGACUUUAAUCAUGUGUCCUUAAAUGACUCAGAGUUCGGAAUCACGAGUGAUAAAAGGCUCUGGUGUUUAACAAUCAACUAGACUCAACCAGAGCUCGGUAAUCAGCUGGACGAACAGAGUAAGCGAUAUCAAACAUUAAGCGCAUAAUUUCAGAUUCUUUGGACUCCAGCCGAGCUAAAGCUAACAUAAGCGAAAGCUAUCAUAUCAAACGGCUCGAUGCAUUUGCCGAAGUAUAAUUUGGAAAAUGUUUUGGACUGUUUUGAGGAGCUUGGGUGAUGUUGGCCAUUCAUAACAAAUAUAAAUUUCCCAUGGUUUAAGUGCAUUUGUCCUUUUGUUUCUAUAGCAUGCGAUCUAGGGAGAGGUCGUGUUGAUACAUUGAAUCAAUGGAUGUGAAGAUGGAAGGGAAUGAAUUCUAAGAAAACACACCAAAGUUAUUGAUUUGAUGAAAAAAUAAAAAAAAUGUUGUAUAAUUAUAUUAAAAAUAACCCGACUCGAAAUCUGACCUAGGAUCCGACCCUAUAUAAUAGAAUUCUACAAACAUCCCAUAAAAAAAGAAGAAUCUUCUUCUUUAUGGCUAGACAAGAAUUCUCUCUUCUCCAUCUCCACAUCCGUUGAUCUAAUGAAUCAACAAUCAGCAGUAUUUUAGACUGUAUAUUUGAUUUAUAAUGUAUUAAUUAGUUCAAAUGAUUAAUAUAAUUUGAAAGCAUAUUUUUAAAUCUAAAAAGUAGAAUGGCUAAAUUCUUGAAAAUAAAAAUAGAGUAACUAAGUUUUAAAGGUACGAAAUAAGACCUUCAAGUAUAUUUUAACCUUCAAUUUUUUACUUUAUAAUUUGAUACAAAUAAAUAACCAAUCCAAUGUGAAACAUAAAUGGAUUAUACUAAUUAUUGUAAUAAUUAAAUUUUUUUUAAUGUCGUUUGUGAAAUUAAAUAACAACGUUAAAAGGCUAAUCCUUUUCACAACAUGCCUAUAUCCUCAUUUAAUAAAUGAUUUUAAUUUUGGGUAAACUACAAAAAUAGUCACAUUUGUUUGUCUCAGAUUACAUUUUAGUCACUUAUGUUUGAAAUGUUACGUUUUAGUCACUUACGUUAUCGUUUUGUUACAAAGUGAUCACUCUAUUGUUAAGCUCCGUUACCUCCCUAACGGCGGUCCUACGUGGCAGUCCAAAUGAGUUUUAAUUGUCAACUUGGAUGUCCUAUGUGACAGUCCAAAUUGAAUUUUAUUUAAGUAAAAACCUAUUUUCAUCCCAACAACUAGACAUCCAAGUUGGCAUUUAAAACCCAUUUGGACUGCCACGUAGGACUUCUAUUAGGGAGGUAACGGAUUUUAACAGUAGUGUGACCGCUUCGUAACAAAACGAUAACAUAAGUGACUAAAAUGUAACAUUUUAAACAUAAGUGACUAAAAUGUAAUUUGAGGUAAACAAAAGUGACUAUUUUUGUGGUUUACCCUUUAAUUUUUAUAUAAUUCUUCAUUCAACUUAAUGUAGUUCAAAGUUGAUUAUAGAGGUGAAACUAGGAAUUUUUUUUUUGGAUCAGGGUUAAAUUGUACGAUAGUAAAAAUAUAAUUUUAUCAUUUUAAUAGUCUAUAUUUUUAUAAUUUUUAAAGGAUUAACCAAAAUUUUAUUAUUUGGGGGUUAAAAUAUAAUUUACUAUUAUUAGUUUAAAAAAUUUUAAAGGAUUAACCAAUGUUUGACAGAUUUAGAACUAACAAAUUGUCCAUUGCUAAAAACAUUCAUCACUAAAUGUGUAUCCGAAGAUGAACCUGAAAUUGGCCAACAUGUACAAGCGAGUAACUUGGAGGUUCAUAACUCAUCUCUCCUCAAUGAAAAGGUCAUUUCUUUAAGGGUUCUCCUUUUAAUUUAUGUUGCUUCGAUUGAUCUUAUUCAUUUGAAGUUCUUUCUUUUCCAUGCAUAUUUCAGUUAUUAACCUAAUGAAAUGAUUUAGCAAGUUGUUUUCCCUAGUUUGGAGAAGUUGUGGAUUCAGAAUUGUGAUUCGUUAGAACAAAUUAUUGAGCUGCAAGGAGUCAUUGCUGAUGAGUCACAGUCAACAUCAGCUGCUCAAUCGAUUAUGGCUGAAACAGAGACGACCAAGUUUGUAUUUCCCAAACUAAUAAACCUUGGAUUGGAUAAGGUGCCGAGAUUGAAAAGUUUCUACUCUAGGAUGCAUACCACCCAGUGGCCUUCAUUGAAACAAAUGGACAUUAUUGAAUGCCCCAAAGUACAGAUAUUUACUCCACAAUGUCUUGAGUGUCAGGUUGGAAUCUCAAACCAACAACCCUUGUUUUGCGUCAACGAGAUGAGCUCACUAACAGUUUCAUACUCCAUGUUCAUUAGUUGAGAUUACUUAUAAAAUGCCUUUUGAAAUAACUAAUAUUCUCACCUUCCUUUUAAAUUUAUGAGAAAGAAAAUGGAAAUUAUAUUCAUUUUGUAGUGUAGUUAUUACUAACUGAAAACUCUUUGAUCAAUGUUUAAUAUAUUCGUCGCCAUCCAGGACACUUUCCCUGUACUAGAAGAACUAAUACUGAAGAUGAAUGAUAUGGUGAAGGGGAUAUGUGAUGGACAACUCUCAUUGCAGUGUUUCCAAAACCUUAAGCAUCUUAACCUCCAGUUCUUUACUGAGACAUCCACUACUCUUCCGUAUUCCUUCAUUCGGUCUCUACGAAUGCUUAAUAAGCUUGUUAUAGACAAUGCUUUCAUUUGUCAAAUAGUACAAUAUGAAGGACUCAGCGACCAGGAGAGGCAUACAUCAGCAUUCUAUCAGCUAAAGGAAUUAAGUUUGUGUCAACUUCCAGAGUUGAUGUUAAAGACUUUUGAACCAUCUUUGUUGUCUUUCAAAAAUCUAACAACACUGGAAGUUUCAAGAUGCCAUGGGUUCAUCAAUUUAAUCGCAUGCUCAACUGUUGGAACAUUGGCAGCAGCAAAAAUUAAGCAAGCUUACACAACAAAAUUUGCAAAACUGAAGCAAGAAGAAUCGAAGCAAAAAGAAACAAAGCAAAGCAAAGCAGUGAACAAAGUUGAAUAUUCAACAGAAUUGUAACUGAACAUCAUUAUUUUUCAUUUAAAAUUUGAAAUAUAAAAGUGUUACAAUUUGGUUUAAUUUGACAGUUACCUAAUAAUCUAACUACCUCCACUAAUGUUUAACUAAUACAAGCUUAAGUCACAUACAAAAUAAAUUGACAUAUCAGCUUUUACAUCAUCAAUCUAAUCACUAGCUUAAUCCUACUUGCUUUGUAAGCUAGUUAGAAGAGAACUAAACUAAAUAACAUUAAAACAAAACAACAAAAACUGGUUGCUUCAUUCGGUCCAAAAACCAAGCUUGCGCACCAAGCAAAAUGAGCUGAGCUCGAUAGCUGCUGCUGGUCUCGACAGUAGCUCGCUGCUGGCUUUAUGUUGCACUGCAGUCCAGCUCUCAACACUCCUCCUUGGACUGUAUGCAACACAUUCCAAUUGCACCUCUCAAUGAUUCAAAUCGAGCAGCCCCUAAGGGCUUGGUCAGUAUAUCAGCCAAUUGUGACCCUGAGCUGCAAUGCACAAGGCUGACUUCCUUUGCUUGUUCAGCCUCUCGAACAAAAUGCAGUUUAAUUUUAAAAUGCUUGGUUUUACCAUGAAACACAGGGUUCUUGGCUAUGGCAACUGCUGAUUUGUUAUCCACCCAAAUUUCAGUUGCAUCAGCUUGUGUUUCAUUUAGAUCCUGAAGCAGCUUCCUAAGCCAAAUGGCCUGAUUGACUGCUGUUGAUGCAGUAAUGUAUUCAUCUUCAGCUGUGGACUGAGCAACUGUUUGUUGCUUCUUUGAACUCCAGCAAAACAUGCCCGAUCCAAGUGUGAAGAAGUAUCUAGAGGUACUCUUCAUGUCAUCGAGGGAUCCUGCCCAGUCACUAUCAGAGUAGCCUUCUAGUUUCAGUUUCUUCCCAUUUUCAAACAUCACACCAAGGCUAGCUGUGCCUUUGAUGUAUCUAAGAACCCUUUUUGCAGCCUUCAAAUGUGUCUCAUUACAGCAAUGCAUGAACCUCGAUAGCAGACUAACACCAAACAUGAUGUCUGGCCUGGUUGCUGUUAGAUACAACAGACAACCUACUAGGCUUCGAUAGUGUCUCUCAUCAACCCUUUGCUGAUCACCACUACUGGUCAACUUUUCUCCAUGAGCCACAGGUGUACUGACUACUUUACAGUUAUGCAUGCAAAAUUUGCCUAGAAUCUUCAAAGCAAAUGUGUGUUGGCUGAUGAAGAUACCUCGAUCAGACUGGUGAACUUCCAUGCCAAGGAAGUAGUCAUGAUCCCCAAAUCUGUCAUCUCAAACACUUGCUGUAUUUGAACCUUGAACUCAUUAAUGAGCUCAACUUGGCUCCCUGUCACUAACAAGUCAUCUACAUACAAGGAGACAAUCAGCAAGGUUUCAAAUUCUGACCUCUUAACAUAUAGAGUAGGUUCACUAAGGCUCUUUACAAAUCCAAUCUUGGUCAGGUAAGCAUCAACUCUGUCAUACCAGGCCCUUGGUGCCUGUUUCAGGCCAUAGAGGGCCUUUCUCAACUUGUACACUUUAUCUUCAUGUUCAGCAACUUCAAAACCUUCAGGUUGCUCGAUGAAGAUCUCCUCCUUAAGAAAGCCAUUUAGAAAUGCUGACUUUACAUCCAAUUGAUGAACCCUCCACUGCUUCUAAGCUGCUAAAGCAAGCAGUAGCUUGAUUGUGUCCAGUCUUGCCACUGGAGCAAAAGUCUCCAAGAAGUCCACACCAUACUGCUGACUGUAACCUUUCACUACAAGCCUGGCCUUGUGCUUGUUCAGUGAGCCAUCAGUAUUGUACUUGGUCCGAUACACCCAUUUAACCCUAAUAACCUUCUUAUGUUCUGGUCUGCUCACCAAUUCCCAUGUUUCAUUCUUAUUGAUCAUUUCCAGCUCAGCUUCCAUAGCUUUCAUCCAACUUCUGUCCUUGGCAGCCUCUUCAAAGUCUGAGGGCUCAAUCACAGCAACAUUACACCUCUGAUAGACAUCAGCCAAAGUCCUGGUGCCCCUCACUGGUGCAUUAUCAAUAGCAUCAUCACUUGGUCCUUCUUCUGCAGGUUCAGCAACCAAGUCUAACUGGUCCAUUUCAGACCAACACCAUUCCAAUUCCACACCUUUUCCUCAUCAAACUUUACAUCACUGCUGACUAAGACCUUCUUUGCUGUAGGAUCAUACACUCUAUAACCUUUCUUGUUGCUGCUAUAGCCAACAAAGAUUCCUGGAGUGGCCCUGCUCUCGAGCUUGCUUCUCUUUUCCACUGGUAUAAGUGCAAAACAUACACAACCAAACACUUUCAAGUGUGUUACCAUAGGUUUGACUCCAUGCCAAGCCUCAAAAAGAGUCUUAUCCUUAACUGCUCGAGUUGGCAGUCUGUUGAGCAGAUACACUGAGGUGUUGACUGCCUCAGCCCAAAACUAGCUUGGAAGCUUGCCUUGAAACAAGAGGCACCUGGCCAUGUUCAGCACAGUCCUAUUCUUUCUCUCACAGACUCCAUUCUGUUGAGGAGUAUAGACUGUUGUAAGCUGAUGGUGAAUCCCAGCACUGUCACAAAGCUUCUGGAAUCUCUCAGACAUAUAUUCAGAGCCAUUAUCAGUCCUCAAGGCUUUAAUUUUACAGCCUGACUGAUUUUCAGCAUAUGCCUUGAAUUUACAGAAGGCCUCAAACACAUCUGACUUCUGCUUCAAGAAGUAGACCCAGCACAACCUUGUCAAAUCAUCUAUAAACAGGACAAAGUACCUGUUCUCAUUGAUUGAAGGUGUUCUCAUAGGACCACAAACAUCAGAGUGCACCAAUUCGAGCUUAUUUUGAGCUCUCCAAGCAUUGUCAGCAGGAAAAGGCAGUCUAGCCUGCUUACCAAGCUGACAAACCUCAAAAACAUUCCCACUAACCUCAAUUUUUGAAAUGUCUUCAACUAAAUUCAGCCUAUGUAGCAGAUCAAGAGAUCUGAAAUUGGCAUGGCCUAGUCUCCUAUGCCACAAGUCAGUGCUGUCAGCAAGGCUGGUGUAUGCCUUUCUUUCUACUUGGCUAACAUCCAGCAUGAAGCAUCUAUCAGUCAUAGAGACUGAGAUUAACUCCAGACCGUUCAUGUCUUGAACAGUACAGCAACCAUCCUUAAAUAACAAUGUAUAGCCCUUUUCAACUAAUUGGCCUACACUAAGCAAAUUCUGGUCUAAAUCAGGUACAAAAAGCACGUCUGAGAUCAGCUUGUUACCUGAACCAGUGCUAACCAGCACACUGCCCUUACCCUUAGCCUCAAUCAGCUUACCAUCUCCAAUUCCAAUCCUCGAGUGAAAGCUUCUGUCUAGGCCCUUGAACAACUUCUCAUCUGCUACCAUAUGGUGUGAGCAGCCACUAUCUAGUAGCCAAUCAUUCCUGGCCUUUGUUGUGCCAAAAAAAUAGGUUACUGUGAACACAUGCUCCACUUGAGCUUGCAUGUCCUCAGCUGGUCUAGGUUGUUGCAGAACAGCCUCCCUUGGUUUGCCCUUGCACACCUUUUCCACAUGGCCAAACUGCUUGCACUUUCUGCAUUGUAUGUCUGGCCUAAACCAACAAUACUUUUCUGAAUGUGUUGUCUUCUUGCAGUGAACACAUGGUGGGAACACCCUUUUUGCUUCAUCUCUUCCUGACUUGACCCUUCUAUUGUGCCAAGGCUUCUUACCUUUUGCAUUCACACUCGAGCCUUCACUGGCUUUAGCCUGUAAAACAGCUUCAGAAUUCUCUUCCUGUCUAUUUGCCCUCCUUUGCUCAAGUGCAUACAGGGAGUUUAUCAGCUCAGACAAAGAAAUGGCUGAUAAGUCCCCCGAGUCCUCAAGUGAAGAGAUUUUUGACUUGAAUUUCUCAGGGAAAGUUGUGAUGACCUUUUCAACAACUCUACUCUCUGUGAAGUCCACUCCCAGGAGCCUUAUGCUGUUGACAAUGGCCAUUAUCCUGUCUGAGUACUACUUGAUGGUCUCAGACUCUUUCAUCCUCAAGUUCUCAAAGUCUCUCCUGAGGUUGAUCACCUACUGUUGCCUUGUUUUGUCAGUCCCCAUGAACUCCUCCUUCCGCUUGUCACAGGCCUGCUUAGGUGAGUCACAGGCCAUGAUGCGAGUGAAUAUCACAUCAGACACUCCAUUCUGCAGACAGGCCAUAGCCUUGUGCUUCUUGGCUCGCUCCUCAACAUGCUGCCUCAUCUGUGCAAUGGUGGGAUUGGCUCUCAAUGGAGGUGGCUCAGCAUCAUUCUCGAUCACACUCCAAAGAUCAUGUGCCUGGAGGUAAGUCUUCAUUUUAACUAUCCAAAUGUGAUAGUUCUCUCCAGUGAACACUGGUGAAGGUGGUUGAGUGAAACUCAUCCUGCUAAACUGAGUUUAAGUGCUUCGAUCCUUUUAGUCUUAGGCUUUGCUGUUGGUUUUGAUUUAAACACAAUAGAAUGCAGAGGCCCCUCAAAGAUUCUGGCUCAUGAUGCCAUUUGUUGGAACAUUGGCAGCAGCAAAAAUUAAGCAAGCUUACACAACAAAAUUUGCAAAACUGAAGCAAGAAGAAUCGAAGCAAAAAGAAACAAAGCAAAGCAAAGCAGUGAACAAAGUUGAAUAUUCAACAGAACUGUAACUGAACAUCAUUAUUUUUCAUUCAAAAUUUGAAAUAUAAAAGUGUUACAAUUUGGUUUAAUUUGACAGUUACCUAAUAAUCUAACUACCUCCACUAAUGCUUAACUAAUACAAGCUUAAGUCACAUACAAAAUAAAUUGACAUAUCAGCUUUUACAUCAUCAAUCUAAUCACUAGCUUAAUCCUACUUGCUUUGUAAGCUAGUUAGAAGAGAACUAAACUAAAUAACAUUAAAACAAAACAACAAAAACUGGUUGCUUCAUUCGGUCCAAAAACCAAGCUUGCGCACCAAGCAAAAUGAGCUGAGCUCGAUAGCUGCUGCUGGUCUCGACAGUAGCUCGCUGCUGGCUUUAUGUUGCACUGCAGUCCAGCUCUCAACAUCAACAGCUAAGUGCCUGAUGCUACUGGAAAGAUUGAGCAUAGAUGAUUGUGGGAUGAUAGAGGAAAUCAUAGCGUGUGAGGCUGAAGAAAUGCAGGGCGGCAUUGUAUUUCCCAAACUGCUCGUAUUUGCAACUAAGCUGUCUGCCACGUCUAGCAAGCUUUUCCUUGGCCCAUCACUCGUUGGAAUUCCUAGUCUUGCUAAUGGUGAAGGUGACAAAGAGUCCCAAAAUGAGGAAUUUCUGCCAAGGAGAUUUAAGCACACCAAGGCUGGAACAAAUGCACUUAACAAGAGAUGAGGAAGGUGAACUACAGUGGGAAGGCGACCUUAACACUACCAUAAAACAUAUGUUCGAUGAAAUGGUACAGAUCAUUUAAAGGAUUUAAAUUCAUGUGUUUUUACAUACAUACAUAGUUAACUGAAUAAUUCUUGGUUUGUUAUGAUCAUGCACAAAAUGUGCAAAAUUUGGAGGUGACGGAGGUUACUGAUCAGUUGCCCAAGCUGGAAUAAGGAAAUAUGUUUGGGUGCUUAUGCGAAAAGCUCAAUUUCGUUUCAAAUCAAAACGAAUGGUAAUUGACUCUUCUAUUUUCAUCAUGGCUUAACUAAAGAUUUAUAAAGUGACCAUAGAGACGCCCUUUUCAUUGUAGGUUGAGUUGCUCUACUGAAGCACAUGGCUGCAUCUGUUGGUAGAACGUGAAAGGUUAUUUCAGUUGUAAAACUACUAUUUGAACUGUUCCAUUUCACGUUAUAACCUCACAAUUGUAUUUCAAGUGCAUCAUGCAUGGCAUUGGGAACUACAAACAUGUAAACUUUUACUAGUAAGCAAAAUAAAUAAAAAAAAAUCAUAAAUUAGAGUAUGAAUGUAAACAUAUUAAAGCAUACUUUUUGGUUUCACAAUUUAAAUGAUUUGAGUUAAUUUGAAGCCAUAAAAUAAGAUAAAUUCAAUUAUAAAUUCUGAUGUUUGAAAAUUUUUCAAUAAUAAUAAGUAAAUGCUUAAUGUAGUAAUUAAGAUUAUAAGGCAACAAGCUUAAUUAAGAGGAGUAUUUGUAAAUAUUAGUAAAAUUUACUGUAAAUAUUGUAUGAAAUAAGCAAAUUUAUUUAUUAAUUAACCAAAUUUAUCUACGGUAAAUAUUGUAUGAAAUAAGCAAAUUUAUUUAUUAAUUAACCAAAUUUAUUUACGGUAAAUACUGUAUGAAAUAAGCAAAUUUAUUUAUUAAUUUAAAAGAAAAUUAAUUUCCUGAUAAAAAAUUUAUAUUUCAAAAAAAAAUUAGAAAGAUUUAAUUUUUAAAUAAUAGUUCAAAACAAAUUUUGAAAAAAUGUGUUGUAAAAAUAUUCAAAGUGUAAAAAGACAAUUUAUUCCUUCAAUGCUUAGGAAAAAAUAUUCCUUAAAAAAAGAUACUUAUUAGAAAAUAUCAUUAGAUAUAUGUUUAAUUGUUUAUAUUAAUAAAAAGUUAUCUAUUAACAAAAUAAAAGUAAAACAUUAAUCACAUAUUUAUAAUUUUAAAAUUUUAACUCUUCAAUGGUAGUUUAGAUUAUGCAAAUGAGUUUUCUUUUUUUUUUUCUUUUUUAAAUAUAAGAUAAUUCAAGUUUUGGUCUUUGUUGUCGCUGUGGUUAUUCAGUUUGCUCUCUCAAUGGAGAUUGUUAUUGCCAUCGUUGGCUCUAUUGUCGUUAAAGCUGUAGAGUAUACGAUCUAUCCUAACAAAAACAAUGUCAAAUACCUUUCCAAUCAUCAGAAAUAUGUUGAGACCCUCAAGAACCGAGCUAAUAGGCUGAAAGAUGCUAGGGACGGAGUGCAGCAUUUUGUUGAUGCAGCUAAACGAAACGGUGAAGAGAUCGAAGGUGAUGUUGACAAAUGGCUGUUGAAGUAAUGGUCAGCAUGCAGCAACCAAGACUGUCAAAGGCACUACAUGCAGAAGCUGCUGGUUCACCUAGUCAGCAAGCUGUUUAUGUUUCAUUUUGUAAUUUUAAGUUAGAGUAAUGUAACUUAGUUGCUUUAUAACUAUGUUAGGUUUAUGUUUGAUGUAAUUUUGAUGUUGACUGAGCUGAUAAAUCAGCUUUGUUUGUUUGUUCAAGCUAAUUAGCACAAGUUACUAUGUGUAUUAGUGGUAGUAGGUGAAGUUUAGGUCAACCUACUGUUUUGUCAAGAUUGUAAACUUGUUUUAUGUAUUGGCUUUGUGCCAUAUUUAGUUUAUGAAAUGAAUUCAACAAGUUAUCAUCCAUAUGCUCUUCAUUUUUAGUUUUGCUUAAAAAUCCAUUUGAGUUUUCUGCUUUGUUUCUCCUACAAGUCACGAGACUUGCUCGACAAGUAUCCUGUUGAAGCUUGCUGCUGCUGCCUCUUGAUCCAACAAUUGGUAUCUAGAGCCACAUUCUUAGAGGACCUGUUGUAGUUUAGUAUCAAAAUGAUGGCAUCAUCAGGUUUUUCACCAGCUUCACCACCUGUCUUCAAUGGAGAGGGCUUCAACAUUUGGGCAGUUAAGAUGAGGACUUACCUGCAGGCAUUCGACCUAUGGGAAGUUGUUAACUCAGAUGCUGAGCCAGCACCUCUUCGAGCUAAUCCAACAGUUGCUCAAAUAAGGCAACACACUGAUGAAAGAACAAAAAGGCACAAGGCCAUGUCAUGCAUACAGAAUUGUGUGACAGAUGUGAUCUUUAUGAGGAUCAUGGCCUGUGAAACACCAAAGGAGGCUUGGGACAAGCUGAAAGAAGAAUUUCAGGGGACUGAGAAAACAAGGCAACAACAGCUGCUCAACUUGAGAAGAGAUUUCGAAAAUCUAAAAAUGAAAGAGGAAGAAACAGUUAAGCAGUACUCAGAUCGGAUUAUGGCUGUUGUAAACAGCAUAAGGCUCCUAGGAGAGCAAUUCAGUGAAGCUAGAAUGGUUGAGAAAGUCAUGUCCACUCUACCAGAGAGGUAUGAAGCUAAAAUUUCAUCCCUCGAAGACUCAAGGGACUUGACAACUAUCUCCUUAACUGAGCUAAUCAAUGCCUUGUAUGCACAAGAGCAAAGAAGAGCCAGCAGACAAGAGGACCACCAGGAAGGUGCUUUUCAAGCCAAAGAAGCCUCGAGCAUCAAAACUCAUAAAGGCAAAAAGUUCUGGAAAAACAGGCCUAAGCCUGAUGCUGCUAGGAGCAGUGACCAACUCUGCAGACAUUGUAAAAGAGCUGGUCAUCCAGAAGAUAGAUGCUGGUUUAGACCAGAUGCAGUAUGCCAACACUGCAAGAAAAAAGGCCAUGUUGAAAAAGUUUGCAAGAAUAGAAGCAAACCAAGACAGAAUCAAUUUCAGCAACAAAAGGUAGAAGCUCGAGUAGCUGAAGAAAGCAGUGAUCAAGAAGAACAUGUUUUUGCUGUGUCAUGUGCAGCAAAUCAGAAGAAGGGUUCAAAGGGCUGGCUUCUAGACAGUGGGUGCACAAACCACAUGUCACCAGAUGCAACUAUCUUCAAAACCCUAGACAGAACCUGCAAAACCAAAGUAAAAAUUGGAAAUGGUCAGUUAAUCAAUGCUGAAGGAAGAGGAGAUGUGAUGAUUCAUACUUCUACAAGUGGCAAAAUCAUUUCAAAUGUACUUUUGGUACCUGAAAUCGAUAGGAACCUUCUCAGUAUAACUCAACUACUUGAGAAAGGUUACUCAGUUAUUUUCAAGGAGAAAGAAUGUCAAAUUUUUUAUCCAAGUGGAUCAAACCUUAUAACAGUCACCAUGACUGAUAAAUGUUUUGAAGUAGACUGGCCAAAUGACUCACAUUCAGCCUGCACAGCCUCCACUGAUGACUCAAGACUCUGGCAUCAGAGGCUUGGACAUGCAAACUACAAAUCCAUAGCCCGCAUGGUCAAUGAAGGUCUGGCAGAAAAUUUCAUCGACUCAGUGAAGAAUGAUGAGCUUUGUGAGAUAUGUCAGCAAGGAAAAUUGACAAGAUUGCCAUUUCCAACAAGCACAACAUGGAGAGCAUCAGAGAAGCUCCAGCUUGUGCAUACAGAUGUGUGUGGACCAAUGAAGACUGAGUCUCUCAAAGGAAGCAGGUACUUUAUUCUAUUUGUUGAAGUAAUGGUCAGCAUGCAGCAACCAAGACUGUCAAAGGCACUACAUGCAGAAGCUGCUGGUUCACCUAGUCAGCACGCUGUUUAUGUUUCAUUUUGUAAUUUUAAGUUAGAGUAAUGUAACUUAGUUGCUUUAUAACUAUGUUAGGUUUAUGUUUGAUGUAAUUUUGAUGUUGACUGAGCUGAUAAAUCAGCUUUGUUUGUUUGUUCAAGCUAAUUAGCACAAGUUACUAUGUGUAUUAGUGGUAGUAGGUGAAGUUUAGGUCAACCUACUGUUUUGUCAAGAUUGUAAACUUGUUUUAUGUAUUGGCUUUGUGCCAUAUUUAGUUUAUGAAAUGAAUUCAACAAGUUAUCAUCCAUAUGCUCUCCAUUUUUAGUUUUGCUUAAAAAUCCAUUUGAGUUUUCUGCUUUGUUUCUCCUACAAGUCACGAGACUUGCUCGACAAGUAUCCUGUUGAAGCUUGCUGCUGCUGCCUCUUGAUCCAACAAUUGGUAUCUAGAGCCACAUUCUUAGAGGACCUGUUGUAGUUUAGUAUCAAAACGAUGGCAUCAUCAGGUUUUUCACCAGCUUCACCACCUGUCUUCAAUGGAGAGGGCUUUAAUAUUUGGGCAGUUAAGAUGAGCACUUACCUGCAGGCAUUCGACCUAUGGGAAGUUGUUAACUCAGAUGCUGAGCCAGCACCUCUUCGAGCUAAUCCAACAGUUGCUCAAAUAAGGCAACACACUGAUGAAAGAACAAAAAGGCACAAGGCCAUGUCAUGCAUACAGAAUUGUGUGACAGAUGUGAUCUUUAUGAGGAUCAUGGCAUGUGAAACACCAAAGGAGGCUUGGGACAAGCUGAAAGAAGAAUUUCAGGGGACUGAGAAAACAAGGCAACAACAGCUGCUCAACUUGAGAAGAGAUUUCGAAAAUCUAAAAAUAAAAGAGGAAGAAACAGUUAAGCAGUACUCAGAUCGGAUUAUGGCUGUUGUAAACAGCAUAAGGCUCCUAGGAGAGCAAUUCAGUGAAGCUAGAAUGGUUGAGAAAGUCAUGUCCACUCUACCAGAGAGGUAUGAAGCUAAAAUUUCAUCCCUCGAAGACUCAAGGGACUUGACAACUAUCUCCUUAACUGAGCUAAUCAAUGCAUUGUAUGCACAAGAGCAAAGAAGAGCCAGCAGACAAGAGGACCACCAGGAAGGUGCUUUUCAAGCCAAAGAAGCCUCGAGCAUCAAAACUCAUAAAGGCAAAAAGUUCUGGAAAAACAGGCCUAAGCCUGAUGCUGCUAGGAGCAGUGACCAACUCUGCAGACAUUGUAAAAGAGCUGGUCAUCCAAAAGAUAGAUGCUGGUUUAGACUAGAUGCAGUAUGCCAACACUGCAAGAAAAAAGACCAUGUUGAAAAAGUUUGCAAGAAUAGAAGCAAACCAAGACAGAAUCAAUUUCAGCAACAAAAGGUAGAAGCUCGAGUAGCUGAAGAAAGCAGUGAUCAAGAAGAACAUGUUUUUGCUGUGUCAUGUGCAGCAAAUCAGAAGAAGGGUUCAAAGGGCUGGAUUCUAGACAGUGGGUGCACAAACCACAUGUCACCAGAUGCAACUAUCUUCAAAACCCUGGACAGAACCUGCAAAACCAAAGUAAAAAUUGGAAAUGGUCAGUUAAUCAAUGCUGAAGGAAGAGGAGAUGUGAUGAUUCAUACUUCUACAGGUGGCAAAAUCAUUUCAAAUGUACUUUUGGUACCUGAAAUCGAUAGGAACCUUCUCAGUAUAACUCAACUACUUGAUAAAGGUUACUCAGUUGUUUUCAAGGAGAAAGAAUGUCAAAUUUUUGAUCCAAGUGGAUCAAACCUUAUAACAGUCACCAUGACUGAUAAAUGUUUUGAAGUAGACUGGCCAAAUGACUCACAUUCAGCCUGCAUAGCCUCCACUGAUGACUCGAGACUCUGGCAUCAGAGGCUUGGACAUGCAAACUACAAAUCCAUAGCCCGCAUGGUCAAUGAAAGUCUGGCAAAAAAUUUCAUCGACUCAGUGAAGAAUGAUGAGCUUUGUGAAAUAUGUCAGCAAGGAAAAUUGGCAAGAUUGCCAUUUCCAACAAGCACAACAUGGAGAGCAUCAGAGAAGCUCCAACUUGUGCAUACAGAUGUGUGUGGACCAAUGAAGACUGAGUCUCUCAAAGGAAGCAGGUACUUUAUUCUAUUUAUUGAUGACUUAACAAGAUACUGCUGGAUUUAUUUUUUAAAACAGAAAUCAGAAGUUCCAUCUGUGUUCCUGAAGUAUAAAGCUGCUGUUGAAACUGAGUCUGGUUGCAAACUUAGAGCAAUGAGGUCAGAUAAUGGAACUGAGUACACCUCAGCUCAGUUCCAAGCCUACUGUGAAGAAGCAGGUAUCAAACACCAGUUGACUAAUGUAUAUACACCCCAACAGAAUGGGGUCAGUGAAAGGAAAAACAGAAGCUUGAUGAACAUGGCAAGAUGUCUUCUGUUUGAGAAGAAUUUGCCCAAAAGUCUGUGGGCUGAAGCUGUUAACACAGCAGUUUAUCUCCAAAAUAGGCUCCCAACCAAGGCUCUGGCUGAGAAGACUCCAUUUGAAGCCUGGUUUGGGUUUAAGCCAUCACUGGCUCAUCUCAGAACCUUUGGUUGUCUGUGCUACACACAAGUUCCAGCUGAGAAGAGAAGCAAGCUAGAUAAAAGAGCUCAAGCAGGGAUCCUGAUCGGCUAUAGCUUGGUUAAGAAGGGCUACAGAAUCCUAGAACCUGCUACAAACAAGAUAUUGGUUAGCAGGGAUGUUGUUUUCAAUGAAAAAGGACACUGGAAUUGGGAGAAGGCUGAACCAGAGGCAGUGGCUGAAGAUCUCGCAGUGGACCAAGUUGAAAAUGUUGAAAACACAUCUGAAAUGGAUGUAGAUGAUGUUCCAAUCAGAGGCACUCGAUCACUGGCUGAUGUUUAUGAAAGAGCACAAGUGGCUACUGUUGAACCAAGUUGCUUUGAAGAAGCAGAAAGCCAGGAGGACUGGAAGCAAGCAAUGAUUGAAGAAAUCAGAAUGAUUGAAAAGAAUCAGACCUGGAGUCUGGUUGAUAAACCAACAAACAGGAAGAUUAUUGGUGUCAAAUGGGUUUAUCGAGUAAAGAACAAUGCUGAUGGUAGCCUAAACAAGUUAAAGGCUAGAUUGGUUGUGAAAGGCUUCAGUCAAAGGUAUGGAUCAGACUACCUGGAAACCUUUGCACCAGUAGCCAGGCUAGACACUAUUAGACUGCUAGUUGCCUUAGCAGCACAAAAACAGUGGCUGAUACACCAACUUGAUGUAAAAUCAGCAUUUCUGAAUGGAUUCCUUGAAGAGGAGAUUUAUGUGGAGCAACCUCAAGGUUUCAAGGUGUCUGGCAAAGAAGAAAUGGUGUACAAGCUCAACAAAGCCUUGUAUGGCUUGAAACAGGCUCCAAGGGCCUGGUAUAGCAGAAUAGAUGGCUAUCUGAACCAGUCAAGGAUUUGAAAGAAGUCUCAGCGAGCCAACUCUGUAUGUUAAAUCAACUAGUGCUGAAACUCAGCUCAUUGUCUCAAUAUAUGUCGAUGACCUACUGGUGACAGGAGGAGAUCAUGAGAUGCUAAGCAACUUUAAAGUCAAAAUGCAACAGCACUUUGAAAUGUCAGACUUGGGAUUGAUGUCUUACUUCUUAAGCAUGGAAGUAACUCAAGCUAAGAAUGGGAUUUGGCUAAGUCAAAAGACCUUUGCUAUGAAGGUUCUCAACAAAUUCUCAAUGGAGAAUUGCAAAGCAACCAGCACACCAGUUGCUGUUGGAGAAAAACUCUCAAGCCAAGACAAGCAUGAAAAGGUUUGUGAAACAACCUAUCGAAGUCUAGUUGGAUGUUUGUUGUAUUUGACUGCUACUAGACCUAAUGUAUGCUGUGAGUCUACUCUCGAGGUUUAUGCAUUGUUCAAAUGAAAGUCAUUUUAGAGCUGCAAAAAGGGUUCUAAGAUACAUCAAAGGAACUUUGUCCUAUGGAAUGCAGUUUACCAAGGCUGAGAACUUGAAGCUAGUUGGAUAUUGUGACAGUGAUUGGGCUGGUUCCUUGGAUGACAUGAAGAGCACUACAGGCUAUGCAUUCAACAUAGGCUCUGCUAUGAUUUGCUGGAGCUCAAAGAAGCAGGGAGUAGUGGCUCAGUCGACUGCAGAAGCAGAAUAUGUGGCUGCUGCUGCAGCAGUCAAUCAAGCCAUAUGGCUUAGAAAAAUUUUGAAAGAUAUCAAUCAUGAGCAAAAGGAAGCAACUGAGAUAAUGUGUGACAACCAAUCAGCAGUUGCUAUUGCAAAGAAUCCUGUUUUUCAUGGAAGGACCAAGCACUUCAACAUCAAACUUCAUGCAAUUCGGGAAAUGGAACAAGCUCAUGUUGUUAAGCUGAUACAUUGCAGUUCUGAAGAGCAAAUUGCUGAUAUUUUAACAAAAGCACUAAGUGUUUCCAAGUUUCAACACCUGAGAGCUAAUAUGGGAGUUUGCAACAUGCUAACCAAGGAGGAGUGUUGAAGUAAUGGUCAGCAUGCAGCAACCAAGACUGUCAAAGGCACUACAUGCAGAAGCUGCUGGUUCACCUAGUCAGCAAGCUGUUUAUGUUUCAUUUUGUAAUUUUAAGUUAGAGUAAUGUAACUUAGUUGCUUUAUAACUAUGUUAGGUUUAUGUUUGAUGUAAUUUUGAUGUUGACUGAGCUGAUAAAUCAGCUUUGUUUGUUUGUUCAAGCUAAUUAGCACAAGUUACUAUGUGUAUUAGUGGUAGUAGGUGAAGUUUAGGUCAACCUACUGUUUUGUCAAGAUUGUAAACUUGUUUUAUGUAUUGGCUUUGUGCCAUAUUUAGUUUAUGAAAUGAAUUCAACAAGUUAUCAUCCAUAUGCUCUCCAUUUUUAGUUUUGCUUAAAAAUCCAUUUGAGUUUUCUGCUUUGUUUCUCCUACAAGUCACGAGACUUGCUCGACAAGUAUCCUGUUGAAGCUUGCUGCUGCUGCCUCUUGAUCCAACAAUGGCUGCCUGCAGUCGACAGAAAGAUCCUUGAACAAGUAGAGAAAGUGAUGCAAGACGAAGAAAAAGCAAAGAAAAAGUGUUUCAUUGGUUUGUGUCCUAAGUUCAGGACUCGUUACAAGCUUAGCCUGAAAGCUGAAGAGGAGUCAAGAAUGUACUUGUGGAGUUGAAUAAUGGGAAAGAUCUUCCAAAUUUGAAGAGACUUCUUGUCAAAAAUGGUAUGCAUGUCUAAUAUAUUAAAAUGAACAAAAUUGGAUUUUCUGAAUUAUGCUUCAUCACACUUGAAAAUCUAUCGCUACUCGUUAGCUUUUGCUCUCCAGACGAAAGGUGUUCCACUAAGCCCUUCCUACUUUUCAAUAAACAAGUAUUUGUUUGGCUUUACUUAUAUUUUCUUAUACAACUUUUAUUUAUAUGCCAAUUAAUACUUCUAAUAAUAGAAAUAAAUAAUAUUGUGUAAUGGUUUUUCCGGAGCUCAAAAAUAAAUUUUAAUUCCAAAACAAAUGAAAAUAUAAUUUUUAAUCCAAACCGAUUGACAGUACAAAGUCAAUUCAAUAAUUUAAAUUUAAACCCAAUAAUUAUUUUUUUAAUUUUGAAAAUGAAAUUUGAGCCCACAAAUUGAACUAAAAUUAUCUUUAAAAUCGAAAAUCAUAUUUUCAAAUAAUGUUGCAUACUAUCUUUCCCUAUCGAAAAAGAAUUGUGUGUAAAUAUGUGCAAUUUAUUUUCCCUCACUUGGAAAGCUUGUAAUUGUGUUCCAUUAACACCAGACAUGUCAUUGGAUUACGAAUUUGAGGAGCUUGAUCAUGAAAGGAUGCGGUAAGUGGGAGCAUCUGUUAUCACCCUCUCUCGCUAGAAGUCUGGUGUAGCUCCAAUGCUUUAAGAUAGAGGAUUGCAAGUGUUUAAGGGACAUAAUACUUACAGAGGAAAUUGAAGAAGAAAGGAAAGAUGUGAUUUGUUAAUUUCCCUCGAUUAAACUCCCUGCGUAUAGUGGGUCUUACAAACCUCAUCUUCUUCAGCUCAGGAAACCACAAUAUCGAGUUCCCAUUGUUGGAAGAGCUAUGGAUUGAGAAUUGCCCCAAUUUCAUAGAAUUCAUUAGUCAGAAUAGUAAUCAGUCCGGCAUGCACGCUCUCUUCAGUGAGAAGAUGAUUUAUUUCAGUAGUAUUACACUCUUGCAUAAAUCUGUUGAUUUGUCCUUGUUUUUUUCUUUUUUCUGCCUUCAUUAUUUGAGGUAACCUUAUUAUGGGCAUGGAUUAUAUAUAUAUAUAUAUAUAUAUGAAUAGGCUGCAGUUCCUAGCUUGGAAGACUUGAGUAAUGUGAAGAUGAUAUUUUAUAAUGAUCUAGCACCAGGUUCCUAUAAAAAUCUACGAAAAAUAAGUGUUGGGGGAUGUGGGAGUUUGAAAAAUCUAUUUCCAGUAUCAAUAGCCAAAGGUCUUCCACAACUUGAACAUUUACGCAUCACUAAAUGUGGAGUUGAGGAGAUUGUAUCGAAAGGGGAUGGAGUGGAGCAGCCUGUGAGGUUUGAGUUUCCGAAAGUGUCUUACCUUGAGGUUACAGGGGUAGUAAAGCUCAAAUGUUUCUAUGAAGGGCAAGAUACAAUAGUCUGGCCGAUGUUGAAAAAAUUGAAAACAGAUAGUUCUGCUUUGCUAAAGAUAGUGGCAUGGGAACAUCUUAGAUUAAUCCAAGGAAAUGAGGAGCCAGUUUUGUUGGGUGAAGAGGUAUGUAUAUCAUUACAACUAUAUUUCUUUUUAUGAUUUAAACCACUGCCACAAGCAUCUCAGGAUGAAAUAUGCCACGAUAAUGCAUUUCUAAUUAUUAUAUUUUCAUUGAUUUGAAUUUUUUUUUCCUAUUUUUGAAUUUUUAAUAUAUAUUUUUACAAUUUUUAAAAACAAGACUGAAUAAAUAUAAUAGGUAAAUAUUGAGUGUUAAUCUUAACUUUUUAGAAUGUAGUUCAAUUUGAUAAAAUGUAUAAAUGUUGAGGGUUAAAUUUAUUAUUAUGCAAAAAAAAAACUAUAACAUCCCGUUAGGGACUUUGAAGCAUAGCAAUUAAGAUAUUCAAUUUCUGUAACAACAUUGAUUAAAUUGAAAUUUUAUUUGUUUUUAAAUGGCCAAUGAAAAUAUUUUAACACUUAAGUGACUAUAUAUGUAAUUUACCCUGCAUUUAAGUAGUGGGUAGAAACUAAAUAGAAUGUUUAAUUUAUAAAAAGUCAAAAUUUUAAAAGUUAGUUACACUAGACAUCUCAAACUAUGACCUCCAUUUUAAAUUAGUCCCAAAAUUUAAAAUAUUCUAAGUACAUUCUUAAACUAUUGAUAUUAUAUCAAUUAGGUCUUUCUAUUAUUAAAUUCGUUAAUUUAACCAUCAAAUUAAAUCAGUGUAAUAUUUUAAAACCUUGGUGUUUUAUCUACACUGUUCUGCUUAUAUUUUUUAUCGUAGAAAUAUAUAUAUAUAUAACACAAUGGUUGUUUAUCUAUUUUAAUUUGCUACUCUUCUUUCGACUUUCAUGUUGUGUAAUUUUUCAGUUUUUAUUCUCAAGGUAUUGUGUUUUCUUAAAACAAAAAAUUCUAUCUAUUCUGAAUCCGUUUGAUUUAAUAUUGAUUUUGUUGGGAUUUAAUCAUCAAAAUCAAACACUAAAAUUAUAAAUCUUUUUUUUUUUGUUUGUUUUUUUAAAGCAUAUACAUCAACAUUGAGCCUAACUUGUAUAUAUUUAAUUGGUUUCCAAGGUCAUUCCCAAAUUAGAGGAACUUGAGUUACGAACUUUUGGUGAUAUGGACCAAUUUCCACCAGACUUGUUUCAACAUGUUAAAGUUAUUGCAGUGAGUGGUGGCUCUCCAUUUUCUUUAUUUCCUUUCGUCCGAAGAUUCUACAAUCUGGAAAGACUUGAGGUUUCUUAUUCUGAUUUCAAACAUGUAGUCCCUUGUAAAGGAGACGCCGGAACUCUCCCACCAAUUAGAAAUCUGAAAUUGGUUUCUGCCAGAAAUCUUGAGCAUAUUUGGAGGAAAGAUUCGGAGCUUUACCAUAUUCUUUCUAAUCUUCAAACACUCACAGUUGAGGAUUGUGAUGAUUGGAUAAAUAUUAGAGUCUCCUCAUCAUCUUUACAAAAUCUCACAAAUUUGAAUGUGUCAUUUUGUUAAGAAUCUUGUGCAAUUAACGACAAUAAAGGUAGAAUACGGCACUAAAAUGACAGAAGUAGUGGGAAACGAGGGAGACUGUCAUCAGACAAUAGUUGUUAGUAAAUUGAAAUGUUUACAACUAUGCAAUUUGAAGAGCCUCACAAGCUUUUCUCCACGGUAUUACAGCUUCGAGUUUCCUUGUUUGGAAGAAUUAGUUGUGGAACAUUGUCCUAAGUUAAAGAUCUUUUCUGAGGGAGUUUUAAGCACCCCACAAUUACAGAGAAUAAAACAGUCGAGUUACCGUGAGAAAUGGAGUUGGACAAGUGACCUUAAUACCACCAUAAAACAGCUAUACACAGAAAAGGUACAAAGUUAAUAAGUUCAUAAUGCUAGCUAGAUUCCUCGUGUCCUAAUACAAUUAAUUUUAUUACUACUUCAAUAACCAUUGAAGAGUGUUAAUCGUUACUUUGUUAUUGUCUGCAUUUUCUAUUUAUGAUUGCUAUCUAGUGGAAUAAUAUCAGAUUAAUUUUUAGGAUGGACUCUAUAACCCAUAUGAUUUCAACAUCUCUGACACAUUUCCGGAGUCGAUAGAAAUAUGGACUAGAAACCCUCAAGAAAUUUUGGGCUUCAAAAACCUUAGCAGCCUGCAGUUUUAUAAAUGUAGCAGCUUGAAGUACAUAUUUACUCCGUCUAUACUUUUGAGCCUCAAUCUACUGCAAAGGAUAGAAGUGCAAGAAUGCAGUUCAAUGGAACAAGUAGUUAGGGAGGAGGAGGAAGCAAUGACACAUAAAUUUACAUUUCUUUCGCUACUCUCCGUAACAAUUGAGUCGUGUUCCAGCUUGACAAAUUUCCAUUUGGGAAGUCAAGCUCUUGAAUUUCCACAGCUGAGGAAUAUCAGGAUAGCUGAGUGUCCAAAAAUGACUGCAUUUUCUUCCUCAGUUUCAAGAGAGAGUGGUGAUGCAAGUGAAAACGUGGUUGGCAAAGGGGGCAUCUAUGAUAACACUGCAACUUUUUUCAGCAAUAAGGUAAGUUUGGUAUUCAAUAUUUAUCUGCACAACUUAUUUCACAUUUUCUUUUGAUUUGAUCAACAUGAGUGUGUCUGGUCUAUAUAUACAUACUAGUGCUACACCUUGUCAAAACUGAAUAUAAUAAAAUCCAUAUAUAUAAAUAAAUAAGAUAAUAUUUAAAAAAAAACUGGAGUUUAAAGUGGAAAUUAAAUAAAUAUAUAAAAUAAGAAUUGAAAGGAAAACUUAAAGUGAAAUACUAAAAAACAAAAAGAAUUUAAGAGAAGUUUAAAAUUAAAUAGUAAUAGACAAUAAAUAAUAAAAUAAUAAUAGAAAAAAGAAAACUAAUCUUCCUUUAUUUUAAUUUGUGGGUGUAUAAGAAGGAGAUAAUUGUGGAAGACCUUCACAAAUGUCAUUUGAGAUCAAAAUAAGGAGAAGAAGCAAGAAAACAAAAGGUGAGGAGUUUGAAGAAGAAAGAACCAAAUAUAUGGAGGAGAAUUGAAGUGAGAGAGUGGAUGGGUUUUAUUUAAAGAUUUAAUGCUUUUUUUUUAAUUUCAUAUAUAGAAAAAAUCAUUGAAAGAAAAAUAAGUUCAAUAUAAUUAUUUAAAUUUACUUGUCGGGUUUUUAUAAAAUUAACUCAAAUUUUUGAUUAAUUAUGAAAAUAACUCAAUUUAAAAAUUAUGUACAUAAAUUAUUCGAUUUCUAUAGUGUCUGUCGGUGCCUCCAGACACAAUGGCAGCACUGACCUGCCAUCAUCAACCAAUGAUUGUAUUUUAUUUAAAAAAUAAUAGUUUUUUAGUAGUGUCAUUGGAAAAAUUGACGAUAUCAAACUGAAGUGUGAUAAUAUAAAAUGUUCAUGUACUUGACGAAGUAAUUACCCUUUUUUAAUUAGAGGAAAAAGGGAUUUGGUCUAUUUUCAUGUUAGGUCCAUCACCUUUUGAAAUUAAAUUUAAAUAACCCUUAAAAAUAUAAGAAUAACAAAAAUAAAUCAUUCUCAUUUAUAUUUAAAAAAUAACCUUUAAAAAUUAUAUUAAAUUCUUAUUUAAAUUAUCCAAAUAUAUCCCUCACAGAAUUUCCUCAAGUUUAUCUAAAUUCAAGCAUUUUCAAUUCAUUCCCUAGCAUAUUUAAAUUUAGAUAAAGUACUUAAGGAAAUUUUUUGAGGAAUAUAUUUGGGUAAUUUGAAUAAGAAUUUUAUAUAAUUUUUUAAGUAUUUUUUCAAAAAAAAUGAAAAUGGUUUAAUUUUGUUAUUAUUAUAUUUUUUUAACUGCUAUUUAAAUCUAAUUUUAAAAAAGGACAAACGUAACAUGCAAAUAGGUCAAAUGUUGAAAAACAUUUAAUUUGGUCCAGAUACCAACGACACCCCUUUUUCAACCAAUCUAAAAACGUUAACCGCUUCAAAGGAUCCCUGCACGUUUUAUAUAAUCACAUUCAUUCUGGUGCCGUCAAUUUAUUAGGCAACACCACUAUGAUUUUUUUAAAUAAGCAAUCAUUGGGUAAUGAUGUGCAGCGGUGCAGUAAGCACUAUAGAAAUCAGGUGGCCUUCAUUGAAACAUUUCUACUCUAGGAUUGUGUAAGGUGUAGUAACCUUAGAUUGUGUAAGGUGCCAAGAUUGAAAAAUUUCUACUCUAGGAUGCGUACCACCCAGUGGCCUUCAUUGAAACAAAUGGACAUUAUUGAAUGCCCCAAACUACAGAUAUUUACACGACAAUGUCCUGUAAGUCAGGUUGGAAUCUCAAACCAACAACCCUUGUUUUGCGUCAAUGAGGUAAGCUCACGAAAAGUUUCAUAUUCCAUGAUCAUUACUUGAGAUUACCUAUAAGAUGCUUUUUGAAAAACCUAAUAUUCUCUCCUCUUUUAAUUUUAUGAGAGUCUAGUUCUUACUAAUUUAAAACUCUUUCAUCGAUGUCUAAUAUAUUCUUUUUUUUUUUUUUGAAACAACGAUGUCUAAUAUAUUCAUUGCCAUCCAGGACGGUACUUUCCCUGUAUUAGAAGAACUAACACUGAACACGAAUGAUAUGGUGAAGGGGAUAUGUGAUGGACAGCUCUUAUUGCAGUGUUUCUAAAACCUUAAACUUCUUAACCUCCGAUUCUUUCCUGAGACAUCCGCUACUCUUCCAUAUUCCUUCAUUCGGUCGCUACCAAAGCUUCAGAAGCUUGUUAUAAACAAUGCUUCCAUUUCUGAAAUAGUCUGGUCUGAAGGACUUAGCAAAGAGGAAAGGCACACAUCGGUAUUCUAUCAGUUAAAGGACUUAAGGUUGUCUCAACUUCCAGAGUUGACGUUAAAGACUUUUAAACCAUCUUUGCUGUCUUUCAAAAAUCUAACAACACUAGAAGUUUCAAGAUGCCAUGGGUUCAUCAAUUUAAUCGCAUGCUCAACAGCUAAAUGCCUAACGCUACUGGAAAGAUUGAGCAUAGAUGAUUGUGAGAUGAUAGAGGAAAUCAUAGCGUGUGAGGCUGAAGAAAUACAAGGUGGCAUGGUAUUUCCCAAACUGAAGUAUUUGCAACUAAGUUGUCUGCCAUGUCUAGCAAGCUUUUCCUUGGCCCAUCACUCGUUGGAAUUCCCAGUCUUGCUAAUGGUGAUGGUGACAAAGUUCCCCCAAAUGAGGAAUUUCUGCCAAGGAGAUUUAAGCACACCAAGGCUGGAACAAAUGCACUUAACAAGAGAUGAGGAAGGUGAACUGCAGUGGGAAGGCGAUCUCAACACUACCAUAAAACAUAUGCUCGAUGAAAUGGUACAAAUCAUUUAAAGGAUUUAAAUUCAUGUGUUUUUACAUACAUUAAUUGAACAAUUCUUGGUUUGUUAUGAUCAUGCACAGAAUGGGCAAAAUUCGGAGGUGACGGAGGUUACUGAUCAGUUGCCCAAGCUGGAAUAAGGAAAUAAGUUUGGGUGCUUAUACGAAAAGCUCAAUUUCGUUUCAAAUCAAAACGAACGGUAAUUGACUCUUCUAUUUUCAUCAUGGCUUAACUAAUUCUAUUUUUCUUCACUGUAAGCUAUUUUUCUUCACUUACUAAAAUGCUUUCCACUCAAAUUUCAUUGCAAGAAACCUGAAGUUCUUCAAACAUUUGACCUUAUAUGUUAAUAGAUGGUAAUUGCGUUGCAAACUAAUGGUUUCUACUGUUGUCAUGGUGUAGUAUAUUAUGGAAUCUGAAUCAACCAUUGUAAUCAAAAGAAUGGGAGAACUUAAUCCAGAACCUUUUUUAGACGAAUGCAAGAAGAAAUUUGCUGUUUGACAACUGGUGUUUGAACUGUGAAUUUGAUUUUUUUUUUUGCCAUUUUUGCUGGUCAACAGUGCUAAUAUUCUGAUAUAUUGGCCAGAAUUGAAGGAAGAAGGUCCAAUUUUGCUUUUGAUCCUUCUACUAGUAUCUUAAGAUUUAAAAGAAAUUCAAUUAAACAAUUUCUUCCAAUAAAAUUAAACAAGAAGGCCCAGAAAUUGACCCGCACACUUAGACAUGUUUCUCUUUGAAAAAAUUCAAACAGGGUUUUAAAAUUUGCAAUGUGUUUUAUGUAAAUCAAAUGAUAUCCUGAAUUUUGCUAAGGGUGUUUCAUAUCCUUGAAUCCUUCUUUUGCUUGGCAAGUGAUUCAUUGAGCUUUUGUGAUCAAAUUUCAUGUUUCUUUUUUAGUAUGGGAAUUUGUGGGAAAAUACUUGACAACAAGCCUCAAUACUUGCUGUUGGGAGCUUCAAUAUAAUGUAACUGUUGGUGUUGAAAUCAAAGAACAGAUAAGCUCAGCUUGUAUCUUGUGCAACAAGCCUCGAUACUUGCUGAGUAAACAAUCAGAUUUGAAGCAAAAGAAAGAAGAAAAAAGCAAAGAAAAAUGAGAGAGUUUUGAUGGAUUUGAACUAGCUUUCAUUCAUACUCAAAAUAAUGGCAUAAUGCCAAUACAUAAACCAAGCAAUUUGCUUGUCAAAAAACAAUAAGCAGUCACCUAAACAAUACCUACCACCACUAAUUAUAUUGAAACUUGAAAAACAAAACUUGUAAGCAUGGACAAAGCUGAGUUUACAGCUCAUACACCAUCUAAUUACAUCAAUCAUAAGAUUAGCUUAGUUCAAAUUGAACUAAGGUACAUUACAUUAACUUAAAAAUACAAAAUGAACAAAAUAGGAACAGUUGAGCUUGUUCCAGCAGCACCUGCAUGGCACGAUCUUCAUGGCCUACUUGCUGUCUGCUUCUUGCUUCAUGCUGACCAACAUUCAUCACUCCUCCUUGGUUAGCAUGUUGCAAACUCCCAAUUUGUUUCUUAAGUGUUCGAAUCUUGUUGCAUUAAGGGCUUUGGUCAAAAUGUCAGCAAGUUGAUCCUCUGAAUUGCAAUGAAUCAGUUUUAGCUCCUGUGCCUGCUCCAUUUCUCGAACAACAUGAAGUUUAAUGCUGAAAUGCUUUGUUCUUCCAUGGAACACUGGAUUCUUUGCAAUUGCAAUAGUAGAUUGAUUGUCACAAAAGAUCUCUGUUGUUUCCCUUUGAUGCACAUUUAAAUCAGCCAUGAUUUUCCUUAGUCAAAUGGCUUGGUUGACAGCACUUGUUGCUGCAACAUAUUCUGCUUCAGCAGUAGAUUGAGCCACCAAAGUUUGUUUCUUAGAGCUCCAACAGAACAUGGCUGAACCAAGAUUGAAAGCAUACCCUGAUGUACUUUUCAUGUCAUCAAUCGAACCAGCCCAGUCAUUGUCUGUGUAGCCAACUAACUUCAGACUUUUAGCUUUGCUAUAAAUCAAGCCAUGGUUCAAGGUACCUUUGAUAUACCUGAGCACCCUCUUUGCUGCUUGAAAGUGCUUUUCAUUACUACAAUGCAAGAACCUUGAGAGCAAACUUACAGCAAACAUUAUAUCAAGUCUAGUGGCUAUUAAGUAUAGAAAACAACCAACUAAAAUUUUGUAGGUGGUUUCACAAGCCCUUUCAGAAUUAUCAUGGCUCGAUAACUUUUCUCCAGCAGCUAUUGGAGUCUUUGUUGCUUUACUAUUUUGCAUUGUGAAUUUGGUCAGGAUCUUGGAAGCAAAAACUUUCUGACUUAGGAACAUUCCCUGGUGUGUUUGUGUCACUUCCAUCCCAAAAAAGUAGCUCAUCCUUCCUAGAUCAGACAUCUCAAACAUCAGCUCCAUUUUGGUUUUAAAGUCAGUUAGCAUUGUUUGGUCUCCUUCUGUCACUAGCAGGUUAUCAACAUACAAAGAUACUAUGAGCUGAUUUAGUGUCCCUUCCUUUUUGACAAAUAAAGUUGGCUCACUCUUGCUUCUGUCAAAUCCCAAACCAGACAAGUAGUUAUCAAUCCUGCUAUACCAGGCCCUUGGAGCCUGUUUUAAGCCAUACAAGGCUUUCGUUAGCUUGUAGACCAUAUGCUCAUUACAAGCUGUCUCAAAGCCUUGUGGUUGUUCAACAUAAAUGUUUUCAUCAAGAAAUCCAUUUAGAAAGGCUGAAUUCACAUCGAGCUAAUGGAUUUUCCAUUCCAUUUAAGUUGUUAAGCCAAUCAGCAGUCUGAUGGUAUCGAGCCUGGCUACUGGUGCAAAGGUUCCAGAUAGUCCAGGCCAUAUUUCUGGCUAAAUCCCUUGACAACCAGCCUUGCUUUUAGCUUAUUCAAGCUUCCAUCAGCAUUGCACUUGGCUCGAUAAACCCAUUUCACCCCAAUGACCUUCCUUUUGGCUGGUCUUCCAACUAAUUCCCAAGUCUGGUUCUUCUCAAUCAUGCUAAUUUCAUCAGCUAUUGCUUGCUUCCACCCUUGCUGAGCUUCAGUUUCUUCAAAACAGCUUGGUUCUGCUAUAGCCAUAUGAGCCCUUUUAUAAAUCUCGGCCAAAGGUCUGGUGCCCCUGACUGGUUCAUCAUCAAUAUCUAUUUCAAGACCAUUUUGAUCUGGCUCAGCUUGAUUUGCUGCAAGAUCCUCUGAAACUGCCUGUGGCUUAUUCCUUUCCCAAUUCCAGCAUGACUUCUCAUCAAACACUACAUCUUUGCUUACUAACACUUUGUUCGUUGAAGGAUCUAAGAUCCUUUAGACCUUCUUGACUGAGCUAUACCCUACUAGUAUACCAGGUUUAGCUUUUCUGCCAAAUUUGUCUCUCUUCACUGCUGGUACAUGAGCAUAACAUAUGCAACCAAAGACCCUCAAGUAAGCCAGUGAAGGUUUGAACCCGAACCAGGCUUCAAAUGGAGUCUUAUGAGCCAGGGCCUUAGUUGGAAGCCUAUUCUGAAUGUACACAGCAGUAUUGACUACCUCUGCCCAUAUGGUUUUGGGCAGAUUCUUCUCAAACAGUAGGCACCUGGCCAUAUCCAUCAAGCUCCUGUUCUUCCUCUCACUUACUCCAUUUUGUUGAGGAGUAUAGGUGUUGGUGAGCUGAUGCUUGAUGCCAGCCUCAUUGCAAAAGACUUGGAACUAAGAUGAGGUGUACUCAGUCCCAUUGUCAGACCUUAUAGUCUUAAGUUUGCAGCCUGUUUCAGUUUUAGCAACAUUCUUGAACUUUUUAAACAUUGAGCCUACUUUUGAUUUUUGUUUUAAGAAAUAAAUCCAGCAAAACCUUGAGAAAUCAUCAAUAAACAGAAUGAAAUACCUACUUCCAUUCAAUGACUCAGUCUUUAUGGGGCCACACACAUCAGUGUGCACAAGCUGUAGUCUUUUAAAGGCUCUCCAGGCUUGAUUCGAGGGAAAUGGAAGUCUGGCCUGCUUUCCUAGCUGACAUACCUCACAAACCUCCUGUUUUUGAACUGAACUGAUGAAGUUUUCAGGCAAAUCAUCUCUGCAUAACUGAUCCAUUGAUCUGUGGUUGGCAUGACCAAGUUUUUGAUGCCAAAGCUUAGAUUCAUCAGUUGUAGCUGUAUAGGUAGUGUCUAAGUCCUUUGUCCAAUCAACUACAAAGCUUUUGUCAGCCAUAGUGACUGCCAUCAAUUUGGAUCCAUUUGGAUCACUAAUUUGGCACUGCUUGCCUUUGAACACUACAAAAUACCCUUUUUCUAGCAAUUGAGCUAUGUUGAGCAGGUUUCUGUCAAUCUUAGGCACCAAUAGCACAUUCGAGAUGACCUUGACACCUGUGGGAGUGCAUAUCAACACAUCACCCUUACCUUCUGCCUUUAUAAGGUGACUAUUACCAAUCUUAACUUUAGUUCUGUAGCUUCUGUCCAAGGACUUGAAGAUGGCAGCAUCUAGUGUCAUGUGGUUGGUGCAUCUACUGUCUAGGAGCCAACCAUUUGAAAGCCUCUCUUAAGCAGCUGAGCAUGACACAGCAAAAACUUGCUCCUCUUGAUCACUGUCUUCCUUGGCUACUCGAGCCUCAGCCUUUGACUGUUGAGGUUGAUUCUGCCUUGGUUUGCCUCUGUUUUUGCAGACCCUUUCAACAUAUCCCCUCUUCUUGCAGUGUUGACACAAUACAUCUAGUCUAAACCAACAUUUUUCUUCUGGAUGACCAGGCCUUUUACAAUGCCUGUAGGUUUGUUCUCAUUUUCUUACAGCAUCAAACUUUGGCUUGUCUUUCCAGAUCUUCUUGCCUUUGUAGGCAAUAUUAGUCUUUACUUGAAAGGCACCUUCUUGAUGCUCCUCCAGUCUGCUAGCUCUUCUCUGUUCUAGUGCAUAGAGAGCAUUAAUCAGCUCUGUUAGGGAGAUGCUGGUCAGUCCCUUGAGUCUUCGAGGGAUGAGAUUUUUGCCUCAUACCUCUCAAGCAAAGUUGAAAUAACCUUCUCCACUAUCCUUGCUUCAUUAAAAUUCUCACCAAUGAGCCUUAUUCUGUUUACCACAACCAUAAUCCUAUCUGAGUACUGUUUGACAGUUUCUUCUUCCUUCAUCUUCAAAUUCUCGAAGUCCCUUCUCAAGUUUAACAACUGUUGCUGCCUUGUCCUCUCUGUCCAUUGAAACUCAUCUUUCAACUUGUCCUAGGCCUGCUUUGGUAUUUCACAUGCCAUAAUCCUUAUGAAGAUCACAUCUGACACUGAGUUCUGGAUGCAAUACAUGACCUUGUGCCUCUUGGUCAUUUUAUCAGCAUGUUGCCUGAUUUAAGCUACUGUUGGAUUGGCUCUGAGUGGAUCUGGUUCAAAAUCAGAGUUGACCACCUCCCACAGAUCGAAAGCCUGCAGGUAGGUCUUCAUUUUGACCACCCAUAUGUGAUAGCCUUCUCCAUUGAAGACUUGUGGUACAGCUGGUGAGAAGUUUGAUGAGGCCAUCUUUUUAUACAACAGAUCCCUUAAGAUUAAGGCUCUAGAUACCAAUUGUUGGUGUUGAAAUCAAAGAACAGACAAGCUCAGCUAGUACCUUGUGCAACAAGCCUCGAUACUUGCUGAGUAAACAAUCAGAUUUGAAGCAAAAGAAAGAAGAAAAAAAGUAAAGAAAAAUGAGAGAGUUUUGAUGGAUUUGAACUAGCUUUCAUUCAUACUCAAAAUAAUGGCAUAAUGCCAAUACAUAAGCCAAGCAAUUUGCUUGUCAAAAAAUAGUAAGCAGUCACCUAAACAAUACCUACCACCACUAAUUAUAUUGAAACUUGAAAAACAAAACUUGUAAGCAUGGACAAAGCUGAGUUUACAGCUCAUACACCAUCUAAUUACAUCAAUCAUAAGAUUAACUUAGUUUAAAUUGAACUAAGUACAUUACAUUAACUUAAAAAUACAAAAUGAACAAAAUAGAAACAGUUGAGCUUGUUCCAGUAGCUCCUGCAUGGCACGAUAUUCAUGGCCUGCUUGUUGUCUGCUUCUUGCUUCAUGCUGACCAACAUUCAUCAGUAACUGUGAGACAGUUGAAGGGCAAGAAUGCUGCGUUGCGCCUUGCGUUUGCUAAAGGUACUUUAUAUUAUAUAUGUGUAUGUAGUGAGCAGAAUACUAUGUGUUAAUUGAAUCGUUUGGUACCCUUUGAUUGAUCUUAGGGAAGGGGAUAUAAAUGUCGGGAUUUGAACCCCAAACUUAGCUUUUAUUACAGGAAGAGGAUCAAUUUUGGCUCGGUUAAGCUUAAUGUGUUAAGAACCAGAUAAGAACAUAAUAUAUGGGAACACUUUGGCCAUACGAGGCUAAUGCUUAUAUGAUUCGCUUUACAGACUACAUGCUCCUAGGGAUAACUCUUCUGUAAGUACUAUUAGUUGAAUAGCUUUAUGAUGUAUUAAUCUAUAAAAUCUGGGUGUCAUAUUAUGAGUUCCAUUGCUAUGUUAAUCUAUGUACUAACAAUAUUAUGAAGUAAGGCAAUUUUGUGUACAUUACAUUGGGAUGCAAGCUGAAUUACCUUUAAUCAGCUUCAACCAUACAUACAUAUACAUAUAUAUAUAUGAAGUUAAGAACGUAAGUGCUGUUAAAUGGUACAUUACUCAGAUUGGUAAUAUAAUGGUGCCGAAUGUUCUAAAAUUUAACAAGUAUUACUGGUAAUAUAUUAAUGAAGAUAAAGAUAAAAGUUUUCUCGGGAAAACAAGUGUUAUCCUUCAUUUAUCUUGAUGAUUCUCUAACGCCGCCAAUUUCCCCCCUAAGUUUACAGCAAGAAGAAGAAGAAAAAGAAGACAAACGGCAACGUUAAGCCAUUUAAUUUCAUCCCAGGUUAAUUUUUUUUGUAAAUUAAACAUUUUUUGUAUACAUUUUGUUACCUAUUUAUUUUAUGUUUUUGAAGUUUCCAUUGCCAUUUCUACCUUUCCAAAAUGGUGUCUUUUUACUUGUUUUUUACUGGGUUAUUGACAUUUGUUCCAUAGAAUAAAUUUCUUUGAUUUUAGGGUUCUAUAUGUAUUUUUUUUAUUUAUGAAUUUGAACUUGAGUUAUCCAUAAAAAUUCGACCUUUAAUCUCAAUAUAUUUAUAGUCUAUAAAUUUUGACUUUUCUUCCAAUAAUAUAUCUCCAAAAUUCUAACUUAACCUUUUUAAACUUUGUCAUGUCAUUAUUAUUAGAGUUAAUUGCACCAAAUAUCUCCAAACUAUGGUUCUUCUUCUAAAAUAGUCCUCAAACUCAAAAUAUUGUAAAUUACAUUUCCAAAUUAUCAAUAUUAUAUCAAUAAUGUUCUUCUAUUGCUAAAAUCAUGAAAUGAGACGUCAAAUCUUAUCAGACAUAAUUUAAAAUAAAAAACUUAAAAAAAAUAAUUAUUGUAAAAAUAUUGAUUUCAAGGUUUUCGAAGUUAUUACAAAAACUAUCAUUCAUUUUCUCUUUCACUUUAUUUUUAAUUUUUAUUUUUAAAAGUUGUAUCAACAACAUUUUACUUUUCUCUAAAAAUAUCAUUUUUCAUUAAUAGUUUCAAUAAUAAAAGGAUGAGAUAAAUAGUUUAAAAUAUUUUAAAGUUGGGAGAAUAAUUUAAAAUAAAGAUGCAAUAUUGUUAAUCUAGUACUAUUUCAUAAUAUCAUUUUAUCGUUUCAAGUUUUAAAGACAACAUUUUUUUUUUGAAAUAUUUUAAAGACAACAUUUAAAGAUUGACUAUAAUAAUAUUGUUACAUGGAAAAAGAAUCCCACGUCAGCUAAAUGGCUUACGUCUGACGUGUGCUUAGUGUUAUUAAAAAAGUCAAAGGUUGAGAAAGUCUGAGGCGAGUCACACAUAUCACACGCCAUGCACAGGUUUCCUUAUUUCGAGGCUAAAAUACCAAAAUACCAUCACAUUUCUCGUUAAAUUUACCACUUAAUCAACGAUCCUCUAAAAAUGAUGUAAGGACAUAUUAGAAAUUUUAAUCACAAUAAUAUCACCAAAUCUGAAAAAUUACAAAUGAGGCAAAAAAAAAUACGAGUAAUAUUUAGCCAUAAAAUGUAUAUAUUCAUUCCCUCUAAACCAGGUGGUUAAGCCUCACAAUCCAACGUAACUGUAAACCUUUCUUGGCAGCCAUGAAAUCAGUUCUAAAAUCCCUUGCAAACUCAAUCUUCCUUGUUCUUUCCAUCAUCUUUUCAUCUUCUACUCCACUUGUAUUGGCUCAAUGUGAAGCAGAGACCAAGACUAAUGGAUGCCAUAACUACAGAGAAUCCAUGAAGCUAAAAAUCAUUGCCAUUGUCGCAAUUUUACUAUCCAGCAUGAUUGGCGUGAGUCUGCCAUUGUUUUCUGGUCAGGUUCCGUCACUUAAACCCGACAGGGACUUGUUCACCAUUGUCAAGGCAUUUUCCUCCGGUGUUAUUCUAGCGACUGGGUACAUGCACGUGCUACCGGAUUCUUUUAACGACCUUAUGUCCGGGUGUUUGCCUGAAAACCCAUGGAGGAAGUUCCCUUUCACAACCUUCGUCGCAAUGCUGUCGGCUGUGUUGACCCUUAUGUUGGAUUCAUUUGCAAUGAGUGUAUACAAGAAACGUUGCGGUAAAGCUCUAAUGGCGGAUGCUAACAAUGGUGGUGGAUUGGAAAAUACGAACGUUGUACAAAUCGAUAAUUUUGAACACGGCCAUAGCCAUUCACUUGAGAUGAAUGACGACGUAUCAUCACAAUUGUUAAGGCAUCGAGUUAUUGCUCAGGUAUAUAUACAUGUUUGAAUCCUCAAAUUCGAUGGUUUUGCUUUUCAAGUCUUUACAUUAUAUAUUUCCUAAAUGUAGGUAUUAGAGUUGGGAAUUGUAGUUCAUUCAGUGGUGAUUGGCCUUGCCAUGGGAGCCUCUGGCAACCAAUGCACCAUUCGAUCACUCAUUUCUGCCCUUUGCUUCCAUCAAAUGUUUGAGGGGAUGGGACUUGGUGGAUGCAUACUGCAGGUAACCCCCAACAUUGCACUAUUUUCUCAUUCAAACAUCCAUUUAGUGUACAAUAUUGAUUAACAUUAUGUUUGAUAUGUGCAGGCUGAAUAUGAGAUAAAAAUGAAAGCAAUCAUGGUAUUCUUCUUUUCAGCCACAACGCCACUUGGAAUAGUUCUGGGAAUUGGUUUGUCCAAGGUUUACAGUGAGACGAGUCCAACUUCACUUAUGGUGGUGGGACUACUUAAUGCUUGCUCAGCAGGGUUGCUGAAUUACAUGGCACUGGUUGAUCUCCUUGCAGCUGAUUUUCUGGGCCCUAAGCUUCAAACAAAUAUGAAGCUCCAGGCUUGGUCAUAUGUUGCAGUUUUACUUGGUGCUGGAUUUAUGUCUUUGAUGGUAAAAUGGGCUUAGUCAUGUCAACAUAUACAUGUCUUUUUGUAGUUUUUUAAUCUUAUUCUUCUUCUUCUUCUUUUUUUUUGUUUCAACAGAUGAGUUUAUAGUGAAUCAACACUUAUUCAAUCAAUUAUAAAAUUUAGGCAAAGAAUUUAGGCAACAAGGCUUGAACAUUGAUCUUUAAGAUCGUUUACUCCAUAUUGCAGGGCUCAUCACAAAGUAUAUAUAUCAGAAAAGUAUGCAAACUUCAAUUUUGUGUCAAUAUCAUUAUAAUUUAAACUGUUUAAUGUUACAUCAGAUGUAGAUGUCUUUAAGCCAAUGCUUAUAGCCACAAAGUCUCUUUGGUGCAAGCUAUAAGUACAGAGUUAUGCUAUAAAUAAACAAUUAAAUAAUUUGUAUUUAAAAUAUCAAAUACUAAAAACCAAUAAAUAAGAUUAGAAAACCAAAAAUCGGAUAAAGAAUCAAAUUUUUCUAGAUGUUGGGGCUUGUUUUACACAGUUUCCUUAAGAUAGAUUUGUCUACUCCUACUGUACUUGGUGAAAUGUUGGGAGACUAUCUAAUAGGAUACAACAAAACAAUGAUCGAAAUAAUAGCAUCUCUACAGAGACCAAUGAACAACCUUGCCUUUUUCUAUCACCAGAACAUUGGAAAAUAUAGAGAGAAAAAGAGAAGAAUUUUCGAGAGCAAAAUAAACUUGGUUUUAGAGAGUUUUUUAGUGUAAAAAAAUUUGAAGAAUUCUUAAGCAUUCAAGAUGGAGGAAUUUUGGAAAUAUCCAUAAUUAAAUAUACAAAAUCUGUAUUAAAUGAGCAAUUAAAUCAUAAUAUAUGUCCUUUUUAAAUUAGAUUUUAUAUAUAUUUGUUGAGAAAAUUAAAUUUUGUGUUGGGCUUAAAAUAUCCACAGGCCCAAUUGACUGGUCUAGACAUUUCACAUCGCCCAUGUAGUGCGAGUGCGCUUCAACCCCGAUGGGUUCGGAUCUACACCCCCCUCGCGUGGGACAAAGUUUCAAACUUAGUCAUUCAAUUAUCCUUCAAGUGGGUUCUCAUAUAUAAACACAUCUCACAUUUGGUAUUUAAUCAAUGUGAGAUCUAAGCUUUUCUUUUCCUCAACAAAUAUUCACAACUUACUUUGAGCAUUAAUUUCUCGCUCAUCACUCAACCAUUUUGAGCAUACGAUAUACUAUUGUAAAGGUAUCAUGGAGUAGAAUAUAAAAUCAUAAUUUUAUGAUUCAAUUCUCCACUUAUACCAAUUGAGAAUAUGCUUCAAAGUUUCUAAAAGUUACAAUUUUUUCAACAUUUUAUACAUCUACUUUAAAGGUAUAAUCAAGCCCAGCAGAGCCCGAAUAAUGACAAGCUUGAACUUGACUCAAACAUCACUUUUUAAGCUCAAUCUUGAUUCAAAACAUAAUUGAGCUGAUUAAGCUCGUUUAUCAAUUUUUAUAAUCAAACUCAUUUAUAAUUAAGCUCUUUUUAUAUAUCAAGGAUAAAAAUGUAAUUUUAUAAAUAAAAAAUAUUUAAAUGGAAUGCUUAAUUAGGUUUGUGGGCUACUUGAAUCAAGUAUUACAAUAUUUAAAUUCAGCUUAAUCAAUAGCUCGAGCUCUACUCAAUAAUUUUUGAUAAAAUUUUAAGAUUUUUUGAAUCCAAUUAGAAUAGCUUGCAAAUAUAAUGUAUCAUUGUACUCUUAAUUUUAAGUUUACAUUUUUAAUUCUUAAAAUAAUAUUAAAAAGUUCUUUCUUUCUAAAAAGAAACACCCAAUCAAUUGAAGGCUUUUUAGAAAGUGGUGGCAAAGUGCAUCCUUUACUUUAAGUCUCACUAUAUCUAAAAAGAAAUUAAUGCGAACUGUAGAAAGUGGUAGGAAUGUGCAUCAUUAUUGCUUUAAAAGAAUUUCAAUCUUUAAACGGAUAGAAUUAAAUUUUCAUAAUUUGGAAGAGUUAAAGUGUAAUUUUUUUAUUUUAAAAUUUUAAAAUUUUUUAAAGAGUUCAAAUAAUAAUUUUUUAUUUUAAGAGAGCCGGGCUCCUGUCAACUCCUGGAUUCGCCUCCGUAAUUUUCAAAAUUCAGUUAAAUUAUGUUAUUUUGAAUAAAAAGUUAAUUGAUAAAGAAAUUCUUUUAGUUUCGAAAAUUCAAUUUUUUUGUUUUAAAAAAAUAUUAAAAUUUAAAAAUUAAAAGAUUAAAGUAAUAAAAUUUCUCCCAAUAUCAAUGACUUUUUGAUACAUGCACGAAUGAAGUGAAAUUUAUUAGAUUCCAAUCAUCAAAACUACUAAUUUUCAGGCUUGGGAAAUUAGCAGACUUGCAAUGACUUUUUGGAUGGGAUUCUGGCAUUUUUGGGUUGAGAUGUCUCAUGGCAUUUGAAGAUCAAUCUCUUAGCUUUGAAACGCAUUUUGUAUCACUCGAUUUUGAGUUCGGGAGCUCAAGUUAUGACUGUUUUAGUGAAGAUUGCGCGAGCAAAAUUUCUGAACGAGAUUAUGACGGGAAUUACGAAUUUUGGGCUUUUAAUUCGUGUUUAAAUCAUAUUGAGUUCAGGUUUUAGACUUAAUUUUUAUUAUUAUAUAUGAGCCUAAUAUUAUAGUUGUUAGAUCUUAUUAUUUUAUUCCAAAAUUUUGAUAAUUAUUAAGUAUUUUAAGUUAUUUAGGAGUUUUAUAUUAACAAGAAAAUUCAAUUUAAAACUCCUUCUUAUUUAGAUUAAAUUAGAGUUCUAGUAUACUUAAAAGUUUUAUUUAGAUUUAUUUAGCUAGUCUAUAUGUAGGCCUUAUUCAUUAUUAUUCUAUUUCUCUUUUAAGUUAAUAAAUUCUCUCUGGGUUUUUUUUUUUCAAGAAUUUCUCUUGAGUUUCUUUUAGAAGAGUUUUAACAAUCAUUUUAGAUUGUGAGGAUCAUUUUCAAACUUUUUGUUGCCAAGGUUUCUAUCUUGAAGGGGAAAUUAGAGCCGCUUGAAGGAGGUUAUGAAUUAUUCGUGUUUCCAAGGCUUAUUAGGACUUCUACACGUCACGUUCUAUCUUUUCAUUUAUCUUCUUUAUUUGCUUCCUUAAUCUUUAAUUUAUUAUUUUAUUUUAGUUAUUUAUUUUAAUUGUUUUAUCUGACUUGGAUUCAAUUUCGUUUCAGGUUGUGUCAAAAUCAAAUUUCUUUUCGAACGUUUAGAACCCUAAGUCAAAUCCGUGAUUUUGACAAAUUUUAUGAUCCACUUUCGCGUUCAUCCUUCUCAUCCUUUAUCACUUUUGCUACUUUUCUUGCUUCUGUCGAUGCAUAUCCUGACAAGCCUUUAACUAUCAUGAGAAGCAAAGGAGAGAAGCAAAGGAUAAAUACACUACGUAUGAUAUAAAUAUGAUUAAUUUUCCUUGAAAUAUUAAUUAUUAAAUACAUAUUAAAAUAUAGAUAUGGGAAUACAAUCUUUUAUAAUAAUCACCCACUAUGACACCAUUUCGUUGUAAUUAUUAAUUUUUUACUAAAAUCGAUAUUAAUAUUUUAUUUUAAUCUUCUAUAACAACUUUUCACUUAUAAUAGCAAUAUCCAUAUACAUUCUUUAUUAAACUAUUUCUCUAUAACAUCGUAUUGUUUAAAUCUUUAAGUAAUAUAACGACCACCAUUUUAUAAAAGAUAAAAUCUAGACAGACAAGUUAAGUAAUUUUAGUUUAGUAAAUUGUAUUUUUUUUCUGAAUGAUUUAGAUUAAUUGCUUUUUUCCAACACCAUGAAAAGCUGAUUUCAAACACAAUAAUUGGCGAUAGUGUGUUCCUUCUUUUGUCACCUUUACCAAAAGGGAAAAUAAUUGGCGAUAGAGUGUUGCUUUCGUUUGUCAACUUUUCAGCUGUAGCCACCAAAUGAUAAGAAUCCAUGAAGCUCCACUCUCAAGUAUUUGUGUUUCUUUAGGAUUCUAUUGUUUACAUUUCAAAUUUUGUUUAGAUUGAGCUGCCCUUUGUCAAAUUACUUCUCGCAUUACUCCGUUAAGAAUAUUAUCUUUUCGCUCGUUCGUAACUGCGACAACUAAUCGCUGAAUCCUUCUCUUAUACGUUGGAAAGGUACGCCAUCUGCUUUCAUUUUGGUUGAUUUGGUCUUACUUCUUGGUUUACGGAAGCUUUACUUUUUGCUCGUUUUAUUUGUAACUUUUUCUUCUGAUUUUGUUUUGGUCUUUGUUGUCGCUGUGGUUAUUCAGUUUACUUCUUGUUUGAUCUCUCAAUGGAGUUUGUUACUACCCUAGUUGGCUCUAUUGUCACUAAAGCUGUAAAGUAUACGAUCUCUCCUAUCAAAAACCAUAUCAAAUACCUUUCCAAUCAUCAACAAUAUGUUGAGACCCUCAAGGACUAUAUGUUUAGUUGGUAAAAAAAGGAGAAAAAAAGAAGAAAGAAAACCACUUUGCUUAGUUGGUAAAAGCCAAAGUUGUGAGUAUUGAAUAAUCAGAUUCGGAAUUUAGAGUGAUAGCAUAUAGAAUAUUUUCCCAUUAAAAUAUGUUUUGGUAUACGACAUUUUAGGGUUGUUGGCUAGUCAUUACUGAGCUGCUUCCUUUCUUUUAAAGUAUGAUGAAGUCAUCUUUCUCAAAUCACUACUUUCUGGGUUUGCUCUGUUAAGAACAAGAAAAAAAGAAAAAAAUUGGAAGUUAUCGAUCACAGCCAAAAGGUACGCCAUCUGCUUUUCUUUUCCCUGCUUUGCUCUUACUCUUCUGAAAUACUUGUCGGUAUAAAUAAGCUUAGGCAGGCAGUUUUAACCAUGAAAAUGGACUUCUUUUAUGCUUUAAAUCUAUUUAGCCCUUCUAUUUUAGCUUUAGGAUUUCGAGUCCUGUACUUUUUCGAUUUAAAAUCUUCAUCUUUCCAUUCAAAUUUACCCUUAGUGUUGUUGACCUGACAUAUAUAAAAAGAUCAAAUAAAUUUUUUAGCCUUAAUUUGAUCUUUACUUUAUAAAAUUACAUAAAAAUUCAGAAUUAAAAAGAAAACAUAUUUCCACUAAAAUCCAUUAAAAAAUUGUGGAAAACACUCUUUAAAGUUCGUGGAAAAAAGGGAUAAGAAGGGGUGACUAUUAGGAAAGCUGCAUAAGCACUUUUGUUUGUGAUCUAUCAACAAAUUGUGGCUUCCACAUACUGCAAUAUGGUUAUUAAGAGGUUGAGUACUGCUUUAUCUUGUAGAAGGAGGAUUUGUAGUAGAUCUAAUCAUAAGUUGGGUUAAUAUAAAAAUUUUAGAUUUGUUUUUAGGGUCCGGAUCGCCUCAACUAAAAAAAUGCGCUAAAAUUUUAUUUAAGUUCAACCCAGAUAAAAAAUACUAAAUCUGAACCCGUCUGUAUUAGAUUAUUUUUAUAUAAAAAUAAAUUUAAAAAAUAUAAUACAUCAAAUACUCUAAAAAUAUUAAAAUAAAUGUUUCUCAACGAAUUGAAAAUAUAUUUAAAAAAAUUCUUUAUACUUAAAUAAAACUAACAUAGUUGCAACUUAGCAAACAAAUGUUUCUAAAAUAAUAGUAAAAUUAAAAAUAAAAUAAGAGUUAUACAAUAUCUAAAUAAUAGUAGUAAAAUAACAACAUAACAGCAAAAAACAACAACGUAAAAGCAGUAAACAGCAGCAAAAAAAUAGUUAAAUUUGGGUUAGGUCCAAACUAAAAAAAUCUUACCUGAAGCUCAGCCUGUUUAAAACGAGAAUUUAUUUUUUUCGAAGUUUAUUUUUUGGGUUUGUAUUAUUACCUAAAAUAUAAUGAUUGUAUUAUUAAAAUAUUAAUCAUAUAAAUAGUUACGGAAGUGUGUAAAAUUACUUUAAUUUUUACAUUGUGUAAGUAGAUCAUUCCCCUUAAUAUUAAUAAAUUUUCAUUUUGUUAUAACAUAAUAUUUAAAAUAUGAAUUAAGAUUAAAAAUUAAAUUAAAAAUAUGAAUAUAAAUAGGGUGAGGAUUUAAUACUUUUUGUUAUUCCACAAGUAACCUUAAAAAAUUGACAUGUCUCUCUUUCCUUUAAAUAUUUUAUUAUACUCUUAUAAAACACUUGUCAAUCCCUUGGUCCUGCUAGUGGAGUCUAAAAACUCCAUUGGCAGUGUACUAAGUGAUUUCUCAUAAUUUAUUAUUGAAUUUUUUAAAUUCCACAAGGAAAGUCAAGAAGUUGAUAAAUGUCUUUUUAGAAGUAUAGUAAAAUAUUUUAAAAAAAUUAAAGAUUUUAAUACUGCUUGUAGAAUAAAUAUGUACAAGCCCAAAUUUACCAGGGGCCCAAAAACCCAAUUACAACCAAAACCAAACCCAAAAGACCUAGCCCAAUACCCCUAACCCAACCCAAACAACAGACCCUAAACAUUUAAAAACCAAGCCCAAUUACAAUACCCGACCCAAUAACCCUAAGCCCGAUUAACAGUAGCCUAAAGCCUAACAUCAAAUCAGAAACAGACCCCCUGCUGCCGCUGCCGCGCCACUUGCUCUGCCACCGCCGCGCCUACUUCACCCACUUGCCUACAGAGAAAUGACAAGCAAAAAAUAUUGUAAAAAAUGGCUAUAAAGCCAUAACAACUAUUGUAAACGGGGUCUUCUUCCCCCCUUUUUUUCCACGAGCAUGAAAUAAAAAAACACAACACUUUCAAGGUUUUUUCUUUUUUCAUUUUAGGUACUUAUUUUGGUUAUAUAAUCCUUUUAUUUAUUUAUUUUACAUAUAUGAAAAUAUAAAAAAAAAGAGAGAAAAGGGAAAGAACCUACCGGAGUCAAUCCGCGUCUUUGUCGUCGGAGACCUCUUCUCUGGUGCCUAAAAUCAGUCGUUGAGAAUGUUGAUGGCCUCUUGCCCUUUGUUUUUUUGGUUGUUUUGAGGCCGGAUCCGAACUCAGUGGGUUAGUAUCUAAAAAAAGGACACUUUUUUACCCUCGUCGGCCUCCGUGCACGGUGGCAUCGAUGCUGGCGAUCGACGGCCGACACAGUGGCCUUUGAUUGAACGCUCGGCCGGAGUGUGGGGGAGUAGAGAGGAUUUUGCUUAGUUGUUUUAAGGGGGAGGGUGAAAAUGAAAAAAUUCUAAAAAUUUUGGCUUUUAUAGCCUAUGGGAAACGGCGCCGUUUCAUCCGGCCUCCACAGGCGCCAAAACGGUGUCGUUUUGGGGAGGCCGACCCGAACCUAACCUGUCUGCUCUAAGAUCCGCGCGUUUUAAGAUGGAAGGGCUAAUUGCACUUUUAGCCCUUCCGCCUUCUUUAUGUUUUUAAUUAAGUAUUUUUGUUUUUUCAAUUUUGCACAGUGAUUUUUUUGCGAUUUCGAUUUAGUCCUCGCUAAAACGAUGUCGUUUUGGGGGAAAGAGAAAAUUACCCUUUCAGUCCCUCCAUGUUAUUCGCGUGUUCAGAUUGGUCCUUUCCUUUUAUUUUACUUUUGAUUUUGCCCCAAAUCUUUUCCUUAUAAUUCAAAUUAGUCCUUUUUUGUUAUUUUAUUAUUUUAUUAAUUAACUCAAUUAUUUUAUUUAUUCCUCAUUAUUGUACUAUUAUGUUGUGUUAUUAUUGUUAUUAUAUUUCCAAUUUGUUUAUUGAUCUAAGUUUAAAUAUUUUUAAUCUCAUUAUUAUUAUUAUUAUUAUUAUUAGUUACUCAUUUGUACCUUUUUAAUUUUAGAUUUAAUUAUAUACAUACAUAUCUUUGAUUUAUAUAUAUAUAAAUACUUAUAUAUAUAUUUUUUACAUUUUAAAAUAUGUAUAUUUUUAUAUUUUUAUUUUUAUUUUUUUUAUGAUUCACAUAGAUAUAUAUUUAUAUUUUAUAAUUUUUAUCGAUAUUCUUUGUUGUUAUAAUUGCUUCACUUGGUGUUCACUUAUUUAUUUAUUUACAUGUCCAUUAUUAUUAUUAUUUUUAAAUGCUUUAGUUUUUAUUUGUUUAUUACUUGUUAUUGUGUAUACAUGAUUGAUUUUUUUAUAUAUAUAUUUGUCUUCUUAUUUAUUUAUCUUUUUGUUUUUGCUCGUAUUAUUUUUACUUACAUUAUCAUAAUUGUUAUUCCAUUACAUCAAUUUUUACCAGAUUUGUAAAAGAGAAAAUUUUGAAAAUAAAGGCAAUACUCAGUAUUUGGGAUCUUCGAGAGGAUUGAGCCCUAACGUAUUGGGAUCCAAUUUUCUUCGUUGAAUCUAAAUAAUCGAGAAUGCUCUUUAAUAAAAAACAUAAAUAAAAAGCUCAUUAUCGGGAAUUCAAUACGUUGUGUCCUAACACAUUGGAUAUGACAUGUUGUUUUCUCGAGAUGAGGAUUUUUCUAAAAAAAUAAUAAAGGCAAUAUUCAAUGUUUAGAAUUUUGAGAAAUUGUGCCCUAACGUAUUGGGCUGCGAUUUCUUCAUCUGACUUAAACAAUUGAAUAUCCUUUUAAAUUUUAUUGCACGAGUUUUUUGGACAAGCUCAUUUUUGAGGAGGUGAAAUGUCAUGCCCUAACUCAUUGGGUGUGACAUUUUAUCUCUCCGAAAUGAGAGGGUCUUAAUGGGUAAUUUGUUUUAUAUAAGUUUUUUUUUUACAAAAGAUCGUAUUUUUAAAUUUCUUUAAAGUUUUUAAUUCUCAACACUAAGACACUAAUUAAUCAACUAGGUACCAAUUUUAGGCGUUACGAGGGUGCUAAUCCUUUCUCGUACGUAACUGACUCCCGAGCCUAUUUUUUUGAAUUUCAUAGAACAAAAUCGUUGUUUUAAUAAAAUUAAAUUGUUUAUAAAAAACAACCAUUUUUCGAGGUGUCCCGAUCACACCUCAUCAAAAAGGAUUGGUGGCGACUCUAGUGUUCUUUUUGCAUUCAUUUCGUGCAUUUGCAUUACAUUACGUCAUGAACAUUAAAGUCCACCAAAGAGCCUAAUUGAUUAAAAUUAUUUCAGUUAAUAUGGAAAACCAACACCCUUGCGGUACCCGAACAGAAACUAAAGGAAUAGACCAAAGGUUGGAGAGGUUAGAGCAGAUGCAAAUAUAGAUGCUAGAGCAAUUGACCAAAUUUCAACAAGAUAUGAAGGAUCAGAUGCUAAAAGUCCAAAGAAAUCUGAUGAGCCAGUUAACCCAGUUAUUGGAUAAAGGGUUAGAAAAAGGAAAAAACCAAACGGUCUACUUUAGAGAUGAUAAUGAAGACCCUGCUCAUUUUCCAGACUUUACCCCAACAAACAUCCAAGCACAACCGAAUACAUAUCCACAAAGGGUAACUGUUAACAUCCGACCACAAUACCAGACUAGUACCUCGACACCGGUGAAUUUCGCGACAGGCUCAGGUUCCAACCUUAAGGGCAAUUUAACUAAUCCCGUUGUCCUUGAUGAUCUAGCGGGAGUAAAACAGGCGAGAGUGGAGUUCUCAAAACAAUUUGGAGAUAGUUACAAACAGAAAGGGCAAAAAUGGAGCCCCCAAAUCAAUACUUCGAAAGCACCGAAGAAGAGGAAAAAUGAGGUGAAUGAUGCGAGUAGGUAUAACGAGGGUUAUUCAAAGGCGAUUACUGCAAGCCAGCCAAGGACGGUUGCUUCUAGCCAUUAGAUCCCCCAGAGACAAGAAUCCGGCACAAAGCAAAACAUUGAGAAGUCCCAAUUUACACCAAUCCCAAUGUCAUAUCGGGAGCUGUAUCAGAGUUUAUUUGAUGCACACGUUAUUUCUCCUUUCUACGUGAAGCCUUUACAACCUCCGUACCCCAAAUGGUACGACAAAAAUGUGCAAUGUGACUACCAUGCGGGAAUUACGGAGCAUUCUAUAGAAAAUUUCCCUACCUUUAAAAGGUGGUUGAAAGGCUCAUCAGUAUGGGCAUUGUUAAGUUCGAUACAGAAAAUUUGUUGCCCAAUCAUAUUGAUAAUCGGGGUGAAUGCGAUGAAUGAAGAAAUGUUGGGAAAUGUUCACAUCAACGUCGUAUACAAAGAAACAACUGAAGAAGAGACCUUGUUAGAUAUCCACCUUUAUAAACUUGGGAGUCUUCUAAAUAAAUCGGACUGUAGAAGAAAUCUCUGUAUCAUUUAAAGCUUAUUUAGAGUAAUGUUCAAAACACUUUUGUUGCUUUUGGCCUAGAUGCAGUAAGAAUGUCUAUGUGAAAUAGGCUCAUGUCUGAAUAUUAUCAUUUUAAUGAAAUCCAUUAUUGUGAUUAUUUUGAGCUAGUAUUCUUUCAUUCUUUACAAAUAAUUAUGUUUGAUUCUUUCAUUCUUUUGGAUUUUCUUCCACAUCAUUCUUUCAUUUAUAAUUAUAUUGUACAAAUAAUUAUUCAUAAAUUCAUACAUUCUUUUUAUAUUCUUUUGUACCUACAAUGGGUCCCUAGAUAUCAAUGACAUGAGUGACGCUGCUACAGACUCAGAAUUUCCUUUUGAGCGAGACAUGUGUUUAAAGGGAUCUCAUUACUUUAUUAAAAUUUUUUUGGGUGCAGCCUGACCAAUGGGCAACACUAGACUAAAAUGUGAUGAUCUAAAAACUCUAGGGGCCUUAUAUGUCAAAUUUUCGUUUUUAUUGGCAAUUGAUUCAAAGGGUGUCGCAUGACAGGCGGCACCAAACUUUAAAAAGGAUAAAUUCACCCUAAAUCCCCCUUAUUUAUUAUUUUUCUUUAACACCAAAAAUAGAUUGCCUUUUAUAAAUUAGUCUAAAUUUUUUUUACCAAAAAGUAUUUUUGUAAGUAAACCGUUUCCAUUUGGAAAUAAUUUUAUUUCUUUUUAGAAAAUAUUUAUAAUUUUAUUAUCAAAUUGAUUUAUGUACACGGUAUAAAAUUAUAAUUAUAAAAGCUUUAGAAAAAUCUUAUUAUGUAUAAAUUAUAAUUAUUAGUUAAAUUUAUAGUUUCAAAUAUAAUGAGAGAAAAAGAAAACUACUAUAAAUAUAGUUAAUUGUAAUGUCAAACAUAAUGUGAAUUUUUUGUUUGAAAAAUAAAUAAAAGUUAUUUUGAGUUGGAAUCGACUUACUUUCAAAAAUACUUUUGGUAAAAAAAAAUUAGACUAAUUGAUAAGAGGCCAAUUUAUUAUUGGUGUUAAAAGAUAAUAAAAAUUAAUAAUAAAUAGGAGGUUUAGGGUGCAAUUUACCCUUUUAAAAUUUGGAGCCGUCAUACAGGCGGCACCCUUGAAGAGUUUUUCGACUGUCAAUUAAAAUGGAAAAUUUCCAUAUAAGGUCCCUGAAAUUUUUAGAUCAUCUCAUUUUAGCCUGGUGUGGCCGAUUGCUCAGGCUGCACCUGAAUUUUUUUUAAAUAAAGUGAUGCUGUCGAUUGGUUAGGCGGCACCGAUAUUUCACCGUUUCAUUUGACUAUUCUCAUAAAUAUUAAUCUCUUUAUCCUAUUUUGUAUUUAUUUAUUUAUUUUAUAUUAUUAACGUAAAAAACCCUAUAUUGUGACUUGCGGAAACGUGGAAUGAAAACCAAUUAGGUUUUUUUUUUAAGUUUUUCUUGAAUUAAAAUGCAACCAAUAAAAAUAAUUGAUAUUUUAAUUUAAUAAAAAUAAAAUUAAUUAAUAUUUGAGUAUUUAAUUUUAAAAAUUAUCAAGAUGUAAUUACAACAAUUAAUUUUAAAAGUUAUUAAAGAUAUUUAUAUAUGUCAAUUUUUUAUAAUUAUUAAUGACAUACAUAUAAAUUAAUCAAUUAAUAGUGUGUCUCUCAUAGAUGAUAUUGACAGUAGCGGAGUCAGAAAAUGUUUUUGAAAGACCGGAAUUAAUGUAAAAAUAUAUAAUUUAAAUAAUUUAAUAGCUUUUAUAAUAUUUAAAAUAUUAAAUCAAAAUUUUUUAUCAUUUUAAAGAAGAACAAAGUAUAAUUUUACUUUUAUUAAUUUAAAAUUUUAUAAAUUAUAAAAAUUAUAUAUGAAACCGGAUACUGUCAGCCCCUAUGACUAUGUAAGCCUUGAAAACAUCCUUCCUUAUUGAAUGUCUUUUUCUACUUUGGCAGUGGUGUGCUUUCUUUGAUUCUAGCAGCUCCUUUUAAAUAAAAUUUCCAAAAAUAAUAGAUAUUAUAUGAGGAAUAGUUGGUUGAAGAAAGAAACAGCAAAAAAAUAAAAAAAUUGGCAAAUGACCUUUCAAGAGCUGCAUUUAAUACAUGGAUACUUAAUAAUUCAUUUAUUUAAGGGUAAACUAUAAAAAUAGUCACUUUUGUUUACCUCAGAUUACAUUUUAGUCACUUAUGCUUGAAACGUUACGGUUUAGUCACUUACGUUUUCGUUUUGUUACGAAGCAGUCACUCUACCGUUAAGCUUUGUUACCUCCCUAACAGUGGUCCUACAUGGUAGUCCAAAUGAGUUUUAAAUGCCAACUUGAAUGUCCUACAUGACAGUCCAAAUUAAAUUUAUUUAAUUACAAACUUAUUUUCAUCCCAGCAAAUAGACAUCCAAGUUAACAUUUAAAACCCAUUUGGAUUGCCACGUAGGACUAACGUUAGGGAGGUAAUGGAGUUUAACGGUAGAGUGACCACUUCGUAACAAAACGAAAACGUAAGUGACUAAGACAUAACAUUUCAAACAUAAGUGACUAAAAUGUAAUCUGAGGCAAACAAAAAUGACUAUUUUUAUAAUUUACCCUUUAUUUAAUAAAUUAUUUUAGGGACCGAACAUAUAUCUUUUUCAUUUCGUCGAAAAUCAAUUUUACAGUAUAAACUCCUACGACCUCCCCUCCUAUACCAUGUAGUAAUGAUUCCUCUAACAAUUUCUCAAUUCAAUAAAAGAAAAAAGAAAAGAGGGUCUUAAAUAAUGAGAGAUAUGUAAAAAGGAACUCCUUUUUUACUUUCUAGUUUAUUUUCUAUUUUAGUAUUUUUUUUACAUCUAAAUUAUAUAGAAUUUUUUAUAUAGAUAUAAAUUUUAAAAUGAAUGAUUAAAAUAGGGAAAUGCUGUUGAGCAAAUAAAAUAUUUUAUGAUUGAAGUUAUUGAAUACUCAAGUAGUGUUACCUUAUAAAUCUCUCAUGUCUUCUGAGAAACAAAAUAACAAAUUAUAUUUCUAAUCUCAUUCCAAAGCAGUCUUAAUCAUAAACUUUGUUCCCACUUUGUUUGUUUUCUUUCAAAAGUUAGACAGAAACUAUGAACUUCUCCACUCUUCAUAAUUCACAAAACAAAUCCCAGUCUACCAUUAUUAACUAAAUCUGUAUUAACUAAUCUCAAUUUCCUAAUCCAACACUGUUUUCUCUUUUUUCAUUUCUUUAAAAACUGUUCCAUUUUUAUACUAUAUUACUCCAUUAUAUUGUGGUCAAGUGAAACAAAAGUAAAAUGUAGUGUAUUUUAAAAAUAAUAUAUAUUUAUUAUAAUUCGGGCCGGCCGGGCUGGGCCCAGGCCAAAAAAGUUUUGCUCAAGGCCCAGCUCAUUUUCUAAAUGGGCCCCUUUUUUUAUCCAAACUCAUACUUCGGGCCUAUAUUUUUACCCGAACCCUCCCAGAACACCUCUAAUUUGCACCAAUUCAUCCCAUUUAAUGCAAACAUAUUAAAUAUUUAUAUGUCCAUAAAAGAGUAUGGUUGGAAAGGCAUUUCGACUACUAGAAAGAAUGAAGGAGAAGAGGAUUCUGGUUGUGUUGGAUGAUAUUUGGGAAAAGUUAGAUAUUGAGGAAGUAGGGAUUCCUUUGGGAGAUGAACACAAGGGAUGCAAGUUGCUGUUAACUUCUAGAGAGCUCAAUGUUUUAGUAAAUGGGAUGGAUGCUCAGAAAAAUUUUCCCAUUGGGUUUUUAAACGAAAAGGAAGCCUGGGACCUGUUCAAGAAGAUGGCUGGAAACUGUGAUGAAAGUUGCGAUUUGAAGCCUAUAGCUAUGGAGAUAGCCAAAAAUGUGCAGGAUUGCCAAUAGCCAUUGCGACAGUUGCAGGGGCUUUGAGAAACAAAAGGUUGUUUGAAUGGAAGAAUGCUUUACGAGAACUGGAGAGGCCUUCUUCAAGCAACUUCACGGGGAUAACUGCGGCACAUUCAGCUAUAGAGUGGAGUUUUAAUUAUUUAGAAAGCGAGGAAGUUAAGCUGACUUUCUUGCACUGCAGUGUAAUAGGCCAUAAUGGUCUCGUUGAGGACUUGGUAAGAUAUACUCCAGGUUUGGGUUUAUUUGAUGGUCUCAAAACUAUGGAAGAAGCUAGAAAUAAAGUAUUGACGGUUGUGGCUAAUCUCAAAGCGUCUGCCUUGUUGCUUGAUAGUUAUGAUGAUGAGCGCUUUGAUAUCCAUGAUGUUGUUUGGGAUGCUGCUUUAGCUAUUGGAUUGAAGGACUAUCGUAUGAUUGUUUUGAGAGAUCAUGUUCCAAAGGAGUGGUCCGAUAAGGAGAAAAUGAAUAGGUGGAGUGUGAUCAGCUUACGUUGUCCUCGGAUUAUAGCUAACCUUCCAAAGGAGAUGGAGUGUUCAGGUCUUUCCUUCUUCCAUAUGGCCGGUGCAGUUAAAAUUCCUCCUAAGUUUUUCAAACAAACCGAAGGCCUCAAAGUCUUAGAUUUGUUCGGAAUGCAGUUUCCAUCCCUACCUGAAUCAAUUAUUCACCUCACGGACCUUCACAUGUUGUGUCUAAAAGAAUGUGCAGUUGAUGACAUAACCAUCCGUGGAGAGCUCAAGAAUUUAGAAAUCCUCGACCUUUCUAAGUCAGGUAUCAAAGAACUACCUAUGGAGAUGGCACAAUUGACUCAAUUAAGGUUGUUAGAUUUUAGUUGGUGUACAAAACUCGAAAUCAUCCCACCAAAUGUCUUAUCAAGUUUGUCUAAAUUAGAAGAAUUAUAUAUGGGUGGAAGCUUUGUUGAAUGGGAAAAGGAAUGAGUAGUUGAAACUGAGAGCAAAAAUGCAAGCCUUGACGAAUUAAACAAUUUGCCUUGUCUAACUACUUUAUAUGUUCAUAUUCUUGAUGCUUAAAUGAUUCCAAAGCAUCAAUUCGUUGAGACAUUGGACAAAUACAAUAUUUGUGUAGGUGAUUAUAAUAGGUUUGUAUGGGUCCAAAAUAAUGAAUUUUCAAGAACAUUGAAGCUCAAGUUAUGUACAAACAUUUAUUUGGAGAAUAGGUUGAAAAUGUUGCUGAUAAAAACAGAAGACUUGCGCCUAGAGGGACUUGAAGGCAUCAAAAAUGUAUUUGUGGAGUUAAAUAAUGAGAAAGAUCUUCCACAUUUAAAGCGACUUCAUGUCAAAAAUGGUAUGCAUGUCCAAUAUAUCAAAAUGGACAAAAUUGAGUUUUCUGAAUUAUACUUCAUCAAACUUAAAAAUCUACCGUAACUCAUUAGCUUUUGCUCUCAAGACGAAAGGUGUUCCAUGAGUUCCAAGUUACUACAACUUUUCAAUAAACAGGUAUUUGCUUGGCUUUAUUCAUAUUUUCUUAUACAAUUUUUAUUUAUAUGCCCAUUGUUUCAUAAUACUUCUAAUAAUAAAAAUAAAUAAUAUUAUGUAAUAGUUUUCGGGGCUCAAAAAUAAAUUUCAAACUCAAAACAUAUGGAAAUUUAAUUUCUAAUCCAAACUUAUUGAAAGUCCAAAAUCAAUUCAAUACUCAAAAUUUAAACCCAACAAUGUUUUUUUUUUAAAUUCUGAAAAUGAAAUUGGAACCCACAAUUCGAACUGAAAUUGUCUUUCAAAUCGAAAAUCAUAUUUCCAAAUUUAUGUUACUAUCUUUCCCUUUCCCCUCCUUUUAGAUUUUUAAGAGAAAAAAAGAAUUGUGUGUAAAUAUGUGCAAUUUGUUUUCCAUCACUUGGAAAGCUUGUAAUUGUGUUCCAUUAACACCAAAAUAAUAUGGCACAACCAGACAUGUCAUUUAUUGGAUUACGAAUUUGAGGAGCUUGAUCAUCAAAGGAUGCGGCAAGUUGGAGCAUCUGUUAUCACCCUCUCUUGCUAGAAGUCUGGUGCAGCUCCAAUGCUUUAAGAUAGAGGAUUGCAAGUGCUUAAGGGACAUAAUACUUAUAGAGGAAAUUGAAGAAGAAAGGAAAGAUGUGAUUUGUUUCCCUCGAUUAAACUCCCUGUGUAUAGAUGGUCUUCCAAACCUCAUCUUCUUCAGCUCAGGAAACCAUAAUAUCGAGUUCCCAUUGUUGGAAGAGCUAUGGAUUGAGCGUUGCCCCAAUUUUAUGGAAUUCAUUAGUCAGAGUAGCAAUGAGUCUGGCAUGCACGCUCUCUUCAGUGAGAAGGUGAUUUAUUUCAUUACUCUUAGGCUCUUAUAUAAUUCUGUUGAUUUGUCCUUGUUAUUUUGUCGGGCAUUAUAUGAGCUAACUUUUGUACCGGCACGAAUUAUAUGUAGGUUGCAUUUCCUAGGUUGGAAAAGAUAACAAUCAACAAGUUGAGAAAUGUGAAAAUGAUGUUUCAUAAUAACUUUGCACCAGGUUCUUUUCAAAAUCUACGAGAAAUAAGAGUUGAGGGAUGUGGGAGUCUGAAAAAUCUAUUUCUAGUGUCAAUAGCCAAAGAUCUUCCACAACUUGAAGAUUUAUGCAUCACUAAUUGUGGAGUGGAGGAGAUUGUAUCGAAAGGGGAAGGAGUGGAGGAGCAGCCUGUGAGGUUUUAAUUUCCGCUAGUGUCUUCCCUUGAGGAUACAUCCCUAAAAGAGCUCCAAUGUUUCUAUGAAGCGCAACAUACAAUAGUCUGGCCCAUGUUGAAAAAUUUGAAAACAGAUUGUUCUGCUUUGCUAAAGAUAGUGGCUUCGGAACAUCUUAGAUUAAUCCAAGGAAAUGAGCAGCCAGUUUUGUUGGUUGAAGAGGUAUGUAUAUCAUUACAACUAUAUUUCUUUUCAUGAUUUAAGCCACCGUCACAUCCAUCUCUUGUUGAUAUAUAUAUUAUUUGAAACGGUGGUUGCUUAUCCAUUUUAAUUCGGAUUUUUUAUGCACUUCUUUCAGCUUAUUUUUAUCAUUUUUUAUUUCUAAGGUAUUGUGUUUCUUAAAACAAAAUAUUCAUCUAUUUUGGAUUGGUUUGAUUUAAUAUUGAUUUUGUUGAGAUUUAAUCAUCGAUAUCAAACACCAAAAUUGUAGAUCUUAUGUUCUUUUUAAGCAUAUAGAUCAACAUUGUGCCUAACUUGUUUAUGUUUAAUUGGUUUCAAGGUCAUUCCCAAUUUAGAGGAACUUGAGUUAUUAAAUUUUGGUGAUAUGGACCAGUUUCCACCAGCCUUGGCAAACUCGACAGCAUGCAGGCCAUGAAGACCAAGUCAUGCAGGAGCUGCUGAUACAAGCUUAUUUUGUUUAUUUUGUAAUUCCCAGUCAAUGAAAUGUAAUCUUAGUUCAUUUCUAACUAAGUUAGAUUGUUGACUGAUGUAAUUAGCUUAUGUAUGAGCUGUAAACACAACUUUGUGUAAGUUUACAAGCCAAAAUUUCAAGUUUCCAUGUCAUUAGUGGAGGUAGGUGAUGUUUAGGUAAUUACUUACUGUUUUUGACAAGCUUAGUGCCUGUUUUAUGUAUUGGCAUUGUGCCAUUAUGCAUUUUAUGAAUGAAGUUCAGUUUGUUCAUCAAUUUCUCUAUUCAUUUUUCUUAGCUUUUCUUCCUUUCUCUUGCUCGAAUUCUCUUGUUUGCUCAGCAAGUCUCGAGACUUGCUUAACAAGUUUGCACUGAAUCUGUUAGUUUCAGUUACAGCACCAACAAUUGGUAUCUAAAGCCUAUUUUCUUAAGGGACCUGUUACACAAAUCCAUGGCUUCAUCAAGCUUUUCACCAGCUGCACCUCAAGUCUUCAAUGGAGAAGGCUAUCACAUAUGGGUGGUCAAAAUGAAGACCUACCUGCAGGCUUUCGAUCUGUGGGAGGUGGUCAACUCUGAUGUUGAACCAGAGCCACUUAGAGCUAAUCCAACAGUGGCUCAGAUCAGGCAGCAUGCUGAUGAAAGGACCAAGAGGCACAAGACUAUGUCUUGCAUCCAGAACUCAGUGUCUGAUGUGAUUUUCACAAGGAUUAUGGCCUGUGAAUCACCAAAACAGGCCUGGGACAAGUUGCAGGAAGAGUUUCAAGGGACAGAGAGGACAAGGCAGCAACAGUUGUUAAACUUGAGGAGAGAUUUCAAGAAUUUGAAGAUGAAGGAAGAAGAAACUGUCAAGCAAUAUUCUGACAGGAUUAUGGCUGUGGUUAACAGCAUCAGGCUCCUUGGAGAGCAGUUCAAUGAAGCUAGGAUAGUGGAGAAGGUUAUAGCAACUCUGCCUGAGAGGUAUGAGGCAAAAAUCUCAUCUCUCGAGGACUCAAGGGACCUGUCCACCAUCUCCCUGACAGAGUUUAUCAAUGCUCUAUAUGCUCAAGAGCAGAGGAGAGCAAGCAGACUGGAGGAGCACCAAGAAGGUGCCUUUCAGGCAAGAACAAAUACUACCUACAAAGGCAAGAAGGCCUGGAGAGACAAGCCAAAGAAUGAUGCUGCAAGGAAAGAAGGUCAGACUUGCAAGCACUGCAGAAAGGCUGGUCAUUCAGAAGAAAAAUGCUGGUUCAAUCCAGAUGCUGUGUGUCAGCAUUGUAAGAAGAAGGGUCAUGUUGAGAGAGUCUGUAAGAGCAAGGCCAAAUCAAGGCACAAUCAGUUUCAACAGAUGAAAGCUGAGGCUCGAGUAGCUAAGGAGGACAGUGACCAAGAGAAGCAAGUUUUUGCUGUGUCAUGCUCAGCUGCUCAGGAAAGGUCCUCAUCUGGUUGGCUCCUAGACAGUGGAUGCACCAACCACAUGACACCUGAUGCUGCAAUCUUCAAGUCUUUAGACAGAAGCUGCAGAACUAAGGUCAAGAUAGGAAAUGGUCAUUUUAUUCAAGCUGAAGGCAAGGGUGAUGUGCUAAUAUGCACCCUUACAGGUACCAAAGUGAUUUCAAAUGUGCUGUUGGUGCCUGAAAUUGACAGAAACCUGCUCAGCAUAGCUCAGUUGCUGGAAAAAGGUUAUUCAGUUGUGUUUAAAGACCACCAGUGCCAAAUCAGUGAUCCAAGUGGAUCCAAACUGAUGGCAGUCCCCAUGGCUGAUAAGAGCUUUGUGGUUGACUGGACAAAGAAGUCAGACAUUGCCUACACAGCCACUUCAGAUGAAUCCAAGCUGUGGCAUCAAAGACUGGGACAUACCAACUUCAUAUCGAUGGCCCGAAUGAUCAGAGAAGACCUGGCUGAAAACUUCAUCAACUCAGUGGACCAUGAUGAUGUAUGUGAAGUAUGUCAGCUAGGAAAGCAGGCCAGACUCCCAUUUCCCUCGAAUCAAGCCUGGAGAGCCUCUGAAAAACUCCAACUGGUGCAUACUGAUGUGUGUGGCCCUAUGAAGACUAAGUCAUUAAGUGGAAACAGGUAUUUCAUACUGUUCAUUGAUGAUUUCUCGAGAUAUUGCUGGAUUUACUUCUUAAAACAGAAAUCAGAGGUGGCCACUGUGUUUUGGAAGUUCAAAACUGCUGCUGAGACUGAAACAGGCUGCAAGGUAAAGUCCAUAAGGUCUGAUAAUGGGACUGAGUACACCUCAGCUCAGUUCCAAGCCUUCUGUGAUAAGGCAGGCAUCAAACAUCAACUUACCAACACAUAUACACCUCAGCAGAAUGGGGUAAGUGAAAGGAAGAAUAGGAGUUUGAUGGAUAUGGCCAGGUGCUUGAUGAUUCAGAAGAAUCUGCCUAAAGCACUAUGGGCAGAAGCAGUUAACACUGCAACAUACAUUCAAAAUAGACUUCCAACCAAGGCUUUGGAUCAAAAGACCCCAUUCGAGGCCUGGUUUAGCUUCAAGCCAUCACUGGCUCAUCUGAAGGUCUUUGGAUGCAUCUGUUAUGCACAUGUACCUGCUGUUAAAAGGGACAAAUUGUCUGAAAGGGCUCGACCUGGUGUUUUGGUGGGCUAUAGCACUGUUAAUAAGGGCUAUAGGAUUUUAGAUCCUUCAACAAACAAAGUGUCAGUAAGCAGGGAUGUGGUAUUUGAUGAGAGGUCAUGUUGGAACUGGGAAAGACAUGAACCUGAAGAAGUUUCUGAAGAACUUGCAACAGACCAAGCUGAGCCAGACCAAAAUGUCCCUGAAAUGGAUAUUGAUGAUGAACCAGUCAGAGGAACAAGGCCAUUGGCUGAAAUUUAUGAAAGGGCUCAUGUAGCCAUAGCUGAACCAAACAACUUUGAAGAGGCUGAGGCUCAGCAAGGGUGGAAGCAGGCAAUGGCUGAGGAGAUCAGCAUGAUUGAGAAGAACCAGACCUGGGAAUUGGUUGAAAGGCCAGUCAAAAGGAAGGUGAUUGGGGUGAAAUGGGUGUACAAAGCCAAGCAGAAUGCUGAUGGUACCUUGAACAAGCUGAAAGCAAGGCUAGUUGUCAAGGGGUUCAGUCAGAGGUAUGGCUUGGACUACCUGGAGACCUUUGCACCAGUGGCCAGGCUCGACACCAUCAGACUGCUGAUUGCCUUAGCAGCACAGCUCGAAUGGAAGAUCCAUCAACUUGAUGUGAAAUCAGCCUUUCUGAAUGGUUUCUUAGAUGAAGACAUCUAUGUUGAACAACCACAAGGGUUUGAAAUAGCUGGCAGAGAGCAUAUGGUCUACAAACUGAAGAAGGCCCUAUAUGGAUUAAAACAGGCUCCAAGGGCUUGGUAUAGCAGAAUCGAUGGCUACUUGACUGAUCUGGGAUUCGAUCGAAGCAAGAGUGAGCCAACAAUGUAUGUCAAGAAACAAGGGACACAAAUACAACUCAUUGUGUCCCUGUAUGUUGAUGAUCUUCUGGUGAUAGGAGGAGAUCGAGUAGUGCUGGCUGAUUUCAAGACCAAGAUGCAGGAAGUGUUUGAAAUGUUUGAUCUUGGGGAGAUGUCAUACUUUCUUGGAAUGGAAGUGUCUCAAGUACAGAAUGAGAUAUUUCUAAGCCAGAGAAGCUUUGCCACAAAGAUUCUGACCAAGUUCUCCAUGCAAAACAGCAAGGCAACUAAAACACCUGUUGCUGUUGGAGAAAAACUAUCGAGCCAAGGUGAUUUUAAGAAAGUUUAUGAAACAACCUACAGGAGUCUAGUUGGUUGCUUGCUAUACUUGACUGCCACUAGACCAGACAUCAUGUAUGCUGUAGGAUUACUCUCAAGGUUCUUGCAUUGCUGCAAUGAGAAGCAUUUCCAAGCUGCAAAAAGAGUGCUGAGAUAUGUCAAAGGCACUUUAAACUAUGGUUUGAAGUACAGCAAAGAAGGAAAUCUGAAGCUGGUUGGCUACACUAAUAGUGACUGGGCUGGCUCGAUAGAUGACAUUAAAAACACCUCAGGGUAUGCUUUUAACCUUGGUUCAGCCAUGUUUUGCUGGAGCUCAAAGAAGCAAAGUCUAGUAGCUCAAUCUACUGCUGAAGCAGAGUAUGUGGCAACAGCAAGUGCUGUCAACCAAGCCAUAUGGCUAAGGAAAAUAUUGGCUGACUUGAAUGUGCAUCAAGAGGAAGCUACUGAGAUCUUCUGUAACAACCAAUCUGCAGUAGCAAUUGCUAAAAAUCUAGUGUUCCAUGGAAGAACAAAACAUUUCAGCAUCAAGUUGCAUGUUGUUCGAGAAAUGGAGCAAGCUCAGGAAGUAAAGCUGAUCCACUGUAAUUCAGAGGAUCAACUUGCAGACAUUUUAACCAAAGCCCUUAGUGUCACAAGGUUCGAAUGUCUAAGAAAGAAGCUAGGUGUUUGCUCUAUGCAAACCAAGGAGGAGUGAUGAAGUUGGUUCAGCAUGCAGCAAACUCGACAGCAUGCAGGCCAUGAAGACCAAGUCAUGCAGGAGCUGCUGAUGCAAGCUUAUUUUGUUUAUUUUGUAAUUCCUAGUUAAUGAAAUGUAAUCUUAGUUCAUUUCUAACUAAUUUAGAUUGUUGACUGAUGUAAUUAGCUUAUGUAUGAGCUGUAAACACAACUUUGUGUAAGUUUACAAGCCAAAAUUUCAAGUUUCCAUGUCAUUAGUGGAGGUAGGUGAUGUUUAGGUAAUUACUUACUGUUUUUGACAAGCUUCGUGCCUGUUUUAUGUAUUGGCAUUGUGCCAUUAUGCAUUUUAUGAAUGAAGUUCAGUUUGUUCAUCAAUUUCUCUAUUCAUUUUUCUUAGCUUUUCUUCCUUUCUCUUGCUCGAAUUCUCUUGUUUGCUCAGCAAGUCUCGAGACUUGCUUAACAAGUUUGCACUGAAUCUGUUAGUUUCAGUUACAGCACCAACAGUUUUUGAAGUGCGUGGUGGUGGUGGCUCUCGAUCUUCUAUAUUUCCUUUCGUUCGAAGAUUUUACAAUUUGGAUAGUUUUAGGCUUCCUUCGAAGAUUUUACAGUUUGGAUAGUUUUAGGCUUCGUGAUUUUGAUUUCAAAUAUGUAGUCCCUUGUAAAGGACACGUUGGGACUCUCACACCAAUUAGAAAUCUGAUAUUGAAUCGUGCCAUAAAUCUUAAACAUAUAUGGAGGAAAGAUUCGGAGUUUGACUAUAUUCUUUCUAAUCUUCAAACACUCAAAGUUCAUAAUUGUGAUGAUUGGAUAAAUAUUACAGUCUCCUCAUCUUUACAAAAUCUCACGACUUUGAAUGUGUCAUUUUGUCAUUUUUUUUUAGGAUGAAUUCUAUGAGGGAGACUAUUUGAACAUCUCUGACACAUUUCCCAAGUCAAUAGAAAUAUGGAUUAGAAACCCUCAAGAAAUUUUGGAAUUCAAAAACCUUGUUUCGUUGCAUUUUUAUAAAUGUAGUAGCUUGAAGUACAUAUUUACUUCGUCUAUGCUUUUGAGCCUCAAUCAACUACAAGUGAUAAAAGUAAAAGAAUGCAGUUCAAUGGAACAAGUGGUUAGGGAGGAAGCAAUGACAGAUAAAUUCACAUUUCUUGCACUCUUCUCCAUAAGAAUUGAGUUGUGUUCCAACUUGACAAAUUUCUAUUUGGGAAGUCAAGCUCUUGAAUUUCCACAGCUGAGAAAUAUCACGAUAGCUGAGCGUCCAAAAAUGACUACAUUUUCUUUCUCAGUUUCAAGAGGAAGUGGUGAUGCAAGUGAAAACGUGGUUGGCGAGGGGGGCGCCUAUGAUAACCCUGCAAUAUUUUUCAGCAAUAAGGUAAGUUUAGUAUUCAAUAUUUAUCUGCACAACUUAUUUCACGUUUUCCUUUUAUUUGAUUAAUUUAUAUGAGUGUGUCUGGUCUAUAUAUAUAUUAGUAUUAAUGUCACGUGAUACGUGUUGUAAAAAAUUAAUAUAAUAAAAUCCAUAAAAAUAUUAAUAAAUAAGAUAAUGUUUUUUAAUUUGAAGUUUAAAGUAUAAAUAAAUAUAUAAAAUAAGAAUAAAGGAAAAACUUAAAAGUGAAAUACUAAUAAACAAUAAGAAUUUAAGAGAAGUUUUAAAGUUAAAUACUAAUGGACAAUAAAUAAUAAAAUAAUAAUAGAAAAUAAAAUAAAAAACUAAUCUUCAUAUAUUUUAAUUUGAAGAAUAUUUGAUGUACUAGCGGUACACAAGCUUCAUGUAUCAUCGGUGAAUAAGAACAUACAAUUAUCAUUAAAUACCACAAAAAUAUAGUAAAGGGUUUAUAAAUAAAUACUAAUAAAUUUAUCUAAACAUAAUUAAAUAAAAAUUAAUUGUAAUUAAAUAUCAAAACCCUAAAUCCUAAACUUGAAAUUCUAAGCCCUUAAACAUAAGAUCUUAAAUCCGAAAGUUAUUAAUAUUUAUUUAUAAUAGCUACGACUAAGGUUAAAUAAAUUUUUCAUCUCUUUUUGCUUUUGAACUUACAUUUUUAUCAAAUCACCUCAAAAUGAAAGAGAAAGUUUAUAUUUGUUAACUUCACUUAUGUGACAAUCCAUGUGUAUGCAAAGUUAGCAAUUAAUUAAUUUUUAAAAUAUUGUAUAUAUUUUUAAAUAUUUUUAUAAAAUUUUCAAAAUAAAAUAAAAAUUAAUUGUUGACAUGUCAUCUACAGCCAAUCCAGUGUAUAUAACAUCAGCAAAGUUAACAAAUGUCAAUUUUUUUUCUCUACUUUGAAUGAUUUGACAAAUAACACAAGUUCAAAGGAUAAAAGAAAUAAAAAUAAAAAUAGAGAGCUAAAAUGAAAAUUUUUUUUUUAUAAAGUUGGGGGUUAAAUAAAUUAUCUAUGCCUAAGUCUUUUUUAAGGUAACUCAUUAAAUAACUUAAGUAAUUAAUGUAAAUCAUUAAUGGAAACUACAUAAAUAUGUGAGUCCAACUUAGUUAGAAACAAGCAUAUUCCCCUAUUCAAUCGCAUCAAUAAUAAUCAUUCAACAAUCAUUAUAGUAUAUAUGAAAGCUCCAAGUUGUAUAGAAAAAGGCUUCUUUCUUUAAAAAAAAAUUUGCUUUAGGUUAGAUUUAUGCUGCUGAACAUUUCAACUAAACAAAAAAGGUCCACGUCUGCUAGCUAUAUUUAUCAGUUUAUAAAUCUUCAUACUCAUCUACUCUUUUUGAUUGUGUUUAUAAGUAAAGAAGGAAGAGUUAUGAUGUUAUCUUAUAAUGAAAUUUAUGUCAACAGGUUGUCAUUCCUCCUUUGCAGCAUCUGGAAUUGUCCGUCGUUAACAUUCAUGAGAUAUGGCACCACCCAUCCUCCCCAUCUGUCGGAUGUCUAAAUUCCUUGCAAGUGAAGAGGUGUCACAAUUUGAAAUACCUGUUCCCGUCUUUCUUGGUAAAAGAUCUUGUGCAACUCCGACGCCUUGAAAUUUUGGACUGUAAUAUGAUGGAACAAGUAAUAUUCACGGAUGGAUUGGUUGAAGAACAUCAAGGGAGGAAUCAGAUGUUUUUCUCUGAACUAGAAUUGCUGUGGCUAAAAGAACUUCCCAAACUCACAAGUUUAUGCUUUGGGAAUUGCUUUGAAUUCCAAUGUUUGACAGAUUUAGAACUAACAAAUUGUCCAUUGCUUAAAACAUUCAUCACUAAAUGUGUAUCUGAAGAUGAACCUAAAAUUGGCCAACAUGUACAAGCGAGUAACUUGGAGGUUCAUAACUCAUCUCUCCUCAAUGAAAAGGUCAUUUCUUUAUGGGUUCUCCUUUUAAUUUGUGUUGCUUCCAUUGCUCUUAUUCAUUUGAAGUUCUUUCUUUUCCAUGCAUAUUUCAGUUAUUAACCUAAUGAAAUGAUUUAGCAGGUUGUUUUCCCUAGUUUGGAGAAUGAUGAAGUUGGUUCAGCAUGCAGCAAACUCGACAGCAUGCAGGCCAUGAAGACCAAGUCAUGCAGGAGCUGCUGAUGCAAGCUUAUUUUGUUUAUUUUGUAAUUCCUAGUCAAUGAAAUGUAAUCUUAGUUCAUUUCUAACUAAGUUAGAUUGUUGACUGAUGUAAUUAGCUUAUGUAUGAGCUGUAAACACAACUUUGUGUAAGUUUACAAGCCAAAAUUUCAAGUUUCCAUGUCAUUAGUGGAGGUAGGUGAUGUUUAGGUAAUUACUUACUGUUUUUGACAAGCUUCGUGCCUGUUUUAUGUAUUGGCAUUGUGCCAUUAUGCAUUUUAUGAAUGAAGUUCAGUUUGUUCAUCAAUUUCUCUAUUCAUUUUUCUUAGCUUUUCUUCCUUUCUCUUGCUCGAAUUCUCUUGUUUGCUCAGCAAGUCUCGAGACUUGCUUAACAAGUUUGCACUGAAUCUGUUAGUUUCAGUUACAGCACCAACAAUUGGUAUCUAGAGCCUAUUUUCUUAAGGGACCUGUUACACAAAUCCAUGGCUUCAUCAAGCUUUUCACCAGCUGCACCUCAAGUCUUCAAUGGAGAAGGCUAUCACAUAUGGGUGGUCAAAAUGAAGACCUACCUGCAGGCUUUCGAUCUGUGGGAGGUGAUCAACUCUGAUGUUGAACCAGAGCCACUUAGAGCUAAUCCAACAGUGGCUCAGAUCAAGCAGCAUGCUGAUGAAAGGACCAAGAGGCACAAGACUAUGUCUUGCAUCCAAAACUUAGUGUCUAAUGUGAUUUUCACAAGGAUUAUGGCCUGUGAAUCACCAAAACAGGCCUGGGACAAGUUGCAGGAAGAGUUUCAAGGGACAGAGAGGACAAGGCAGCAACAGUUGUUAAACUUGAGGAGAGAUUUCGAGAAUUUGAAUAUGAAGGAAGAAGAAACUGUCAAGCAAUAUUCUGACAGGAUUAUAGCUGUGGUUAACAGCAUCAGGCUCCUUGGAGAGCAGUUCAAUGAAGCUAGGAUAGUGGAGAAGGUUAUAGCAACUCUGCCUGAGAGGUAUGAGGCAAAAAUCUCAUCUAUCGAGGACUCAAGGGACCUAUCCACCAUCUCCCUGACAGAGUUGAUCAAUGCUCUAUAUGCUCAAGAGGAGAGGAGAGUGAGAAGACUGGAGGAGCACCAAGAAGGUGCCUUUCAGGCAAGAACAAAUACUGCCUACAAAGGCAAGAAGGCCUGGAGAGACAAGCCAAAGAAUGAUGCUACAAAGAAAGAAGGUCAGACUUGCAAGCACUGCAGAAAGGCUGGUCAUUUAGAAGAAAAAUGCUGGUUCAAUCCAGAUGCUGUGUGUCAGCAUUGUAAGAAGUAGGGUCAUGUUGAGAGAGUCUGUAAGAGCAAGGCCAAAUCAAGGCACAAUCAGUUUCAACAGAUGAAAGCUGAGGCUCGAGUAGCUAAGGAGGAGUGUGACCAAGAGGAGCAAGUUUUUGCUGUGUCAUGCUCAGCUGCUCAGGAAAGGUCCUCAUCUGGUUGGCUCCUAGACAGUGGAUGCACCAACCACAUGACACCUGAUGCUGCAAUCUUCAAGUCUUUAGACAGAAGCUGCAGAACUAAGGUCAAGAUAGGAAAUGGUCAUUUUAUUCAAGCUGAAGGCAAGGGUGAUGUGCUAAUAUGCACCCUUACAGGUACCAAAGUGAUUUCAAAUGUGCUGUUGGUGCCUGAAAUUGACAGAAACCUGCUCAGCAUAGCUCAGUUGCUGGAAAAAGGUUAUUCAGUUGUGUUUAAAGACCACCAGUGCCAAAUCAGUGAUCCAAGUGGAUCCAAACUGAUGGCAGUCCCCAUGGCUGAUAAGAGCUUUGUGGUUGACUGGACAAAGAAGUCAGACAUUGCCUACACAGCCACUUCAGAUGAAUCCAAGCUGUGGCAUCAAAGACUGGGACAUGCCAACUUCAUAUCGAUGGCCCGAAUGAUCAGAGAAGACCUGGCUGAAAACUUCAUCAACUCAGUGGACCAUGAUGAUGUAUGUGAAGUAUGUCAGCUAGGAAAGCAGGCCAGACUCCCAUUUCCCUCGAAUCAAGCCUGGAGAGCCUCUGAAAAACUCCAACUGGUGCAUACUGAUGUGUGUGGCCCUAUGAAGACUAAGUCAUUAAGUGGAAACAGGUAUUUCAUACUGUUCAUUGAUGAUUUCUCGAGAUAUUGCUGGAUUUACUUCUUAAAACAGAAAUCAGAGGUGGCCACUGUGUUUUGGAAGUUCAAAACUGCUGCUGAGACUGAAACAGGCUGCAAGGUAAAGUCCAUAAGGUCUGAUAAUGGGACUGAGUACACCUCAGCUCAGUUCCAAGCCUUCUGUGAUAAGGCAGGCAUCAAACAUCAACUUACCAACACAUAUACACCUCAGCAGAAUGGGGUAAGUGAAAGGAAGAAUAGGAGUUUGAUGGAUAUGGCCAGGUGCUUGAUGAUUCAGAAGAAUCUGCCUAAAGCACUAUGGGCAGAAGCAGUUAACACUGCAACAUACAUUCAAAAUAGACUUCCAACCAAGGCUUUGGAUCAAAAGACCCCAUUCGAGGCCUGGUUUAGCUUCAAGCCAUCACUGGCUCAUCUGAAGGUCUUUGGAUGCAUCUGUUAUGCACAUGUACCUGCUGUUAAAAGGGACAAAUUGUCUGAAAGGGCUCGACCUGGUGUUUUGGUGGGCUAUAGCACUGUUAAUAAGGGCUAUAGGAUUUUAGAUCCUUCAACAAACAAAGUGUCAGUAAGCAGGGAUGUGGUAUUUGAUGAGAGGUCAUGUUGGAACUGGGAAAGACAUGAACCUGAAGAAGUUUCUGAAGAACUUGCAACAGACCAAGCUGAGCCAGACCAAAAUGUCCCUGAAAUGGAUAUUGAUGAUGAACCAGUCAGAGGAACAAGGCCAUUGGCUGAAAUUUAUGAAAGGGCUCAUGUAGCCAUAGCUGAACCAAACAACUUUGAAGAGGCUGAGGCUCAGCAAGGGUGGAAGCAGGCAAUGGCUGAGGAGAUCAGCAUGAUUGAGAAGAACCAGACCUGGGAAUUGGUUGAAAGGCCAGUCAAAAGGAAGGUGAUUGGGGUGAAAUGGGUGUACAAAGCCAAGCAGAAUGCUGAUGGUACCUUGAACAAGCUGAAAGCAAGGCUAGUUGUCAAGGGGUUCAGUCAGAGGUAUGGCUUGGACUACCUGGAGACCUUUGCACCAGUGGCCAGGCUCGACACCAUCAGACUGCUGAUUGCCUUAGCAGCACAGCUCGAAUGGAAGAUCCAUCAACUUGAUGUGAAAUCAGCCUUUCUGAAUGGUUUCUUAGAUGAAGACAUCUAUGUUGAACAACCACAAGGGUUUGAAAUAGCUGGCAGAGAGCAUAUGGUCUACAAACUGAAGAAGGCCCUAUAUGGAUUAAAACAGGCUCCAAGGGCUUGGUAUAGCAGAAUCGAUGGCUACUUGACUGAUCUGGGAUUCGAUCGAAGCAAGAGUGAGCCAACAAUGUAUGUCAAGAAACAAGGGACACAAAUACAACUCAUUGUGUCCCUGUAUGUUGAUGAUCUUCUGGUGACAGGAGGAGAUCGAGUAGUGCUGGCUGAUUUCAAGACCAAGAUGCAGGAAGUGUUUGAAAUGUCUGAUCUUGGGGAGAUGUCAUACUUUCUUGGAAUGGAAGUGUCUCAAGUACAGAAUGAGAUAUUUCUAAGCCAGAGAAGCUUUGCCACAAAGAUUCUGACCAAGUUCUCCAUGCAAAACAGCAAGGCAACUAAAACACCUGUUGCUGUUGGAGAAAAACUAUCGAGCCAAGGUGAUUUUAAGAAAGUUUGUGAAACAACCUACAGGAGUCUAGUUGGUUGCUUGCUAUACUUGACUGCCACUAGACCAGACAUCAUGUAUGCUGUAGGAUUACUCUCAAGGUUCUUGCAUUGCUGCAAUGAGAAGCAUUUCCAAGCUGCAAAAAGAGUGCUGAGAUAUGUCAAAGGCACUUUAAACUAUGGUUUGAAGUACAGCAAAGAAGGAAAUCUGAAGCUGGUUGGCUACACUGAUAGUGACUGGGCUGGCUCGAUAGAUGACGUGAAAAGCACCUCAGGGUAUGCUUUUAACCUUGGUUCAGCCAUGUUUUGCUGGAGCCCAAAGAAGCAAAGUCUAGUAGCUCAAUCUACUGCUGAAGCAGAGUAUGUGGCAACAGCAAGUGCUGUCAACCAAGCCAUAUGGCUAAGGAAAAUAUUGGCUGACUUGAAUGUGCAUCAAGAGGAAGCUACUGAGAUCUUCUGUGACAACAAAUCUGCAGUAGCAAUUGCUAAAAAUCCAGUGUUCCAUGGAAGAACAAAACAUUUCAGCAUCAAGUUGCAUGUUGUUCGAGAAAUGGAGCAAGCUCAGGAAGUAAAGCUGAUCCACUGUAAUUCAGAGGAUCAACUUGCAGACAUUUUAACCAAAGCCCUUAGUGUCACAAGGUUCGAAUGCCUAAGAAAGAAGCUAGGUGUUUGCUCUAUGCAAACCAAGGAGGAGUGAUGAAGUUGGUUCAGCAUGCAGCAAACUCGACAGCAUGCAGGCCAUGAAGACCAAGUCAUGCAGGAGCUGCUGAUGCAAGCUUAUUUUGUUUAUUUUGUAAUUCCUAGUCAAUGAAAUGUAAUCUUAGUUCAUUUCUAACUAAGUUAGAUUGUUGACUGAUGUAAUUAGCUUAUGUAUGAGCUGUAAACACAACUUUGUGUAAGUUUACAAGCCAAAAUUUCAAGUUUCCAUGUCAUUAGUGGAGGUAGGUGAUGUUUAGGUAAUUACUUACUGUUUUUGACAAGCUUAGUGCCUGUUUUAUGUAUUGGCAUUGUGCCAUUAUGCAUUUUAUGAAUGAAGUUCAGUUUGUUCAUCAAUUUCUCUAUUCAUUUUUCUUAGCUUUUCUUCCUUUCUCUUGCUCGAAUUCUCUUGUUUGCUCAGCAAGUCUCGAGACUUGCUUAACAAGUUUGCACUAAAUCUGUUAGUUUCAGUUACAGCACCAACAGAGAAGUUGCGGAUUCAGAAUUGUGAUUCGUUAGAACAAAUUAUUGAGCUGCAAGGAGUCAUUGCUGAUGAGUCACAGUCAACAUCAGCUGCUCAAUCUAUUAUGGCUGAAACAGAGACGACCAAGUUUGUAUUUCCCAAACUAAUAAACCUCGGAUUGGAUAAGGUGCCGAGAUUGAAAAGUUUCUACUCUAGGAUGCAUACCACCCAGUGGCCUUUAUUGAAACAAAUGGACAUUAUUGAAUGCCCCAAAGUACAGAUAUUUACUCCACAAUGUCCUGAGAGUCAGGUUGGAAUCUCAAACCAACAACCCUUGUUUUGCGUUAGCGAGGUGAGCUCACUAACAGUUUCAUACUCCAUGUUCAUUACUUGAGAUUACCUAUAAAAUGCCUUUUGAAAUAACUAAUAUUCUCACCUUCCUUUUAAAUUUAUGAGAAAGAAAAUGGAAAUUAUAUUCAUUCUGUAGUCUAGUUCUUACUAAUUGAAAACUCUUUGAUCAAUGUUUAAUAUAUUCGUUGCCAUCCAGGACACUUUCCCUGUAUUAGAAGAACUAACACUGAAGACGAAUGAUAUGGUGGAGGGGAUAUGUGAUGGACAACUCUCAUUGCAGUGUUUCCAAAACCUUAAGCAUCUUAACCUCCAGUUCUUUACUGAGACAUCCACUACUCUUCCGUAUUCCUUCAUUCGGUCUCUACCAAUGCUUCAUAAGCUUGUUAUAGACAAUGCUUCCAUUUGUCAAAUAGUACAAUCUGAAGGACUCAGCGACCAGGAAAGGCAUACAUCAGCAUUCUAUCAGCUAAAGGAAUUAAGUUUGUCUCAUCUUCCAGAGUUGACGUUAAAGACUUUUGAACCAUCUUUGCUGUCUUUCAAUAAUCUAACAACACUGGAAGUUUCAAGAUGCCAUGGGUUCAUCAAUUUAAUCGUAUGCUCAACAGCUAAGUGCCUGACGCUACUGGAAAGAUUGAGCAUAGAUGAUUGUGAGAUGAUAGAGGAAAUUAUAGCGUGUGAGGCUGAAGAAAUACAAGGCGGCAUUGUAUUUCCCAAACUGAAGUAUUUGCAACUAAGCUGUCUGCCACGUCUAGCAAGCUUUUCCUUGGCCCAUCACUCGUUGGAAUUCCCAGUCUUGCUAAUGGUGAAGGUGACAAAGUGUCCCAAAAUGAGGAAUUUCUUCCAAGGAGAUUUAAGCACACCAAGGCUGGAACAAAUGCACUUAACAAGAGAUGAGGAACGUGAACUACAGUGGGAAGGCGACCUUAACACUACCAUAAAACAUAUGUUCGAUGAAAUGGUACAAAUCAUUUAAAGGAUUUAAAUUCAUGUGUUUUUACAUACAUACAUAGUUAACUAAAUAAUUCUUGGUUUGUUAUGAUCAUGCACAGAAUGUGCAAAAUUCUGAGGUGACUGAGGUUACUGAUCGGUUGCCCAAGCUGGAAUAAGGAAAUAUGUUUGGGUGCUUAUGCGAAAAGCUCAAUUUCGUUUCAAACCAAAACGAAUGGUAAUUGACCCUUCUAUUUUCAUCAUGGCUUAACUAAAGAUUUAUAAAGUGACCAUAGAGACGCCCUUUUCAUUGUAGGUUGAGUUGCUCUACUGAAGCACAUGGCUGCAUCUGUUGGUAGAACGUGAAAGGUUAUUUCAGUUUUUGUAAAACUACUAUUUGAACUGUUCCAUUUCGCAUUAUAACCUCACAAUUGUAUUUCAAGUGCAUCAUGCAUGGCAUUGGGAACUACAAACAUGUAAACUUUUACUAGUAAGCAAAAUAAAUAAAAAAAUCAUAAAUUAGAGUAUGAAAGUAAACAUAUUAAAGCAUACUUUUUGGUUUCAGAAUUUAAAUGAUUUGAGUUAAUUUGAAGCCAUAAAAAAAGAUAAAUUCAAUUAUAAAUUCUGAUAUUUGAAAAUUUUACAAUAAUAAUAAAUAAAUGCUUAAUGAAAUAAUUAAGAUUAUAAGGCAACAAGCUUAAUUAAGAGGGGUAUUUGUAAAUAUUAGUAAAAUUUACGGUAAAUAUUAUAUGAAAUAAGCAAAUUUAUGUUAUUAAUUAACCAAAUAGUUGUUUUUGGGUAAAAAAAAUGUAGUAAUAUGUUACAAUUUUUAGGGUGUUAAAUUAAUAUGAUUUGUCUUGAUUAAAUGUAUUAAAUUUAAUGUAACUAUUUUGAAUUUUAUUUCGGGAAUUGAAUUGAUCCGCAAAUCAAUAUAUUAAAAAAAUAAUAUUUUAAAUUUGGGAAGGUUUACUAGUAAUAAUGCUAUCUAUCUAUUGAUAAAAAUAUAUUAUAAUCAAAAUAAUAUUUUCAUGGUAAGCUUAGCUAUCCUUUACCGUCAACAUCCUUUAUGGGUUGCUUAGAGUAUUAUAUAUAGAUGAAGCUUUAGUUCAACACUGAUCUUAAUUUAAUAUUUUGAUUUUACAUAUUGACAGAUUAAAAUUCUUUUUGAAGUUUUAUAAGUCAGAAAUUUUUUUAUUUUGAAUAGUCAACUUACAUUUUAAUUCAUUUAGGGUGAGUUUGGAUGGGCGGUGUAUUUACCUGCGGUUAGUGUAAAAACAACGGUGGCGGUGAGAUUAGAUACUGUAGUGAUACUGUAGCGUGAGACAAAAAGUAUGCUAAACACACCACACCGCACCCAAUCGCCCAUCCAAACCUACUCUUAGUAUGUUUAAUCACUUUAGGUACAAAUAUAUUUCGUGUACCAAUCUAAUCAUGCACUAUAAUAGCUAAUUUUAAUUAUAACUUGAUGGUUGGUGGUUGUUGUUGGAUUUGGUGAACUCUCAAGUGCUCGAGUCUGUUGAUCUAAAGGUUGUGGCCUUUCAUCUUUAAUUUCAGGGUCAGCAAAGGUUUGAGAAGGUUGCUAGUCAUCCUAAUUCCAAGUGUUCUCCCCAUCAAAAAUUACGUCUUGGGUAAUCACAAUUUCUUCGUUAAAGGAUUAAACAGUUUAUAUGCUUUAGAUGUUUCACUUGCACCUAGAAAGACACACUUUUCUCCCUUGUUAUCAAGCUUCUUUCUCUUUGCAUCUGGAAUACGUGCAUAAGCAAUGUAACCAAAAAUUUUGAAGUGAUCUACCGUUGGUGGUCUCCUUCGACACCAAGCUUCUUCAGGUGUCAUGUUUUGAACAACAAAAGUUGGGCUUCUGUUCAAAACAUGGAUGCUCCAAUUUACUACUUCUAGCCAAAAUCGUUUUGGGACCCUUCCACCAGAAAGCAUGCUCCUCACCAUAUUAAGUAUGGUUAUGUUUUUCCUCUUUGAUACGCCAUUUUGUUGGGGGGUAUAUGCAGUAGUAAGCUCUUUUCGAAUGCCAUGACUCUCACGAAAUGCUUCAAAUUCCUUGGAGCAAUAUUCUCCUCCACAUUAAGUGCAAAGAGCUUGAAUGGUUUUCCCGAUUUCAUUCUCAACAAAUGCCUUGAAGCUAGUAAAUGCACUAAAUGCUUCUAAUUUCUCCUGUAAGAACUAAACUCAUGUUUUCCGAGAAUAAUCAUGAAUGAAAGUAAGGAAAUAUUUUUUUUACCUCCAUUAGAUGAUGGUUUUAUUGGCCCUUAGAUAUUUGAAUGAACCAAUUCCAGCCACGUUUUGCUCUCAAAGACUUUCCUUUGGGAAAUUGUUCACGAUUUUGUUUGCUAACAACACAAUCUUCACACACAUGGGAAAGAAUGACAAUCUGAGGAAGGUCGCUGACCAUUUCUUUCUGUCUAAGAGUCUUCAAACCCCCAAAAUUAAGAUGACCAUAGUGGAAAUGACAAAACCACGAGUCAACCUUCACUUUAGCCAUCAAGCAAGGUUUUAAAAUAUCUUUGCUUCUUCCCAAAGGUCUCAAAGCAUGUUAUGGAGUUUGAGUCUGAUUCAAUGGUUGCGUUAUGUGGCUUGGCUGUAGUUUAUUGCACCUUUGUACUUCUUUCUUUUAUGAAUAAAAUCAAUGCUUAUUAGAAAAAAAGAAAACAAAAACAAAUAGUAGAUAGCAACAAACAAAGAAAAAAAAACCUUAUGCCCCACUAACAUUUUUUUUGUACGUUUAGUCAAAAUGAAUAUAAUUAAAAAUAUUAAAUAGAUGCCAAUUGAGUUUUAGUGUAGUUGGUAUUGGUAUUAUUAACUUUGCUUAGUCCAUAUCCCCAUAAUAUGCGAUGGUCAUAUGUGACUUUUAAUCCAUUUAAUCUAAUUUGUUGGCUUUAGUACUGAUUGUACUGACUUUUAUUCUUGUUGUGGUCUAAUGAUUUGAUUCUAUUUUGUAAUUCCUUAUAUCAUUCGUGUUGUAAUAGUUUGAUACUUGUAACAAACAAAUACAAUUUAAAAAAUGGCUAGUAUUUGGUACACUGUUAGAAUAUUAUUAUGAGAUAUUAUCUUUUUGGAAUAUCUAAAUAUAUUGUAUAUUAUUAUAUAUCUUUUAAGCAUAUAUUUAGGAAUAUAUUAUCUAUCUUUCCUAUUUCUACAUGACUAUUGUUAUAUAAAUAUUAUGUAUAUUCUUGAAGCUUAUCAAUAAGAUUGAAAUGAAUUACCCUAUUCUUGUCAUGGUAUCUAAGCUUGGUGUUUAACACAAAAAAAGAGAAAAAUUUAAUCGUUUUCAAUGGCUGGUAGUGAUUCUACUUCUCCACCACCAGGGGCAAGAUAAUCAUCAGGGGAAGGGCGACACUUCUUGGUUUUACUGCUGAGCAAUGACAAUCUCUUCUGGUGGUGUUUGGUAAUACACAAUCCACUACCAAUCAGUUGAAUGGACAUUCAUUUUGAGGGGGUUGAUUAGAGCGGGUGAGAGACGAGAUGGACUUUAUUACUCUGUUGGUUAAUAAGAAUGAAGUUUUCAAGCAGGGGAGAAGGUAGAAAAUUUUUCUAAGAGGGUCGAAAUUAAAUUGUAAUUUUUAAUAGUCUAUAUUUUUAUAAUUUUUAAAGGAUUAAAUCAAAUAUUAUCAUUUUAAGGGGACUAAAGUGUAAUUUUACCUUUACUAAUUUAAAAUGUUAAAAUUUCUAAAGAGCCUAAAUGGAUGAUUUUCCAUUUUAGGGGGAUUGGGGCCUUUGCCAACCCUUUAGAUCCGCCACAGUUUUCAAGAUUUUCAUGUCAUUUAUUACUAUGAUUCAUCGUCAUUUUUCUUAAUUAAUAGAUAAAGUUUGUUAGAAGUGAUAAUGAGACUGAAUUUAAUUGCCUUCGAGAUUAUUUUCUUACAAAUGACAUUAUUUUUUCAAACAUCUUAUGUUGGUACUCCUCAAAAAAAUGGGAGAGCGAAGAGGAAACAUCAACAAAUUUUAAACGUGGCUCGUGUUUUGCGUUUUCAAGGUAAUCUGUCUACAUUGUUUUUGGGGAGUGUGUUUUGCUGCAUAUAUUUAGGAAUAUAUUAUAUAUCUUUCCUAUUCCUACAUGACUACUGUUGUAUAAAUAUUAUGUAUAUUCUUGAAGCUUAUCAAUGAGAAUGAAAGGAAUUACCCUAUUCUUGUCAUGGUAUCUAAGCUUGGUGUUUAACACAAAACAAGAGAAAAAUUUAAUCGUUUUCAAUGGCUGGUAGUGAUUCUACUUCUCCACCACCAGGGGCAAGAUAAUCAUCAGGGGGAGGGCGACACUUCUUGGUUUUACCGCUGAGCAAUGACAAUUUCUUUUGGUGGCGUUUGGUAAUACAUAAUCCACUACCAAUCGGUUGAAUGGACAUUCAUUUCGAGGGAGUUGAUUAGAGCGGAUGAGAGACGAGAUGAACUUUAUUACUUCCGGCAAGUAUCAAUGGUCAAAGUGGUUUCGAUUAAAGCUUUAUCCUCUUUGGAACUUUGGCAUAGAAGAUUGGGUCACCCUUCCGAGAAAGUAGUAAAGUUAUUUCCUUACGUUAGUAACUCUAGAGAUUAUUUGAAUAAAGCAUGCAAAAUUUGACAUCGUGUUAAACAAACAAAAAAUAGUUUUCCAGUUAAUGAACAGAAAGCCACAUGUAUUCUUGAGUUAGUUUAUUGUGAUUUAUGGGGUUUUUAUGAUACUCUUUCAUAUUGUGGAUCUCAUUAUUCUUUUACAUUGGUUGAUGAUUUCUCUUGUGCUAUUUGGGUAUAUCUAUUGGUUAAUAAGAAUGAGGUUUUCAAGCAGGGGCGAAGGUAGAAAAUUUUUCUAGGAGGGUCGAAAUUAAAUUGUAAUUUUUAAUAGUGUAUAUCUUUACAAUUUUUAAAGGAUUAAAUCAAAUAUUAUCAUUUUUAAGGGGACUAAAUUGUAAUUUUACCUUUAUUAAUUUAAAUUUUUAAAAUUUCUAAAGAGCCUAAAUGGAUGAUUUUUCAUUUUAAGGGGCUGGGCCUUUGCUAGCCCCUUAGAUCUGCCACAAUUUUCAAGAUUUUCAUGUCAUUUAUUACUAUAAUUCAUCGUCAAUUUUAUGAAUAGAUAAAGUUUGUUAGAAGUGAUAAUGAGACUGAAUUUAAUUGCCUCCAAGAUUAUUUUCUUACAUAUGACAUUAUUUUUUCAAACAUCUUAUGUUGGUACACCUCAACAAAAUGGGAGAGUAGAGAGGAAACAUCAACAAAUUUUAAACGUGGCUAGUGUUGUGCAUUUUCAAGGAAAUCCGUCUAUAUUGCUUUUGGAGAGUGUGUUUUGCUACUUUUUAUCUUAUUGAUUGAACUCUUUCACCUCUUCUUCAUCAUAAAACACCCUAUGAAAUGUUGUUUGGUAGACUUCCUUUAAUUGAUGAUUUUUGUGUGUUUGGUUGCUUAUGUUUUGUUCAUAAUUAACAUUCUAAAGGUGAUAAGUUCAAUAGUCAGAGUAAAAAAGUAUGUUUUUGUUAGCUAUCAUUUUGUCAAAAAUAAAUAAAAUAUAUUUUAAGCUAUCAUUUUGUCAAAAAUAAAUAAAAUAUAUUUUAAUAUAAGACAUUUUGGGACUGUUGGCAUGUCAUUUCUGAGUUGUUUCCACGAAAUGCAAUCGAUACAUAAAUUAAUCAUUUUGUCAAAGAUGAUAUCUAAACCUUGAAAACAUUUCCUUAUUUCUUGUCUGUUUCUACUUUGGUGGUGAUGUGCUUUGUUUGAUUCUAACUACUCCAUUAAAUAAAUCAUCCAAAAACAUAUAUUAUAUGAGGAAUAGGUGGUUGAAGAAAGAGAAAGCAAAAAUAAUAAUAAAAGAAGGAAAUUAAUUAGGAAAAUGACGUUAUAUGAAAACACUCAUACAAUUGGAUAACUCACUCACUCGACCUUUAAGAGGAGAAAAAGAAAAACCUUGUUUAUGUAAUACAUGGAUACCUAAUAAUUCAUUUAUUUAAUAACUUAUUUAUACUUUGGUAUAAGACAUUUUGGGUUGUCAUUUCUGUGCUGUUUCCAUGAAAUACAAUCCAAACUUCCUUUCCUACUUUUAAAGUAAGUAAGAAGUCGUCUUUCUCAGUUUACUACUUUCUGGCUUUGCUCUGCUAAGAAGAAAAAAACAGAAGGGGGAAAACUAUCGGUUAUUGAUCAUAGCCAAAAGGUACGCCAUCUGCUUUUCCUUUCCCUGCUUUGCUCUUACUCUUUUGAAAUAAGCUUAGGCAGGCAGGUUUAACCAUGAGAAUAGACUUCUUUUAUGCUUUAAAUCUCUAAAAAGCUCUUUAAAAUUCGUAGAAAAAAAGGGGUGAGUAUUAGGAAAGCUGCAUAAGCAUUUGUGUUUGGGAUGUACCAACAACUUGUUGCUUCAUGGUUAUUCAGAGGUUGGGUGAUUUAUCUUGUAGUCGACCACCUUUUUUUUAUUCGAUGCUUUAUUUCCAUUCAAAACUAUAUGUGGUUGGAAAGCUGGUUUGAUAGUCCACUAAAAUUAUAUGAAAAAUCAUUUAAAAAACAGAUUAAAUAUAUAAUUUUUAUAUAUUUAAAAGUGUUUGUUUAUAUAUUAUUUAGAAAUUGCUUUUAUAACAUAAUUAUUAUUUUACUAUUUUAAAUUUUGAAAUUUCAAUAUUUAAAAAUUUAACUAAUUUAAAAAAUGUGCAGCGAACUAAAAAAAACAUUAAUAAACAAAAAAAUUAGCAUAUAUAAAAAUUUAAAAUAGGAUUUGAAAUAUAUUGUUAAUAUUUUCAAUCUAAAUUUUAAAAUAUUUAAAUUAUGAAAAUAUGUUGAUUUAAAAUUAUUAUAGAACUUAUAUUCCAAAAAAAACCAUUAUAAAAAGUAUUUAUUCAAGAAAAAACUUUUUGUUUUGGCCUAUUUAUAUAGUAUUAUAAAAUGUCGAUUUUAAAAAAUUAUUAAAAAGUAAUACUAAAUAACUAAUUUAUAUAUAAAGAAAUUAUAGUUUCUUAAAAUCUGAAUUAAAAUGCUUUAAACUAAAACUAAAACUAAAACCAAAAUUUUCUUGUAUUGUAAAAUUAUUGUUAGAAAUUUUUAGUAUAACAAAAAGAUAUUAUUGAUAUUAGUCACUUAAAAACUAAAACAGUUUUAUAGACUUUAGUAAUUAUUUAUAUGAUUAAUAUUUUAACGAUUUAACCGUUUAAUUUAUCAAUAUAAUUGUACUUGUAAUGCAUGUAAAUUUUCGAACCGAUUCGAUAUCUCUAUCGUAUCGAUCUAAAAUACUCUAUAUACUAAUAUAUAAUCAACGAUUGAAAUUUUUUUACAAAACGAAUAUAGUUAGAAGUUUUAAAUUUACAUUAAAUUUGACAUGUAUAAUCUGCAUGAAUAGACUAUAAAAUAUAACAGUUGGAUCGUUAAAAUAUUAAUUAUAUAAAUAGUUAGGUAAGUGUGUAAAAUUCCUUUAGCUUUUACAUAUAUAUAAGUGGAUCCUUCUCCUUAAUGUUAAUAAAUGUUAAUUUUGUUAUCACAUAAUAUUUUAAUUAUGAAUUAAUAUUAAAAAUAAAUAAUAAAAAAAAUAUAAAUAUAAAUAGGGCGAGUAUUUGGUACACUGACAAUGUACUUUUUUUAUUCCACGAGUAAUCUUAAAAAAUUGACAUAUUUCUCUCUUUUUUAAAUAUGUUACGACACUCUUAUAAGAUAUUUGUCAACCUCCUGACCCUACUUGUAGAGUCUAAAACCUCCACUUACUAAAUAAUUUCCACAAUUUAUUAUUAAUGUUUAUUAGACAAAACACGUUAGCGAACAAAAUAAAUAAAUUAUAAAUAAAUACAUAUGAAAUAAAAUAUAAAUAGAAUGAUUUAUAAUUAAUUUAUUAAAUAUGAAUCAAAUAAAAACAUAAGAAAAAGUUGAAAUAAAGAAGAAUUGAGAUUUUACGAAACGUUGAGGCCUUUGAAACACAGUUUCCUUAAAACAUAUUCGGCCGCUCCUACAGUACUUGGAGAAAUGUUAGUCGAAAUUCUCCCAGGAUACAACAACAAAAGUAAUCAAAGUAGUAGUACAUCUACAACAAUCAACGAACAAAUUUUGUUUUUUUUAUCACCGAUAUGUAUGAAAAAUGGAGAGAAAAAGGAAGAGUUUUGAAAUGAACAGAAUUUCAUUUGAAUAUGUGUUUAAUCCUUUAGAAUACACAGCCUUUUCUAGGCAUUUAGGAUAAGGAGCCAAAAAUCAAUUUGAUUUAAAAAUUAAAUCAAAUUAGAUACUGUCCAUAUAUAAGCAGAUUAUGUCUGCUGAGGAAAAAUAAAUUCGUGUUGAGCUUAAAAUAUUCACAUGGGCCAAACCAGUUUGAACAUUUUGUGUCACCCACGUCAUACAAGUGCGCCCAACCCAAUCAGAUUUAGACCUACACCACCCCUACGCAUGAGACAAGGUUGCAAGCAUAGUUAUUCAAUUAAUUUUAGAGAGAGUUUACAUAUAAAAGCACAUCUCACACUUGAUAUUUAACCAAUGUAGGAUCUAAGCCUUUACUUUUUCUCAACAAUAUUUUCAAGUAGCUUACUUUAAGCAUCAAUUUCUCAUUCACCACUAAACCAUUUUGAGCAUAUGAUAUACCAUUGUAAAAGUCUCAUGGGGUAGAAUAUGAAACCAUAAAAUUAUGAUUCAACUCUCCACUUUUACCUAUUAAGAAUAUGCCUCAAAGUUCCCAUAAAAGUAAUUUUUCAGACAAUGUUUUUAGACUCCAUCAGUAAAGUCAAGGGAUUAACAAGUGUCCUAUAGAAAUAUAGUAAAAUAUCAAAAAAUUAAAUAUUUUAAAAAAGAGACACAUAUAAGUUUUUUAAAACGACUUGUGGAGUAAAUAAAAUAUUGUUAGUAUACCAAAUAAUCACCCAUAAAUUAUUGCUUUAAUCAAAAUAUAAGAACUAGGUAUAAUUUUGAAUUAGUUUAAAUUAAUUUAAAAGAAAUUUAAUUUAAUGAUAAAAAAAUUAUAUUUCAAAAUAAUUAGAAAGAUUUUAUUUUUUGAAUAAUAAUUAAAAACAAAUUUUUAAAAGAUGUGUUGUAAAAAUAUUCAAAGUGUAAAAAGACAAUUUAUUCCUUCAAUGCUUAGCAAAAAAUAUUCCUUAAAAAAAGAUAAUUAUUAGAAAAUAUCAUUAGAUAUAUGUCUAUAUUAAUAAAAAGUUAUCUAUUAACAAAAUCACUUUAAUUGUCAUAAAACUAAAACAUUAAUCACAUAUUUAUAAUUUUAAAAUUUUAACUCUUCAAUGGUAGUUAAGAUUAUGCAAAUGAGUUCUUUUUAAAAAAUAUAUAAGAUAAUUCAAGUUUUGGUCUUUGUUAUCGCUGUGGUUAUUCAGUUUGCUCUCUCAAUGGAGUGUGUUAUUGCCAUCGUUGGUUCUAUUGUCGCUAAAGCUGUAGAGUAUACGAUCUCUCCUAUCAAAAACCAUGUCAAAUACCUUUCCAAUCAUCAGAAAUAUGUUGAGACCCUCAAGAACCGAGCUAAUAGGCUAAAAGAUGCAAGGGACGGAGUGCAGCAUUCUGUUGAUGCAGCUAAGCGAAACGGUGAAGAGAUCGAAGGUGAUGUUGACAAAUGGCUGUCUGCAGUCGACAAAAAGAUCCUUGAACAAGUAGAGAAAGUGAUGCAAGAUGAAGAAAAAGCAAAUAAAAAGUGUUUCAUUGGUUUGUGUCCUAAUUUCAGGACUCGUUACAAGCUUAGCCUGAAAGCUGAAAAGGAGGCAAAGGCUGUUGCCGAGCUACUUGAACAUGGAAACUUUGAAAGGGUUUCCUAUCGUGCAGCUCCGAAAGGUAUCGUGGUUGCACCAGUUAAAGGUUAUGAGGAAUUCGAGUCAAGAACGUCGAUUCUGAACGGAAUAAUGGAGGCACUAAAAGAUGAUAGCGUCAGCGUUGUUGGGGUGCAUGGUAUGGGUGGGAUUGGAAAAACAACGCUGGUCAAAGAAAUCGCUAGAAAGGUCAAGGGCAAGUUGUUUGAUUCGGUUGUCAUAGCAACCGUAACUCAAGCCAUCGAUAUUGAGAAGAUUCAGAACCAAAUUGCAGACUUCUUGGGCUUGAAAUUUGAGGAACAGAGUAUGGUUGGAAAGGCAUUUCGACUACGAGAAAGAUUGAAGAAAGAGGAGAGGAUUCUGGUUGUCUUGGAUGACAUUUGGGAAAAGGUUGAUAUUGAGGAAGUAGGGAUUCCUUUGGGAGAUGAACACAAGGGCUGCAAAUUACUAUUAACUUCUAGAGAGCUCAAUGUUUUAUCAAAUGGGAUGGAUGCUCAGAAAAAUUUUCCCAUUGGGUUUUUAAAUGAAAAGGAAGCCUGGGACCUGUUCAAGAAGAAGGCUGGCGACUGUGAUGAAAGUUGCGGUUUGAAGCCUAUAGCUAUGGAGGUAGCCAAAAAAUGUGCAGGACUGCCGAUAGCCAUUGCGACAGUUGCAGGGGCUUUGAGAAACAAAAGAUUGUUUGAAUGGAAGAAUGCUUUACGAGAACUGGAGAGGCCUUCGUCAAGCAACUUCACGGGGAUAGCUGUGGCAUAUUCAGCUAUAGAGUGGAGUUUUAAUUAUUUAGAAAGCGAGGAAGUUAAGCUGACUUUCUUGCUUUGCUGUGUAAUAGGCCAUAAUGGUCUCGUUGAGAACUUGGCAAGAUAUACUUUAGGUUUGGGUUUAUUUGAUGGUGUCCACACUAUGGAAGAAGCUAGAAAUAAAGUAUUGACGGUUGUGGCUAAUCUCAAAGCGUCUGCCUUGUUGCUUGAUGGUUAUAAUGAUAAGCGCUUUGAUAUCCAUGAUGUUGUUUGGGAUGCUGCUAUAGCUAUUGCAUUGAAGGACUACCGUAUGCUUGUUUUGAGAGAUCAUGCUCCAAAGGAGUGGUCCGAUAAGGAGAAAAUGAAGAUGUGGAGUGUGAUCAGCUUACGGUGUCCUCAGAUUAUAGCUAACCUUCCUAAGGAGAUGGAGUGUUCAGGACUUUCCUUUUUCCAUAUGGCCUAUGAUGGCGCGGUUAAAAUUCCUCUCACUUUUUUCAAACAAACCGAAGGCCUCAAAGCCUUGGAUUUGGUCGGAAUGCAGUUUCCAUCCCUCCCUGAAUCAAUUAUUCACCUUGCAGACCUUCGCAUGUUGUGUCUGAAAAAAUGUGCAGUUGAU